CAACCCGACUGGUGGCUCCGUCUAGGUGACAGACUCUCGCAGCUCACAGAAAAUUAAAUCGGCUCUACCGCGCCAUCCUAGUUCCCGGGGGUGAAGUUGGUGGCGUACGCCCAUGCGUUGUUGGCCACCGGGUCGGCCAAGUGGUCGUUCAAGUUCUCCAAUGGCCCCUUUCCGGUCACGAUCGCCUGCACGAAGAACCCGAACAUCGAGAACAUCGCCAAUCGCCCGUUCUUGAUCUCCUUCACCUUCAGCUCCGCGAAGGUGUCGGGGUCGUCAGCCAAACCCAAGGGGUCGAACGACCCUCCCGGGUAGAUGGGGUCUGUCACCUCGCCCAGGGGUCCUCCCGCAACACGGUAGCCCUCCACGGCUCCCAUCAGCACCACCUGGCAUGCCCAGAUCGCCAAAAUGCUCUGGGCGUGCACCAGGCUCGGGUUGCCCAGGUAGUCCAACCCGCCCUCGCUGAAAAUCUGCGCUCCGGCCUUGAACCACACCGCCUCGCCGAACUUCACGCCGCUCUUCGCCAACAGCUCCGGGGUCAGGCACCCCAAAGCCCCCAGCAUGGCCCACCGGGCGUGGAUCACCUCCAGCUCCCUGUUGCGGGCGAACGUCUCCGGGUCGGACGACAGUCCGGCGGUGUCCCACCCGUAGUCUCCAGCGAACUCGCCGGUCAGGUACGACGGAGUCUCGCCGGAGAAGGGGCCCAAGAACUUGGGUCGGUCAGCUCCGUACCUGAGCAACAGUCCGACGUUCGGCUUAGGCAUACGUUCCUCUCUAUCCCUCACCAAUGUCACCUCAGCAAUGCACACCCUCGCCAUAGCAGCUCUGACCCCAACAUUUGUCACACUUCCAAUGCCCCACCGCCGAUGCCAACCUCCAUCUCUCACCUCUCACCUCUCAAGCUGCUCCGCGCGUGGACAACCAAACCGACCACACGCCCCGGCCGGAUGCCAUUCCGAUUUCCAAAUUCAAGGCCUCCACUGCUUCAUGGCCUCCGCCCCACAAUCCCCAAUCCCCAAUCCACAACACACUCCGCUCAACCCCAAUCCCCAACACACUCCGCUCAACCCCAAUCCCAAUCGCGCUCCCAACACAACCAUCAAGCACUCAAAACUGUCAUCCCAGAGUUCGUCAAGUGGGGACCAUACCAGAUGCUGUCGCUGCCAGCGGACUUGCUCACGGUCCGCCGCAUCGUGACGCGGGCCUCCACAUUGCCCACCUUGCGGGACAGCUCGUUCACGGGCUUGAGCACACCCUGCCCAGCCAAGGCUGUCGAGUGCAUCGCGGUAGCUCCUGCCAUGUCUGCACACACGUUCCCGAACGGAGGAUCUCCAACAGAAUGGAGUGAAGCGAUGAAGUGGCGAUACCGGGCCGACUGUGCACGGACGACCCAGCUCGGAGGAGGGCCUUAUAGCGACUUCGCCCAGCGCAAAAUCAUGCUCGGGGCACUUCUACGGUCACCGGAUUGGAUAAGCCGAGAUAUCUCCACUGAGAUAGCGAGAUGGAAUUCCCAUCGAGCUGACCGCUGCUGGCCGCUGCUGCCAACCACGGAAACGGAUUCCGCUGCCUCCAAAACCAGAUGAAUGUCACAUUCCUCUGGCACCACUGUGGUCGUCAUGGCCCAUCUCGUGGUCAGCGGGCUGCACUGUUGGAAGCCCACGCAGCACCCAGUUGCAACAGAGUAAAAAGCCAUGCUCAUGACAUCCUGUGGCUGGGAAGGGCAACUAAACCUAUUUUAGAGGGGUAAAUGUCACACCUACGUGACAUGUUGCAUUCUGCGCACAGAACUAGUGUCAAGAGUAUGUGUAUAAAUGUAUAUGUAUGCUCACAACCAACAUGGCAUUUGCACAAACCAUUCACACAAACACAAAUGUAUUAUUUGAUAAUUGUAAGGCUUGAGGUGCAUAGGAAGAGUUUGGAGGGCCUACCUAAUAGCUUAUAUAUAUAUAUAUAUAUAUAUAUAUCUAUAUAGAAACAAGAAUAGGGCAACCAUUAGUCUCAAGAGAAGCUAUGUUGUAUUUUGGUCUUAGUAUAAAACUUUGUAAUGUCAUCAUAUUUUCCAACUAUCCUUUUAGUUCUUUUACAUCUUAUUAUUAUUUGUUGUCUCUUAAGCUUCUUUCUUCUUUAGUGGUAUAUGAGUAUAUUGACUAUCAAAUUCUUAUUCACAAUUAGUAUCUUUGUGGCAUUUUUUUUUCUUAAGAAGACUUUCAUCUACUUAUAGGAUUGUAAAGAAAGCAAAAUUAGAUAUAUUAACAAAAAUAAUACAAUAUGUAUCUUUGAACGGAUGUAAAGAAUAGUGAUUACUACUUUGAAGUAGUUUUAAUCUAUUUUGGCACUGCAUAAAUCUAAGACUUCUACUACCAUGAAAUCUUGAUUAUUUUUCAUGUUUAUAAGAAGAUGUUGUAUUUGACUUCUUCUCAAGAUAUUCAUUGUCUUAUAUGGCUCAAAAAGAGAUACAUGGAAUAUGAAAUGGAUCUUCAUAGACUCCAAUAGAUUUAAUCGAUAAGCAAAAAGAUUGACUUAUUCACUAAUAGGAAAAGGUCCAAUUCUAUGAUAGUCCAACUUGUCACAAGGAUGAGUAGUCUUAAUAUGAUAACAAAGUACCCAUACCUUAACAACUAUGUUGAAUUGUGGUUGUUCCUUGAAAUAGGCAUCCACAUUGAUUUUUUGUCAUUCUUGAGCUUCUUUUAAUUGUGCCUUCAUUCUUGCAUGUAAUUUUGACAAAUGAUUUGCAAAACAUUUUGCCAUAGAAUUAUCAACUUUUAAAAAGUUAAAUGUAUCAAGUCAUACAUAAUAACCAAAGUGUACAAAGAAAGGUGUUUGUUGAGUAGAACAAUCUAAUAAAUUAUUAUAUGCAAACUCUGCCAAUGGCAAAAGAGUAGUUCAAUCAUCUUAAUGAUAAUUGAUGGUACACCUCAAAUACUACUCUAAAAUUUAAUUCACUUAUUCUGAUUGUCUAUCAAUUUGAAGAUGAAAAGCUCAAAAGAGCUUUUUAUCUACUUUUAUAAUCUUAAAAAGGAUUCUCCAAAAAUCUUGAUAUAGAUCAAGUUCCCUAUUUAAUAUAAUAUCCGUAGAUAAUCCAUGAUAGCAAUAAUUGUUGUUUAGAAAAAGCUUAGUUGUUUCUUUUCUUUUGAUAGAUUUUGUACAUGGUACAAAUAUGCCAUCUUGGUAAAUUGAUCUACUAUCACAAAUAUAGAAUCAUAUAAACAUAAGAUUGAAUGAUUUAUAAUAAAAUCCAUAAGAAUAAAAGUCCAUGGUUGUUUCAAGAUAGGUAAUGGUUGAAGAAGUGCUUAAGAUUGAUGAUGAAGAAUUUUGGAUCUUAAACAAAUAUCACAUCAUUGUACAAAGUCUUUGUACAAUAUGAGUAUAUUGACUAUCAAAUUCUUAUUUACAAUUAGUAGCUUUGUUGCAUUUUCUUUGUUAAGAAAACUUUCAUUUACUUGUAGGAUUGUAAAGAAAGCAAAAUUAGAUAUAUUAGCAAAAAUAAUACAAUAUGUAUCUUUGAACGAAUGUAAAGAAUAGUGUUUAGCAAAAAUUAUUGAAAAGAUCUUAGAUUGAUAUUUAGAGAGGUUUGGUGGUGAAUUAGGAUCAAAAUCAUACCUUAGGUUACAAAAGUAGGUGUUUAGAAUAAAAAAAUGGAUUUGUUUUGUUGAUUGCAAAAAAUAUUCAAAGUUUAACUUGAUGUAAUUUCUUUUAGACUUGAUUUUGGAUGUGGGUAGAAUGAUGAUUUCAUAAGAUUUGAAGAUGAGAAUAUUAAAUAAUGGUUAUGUUCUAUUAUUUGCAACAAGAUUGUAGAUGAAGUCCAAAAAUAAGAAUUGUUUUAUGGAGUGGUAUAAAUGUAAGUAAGAUUCUUAAUUUGGAUUGAAUUUAGUAGUUCUUAUUGCUUUAAAAUGAUGUCAUUACUUGAAAUAUAGUAAAAUAUUUUUGAAUAGUUUGUUCAAAAAAUUGAUUGUUUUUAUUUAUUUAUUUAUUCUUAUUUCUUAUAAUAUCUUUUAGUUACAAAGGUUUUGAAAUUUGCAUAUAUCAUUAGCAAAGUGUAUUUUUAAUUCCUUUUCAUUGUAAUUUGAAACUUUAAAUUUAAUUAAUUAAUUUUAUCAAUGGUUAUUUAAAUUUAGUUGGAUAAGAUUCUUUGAAUUUAAAUUUGAAGAAUCUUUGAGGGUUUUUAAUUUUUUUAAUUUAUUAUUAUUUAUUUAUUUUGAAAAAACUCCCUAUCUAAUUGAAAUGAUUUUAUUUGAGCCAAUAAUGAACUUAGUUUGAUAUAUUUUUGCUUAAUUUGAUGCCAUGUAAAUAGUUCAAUAAUGAGCUAUUUUUGCUAAUAAAUUGACAUUUAGGUUGAUAAAAGAGGAUGGCUAAUACUUACAUGAAUAAGAAGCUUUUUAAUUCAAAUUGUAAGUUUAAUAUUCUUUAAAAUUUAUAUACUUAGAAUUUAUAAGUAUUAUUUAAAAUCUUAUAUUUAAAUAAAAUAUUUAGAAAAUACAUCUUUAAUUAUACAUGAUUCUAAAUACAAUUUUUGAACAAAUCUUAGCUUUAUUCCAAUAUGCAAUAUAAUAAAAAUUAUAAUUUAUAAUAUUAGAUUUUUUCUUUUCUUUUUUUUUUUUUCUUUUUAAUCAAUGUUGCUUACAAAAAAAAUCAAAUGGAAUAAGAUUAGUUGGAACUAGAAGAAUAACAAGUAGGAAGAUAAGAACAACAAUGACAAUAUCAAAACAUAUAUUUAGAUAUAGCUUGAGUAAGGAAUAGGAAGUUAGAAUAGUCAAGGAUUUGAGAAAUACCACAAUAUAUUUUCAUGAAAUUGCAAGUUCAAUACAAUGUUUUGAUAGUAGAAUCUCAAGAUAGAAUACUAUAAGGCCAAAGGCCAUAUAAUUCUAAGAUUUUGACAAUAAACAAGCUCAUUCAUAAAAAAUGUGUAUGUGCGAGUGGUACUUUUAUAGAGUUGUAUCUCAAAUAUGUUUGUUAUUUCUAAACCUCUAGUAAUAUUUAUUAACUAUGUUAAGAAGCAUCGCAUGACAAAACUUUUAGGGAAGUCAAUGGAAAAUGAAUACAAGAUCUAUAAGCAAGCUGAAUAGAGGAAGUAGAAUAGGAAGGAACACAAAAAGGACUUUCUUCAACCAUCCUUAGUUUAGUGAGCUUAGGAAAUAUUUGAGAGAGGCCGCCAUUGUUAUUAUCUUUAAACAAACUAAAGAUUUAUAGAUUUAGUUAUAAUAAUAUUUUAUAAUAAUAGAAAAUUGUAUGAAAAUAAAUUUAUAAGACAUGCUAUAAUAUUACAAUAAUUUCAUACAAAUAGUCAAUACCUUACAAUAUAGAGUCCAAAUAACCUAACAAAGGAUACAACAAGACUCCAACCAAAAGUCUACCUAUUAUGGGGGUUAUGAAUACUCCAGCAAUGUUUGUAUUAAUUCUAACAAUGGUAGCAAACUAGAGACAUCUAAGCCUUAAAUAUCUCAUUUUAUAAUAUACAAGUGACUUAGAUAAGCAUAGCAAAGCUUAUCUAAUUAUGGUUGAGAUUAACAAAGUCUUAUCUCUCAAAACAUUGAAACAAAUGUUUUGAAUAAUAUUAAGAGAAGCAUGUGUAAAAUGAUUUCUAUCAUUUACAUGAAGGCAUUCCAAAACCACUUAGAAAGGCUUUAUACUAAGUUUUAUUAAGAGAUUCAAAGAUAUAGAAACUAACAAUAACAUCGUACUUAGAUUAUUAAAAGUUAAACAAAUCAACCACAAAAUAAUAAGAGAUUAUCUAUAUCAAUAAUCUAAUCUUUUGAAAAAACUUGAUAGUAAUUUUAUAGAUUCUAUUCAAACUUUAUGGUUUAAAUAAAAACUAUGACUUAGAAUUUGGCAAAAUAUGAUAUAUAUGUGAUCAAAGAAUAUGGAAAAAAUAAUAAAAGUUACUCUCAAAUUUGGACUUAUACCAGUUUUUCUUACAAAAAUAAGAAAAAAUGAAUUAUGGUAAUACUUUGGUGACUUGAAAAUAUUUUCAUGAAAUACAAUUAAAAAAAUGCCAAUAGGAUUUAGCUAAUCCUAACAAUUACUUUAUAUAUAUUUGAAGCAAAUUAACUAUAGCAAUUAUAACAAUAAUAGAAGAAAUUAAGUAUAAUAUAUUUUACCUAUAAUAUAAUGGUUGAUUAAAUAUCUAAAUAAUAAAAAUAGAUUUACGUUAUAAAUAUAGAAGCAAUCACAAAAUUAAUGAAUGCAUUUAUGGACAACAAUGGUGAAUGAUGUACCAAAAUCAACAAACCAAUGCUAUUAUGAGGUGACCAUCACGAGCACAAAAGUAUCCUAUUUAUCAACAAUAUCUAUGGUACAGGCUCAUUAUGUUAUUAUAAGCAUUUAAAUAAUCCAAGGUUGACAUGAAAUACUAAAAAAAAUGGAUCCAAAAUCCUAUAUUUUAUAUACUUCAAAACAUUGGAAGUGGCUUGAGAAGAUUUGUGAGCAAGUAUAAUAAGAACUAUGCACAAAUCAAGAUACAAAUCCAACAAACUUUAGCUCUAAGUAAACCAUGAUUGAAAAUAUAUUUAAGAACACUAUAGUUAUUAUUACAUCAACUCAAUUGCUCAAAUUCAAUUCCAAGCUAUUAUCUUAUCUAAAAUACAAGGCCUAUCCAAAACCAUCGAAGAAAGUGAUUGCUGAUUUGAAUAUUGUAACAAUGAUCUAGAUGCCACAGUUAUUAAAAUUGGCAUUGAAAACCACAAGUUAAAUAAUAUACUUAUAAAUAGAGGAACUAAAUUUUAUGUGAUUGCAAAUCAUAUCUGCAAAUUCUUUGGACUACUUCAAAUUGAAGCAUCUUUGUUCAUACUUUAAAAAACUAAUGAUACUUGAAUUAAAUCUUUGGAUAUAUUGCAAAAUAAAACCAUUGUAAUAGAAGAGAUUCAAACCUCUAUUAUGUUUUUUAUAAUUGAAAUAUCAACUAAGAGUCAUUUUUUGCUUAUGUUAAAAAAACCAUAGUUACUAGAUAUGAAUGUGUUUCAUGAUUGAUUUAACAAUGAAAUCACCAUUCAUUACUAAUAUCAAAAAUAUUUUCAUCAAUAUAGAUAAUUACAUAACUUAAAAAAAAAGACUUACCAAUUUAUCAACUUAUAUACAACUAUUCGUCUCAAGGCUAAAUAUUGACCAAAAAGUGCUAGUGUUUGCAGUAGAACCAAACUUGGUCCCUAUAACAAUAGUUAAUCUUGCAAAAGUAAUGAACAACAAACAAGUAGAUGUACUUAUUAAUUUUACUAUUAAGCUUCAAGACAAUCCUAUAAUUGACAAACAACUAGCAGAUACCAAAUUUGAAGGAAAAGUUAUCACAUAAUGGAUUCAAAACUCAAAGAAAAAAAUAAAAAUAAUCUAAUUACAAGACAUUUAAAAAAACCAAACAUAUCAACAUAAAUGUCAAUACAACAAAUAAAAUAAAGACUACCAUGAUCUCACUCUUACAUAAAUACUAAGUUAUUUUUGCAUGGUUGCAUAAGGAUCUAAAGGAUCUAUUUGCUAAGUUUAAUAAGCAUUAAAUUGAUCUUAUUUCAAAUAUCUAUCACUCAUAUAUAUAUAUAUAUAUAUAUAUAUAUAUAUAUAUAUAUAUCUUGAUAAUAAGAAUAGGUAGAAAUAAGUCAAGUAGAUAAAUAUGAUAAUAUCUUAUGGAAAGCUUCCUAGAAGCUUCAUAGACAUUGCUUUGUUUUUGUACAUGUCUAUAGGUGAUUGAUAGGUUGAAAACUUUGCCAACAAGGAGGCUACAUGUUGACAUGUUGACCACUUAUUGCAUAAGUUGGUCAUAUGGUGCACAUCUAGGAAACUUGCCUUACAAAUUAUACUUUUGUUUUACAAGUUGGAUGCAUAUUAGAGGUCCUAUAGCAUGUUGCCACAUAAUUCUUAGUUAAGUAGUAUAUAUAGAAGCAAGAAUGAGGCCUUUUUCAUUCCUAUCAAUUCCUUUCUUACUUUUAUUCUAGUUUCAAGGGUCUUAUGUUUUCUAGUCUUUAGCGAUAGCCAUUCCAAUUCUUCCUUGAAUAUACAUACUUUCUUCUAUUUUGUCACUUUUCUUUUGACACAUAUUCCACAAGUUUAUGUAUCUUCUUCUAGUUUGUGUCCUUAACUAAUUGACAAGAGUAUACAUACAAUAUCAGAGCUUUGUCUUUUCUAGAUUCAGAGUGGAUUUUUCUUUUCUUUUAAUAAGACAUAAGUAUAUUAGAAGUUAUCAAUUAUCCUCCUCUAAACUGAUAUUAUUUUUAGAAUUUUUUUUUUUCAUUCUUGAGUAUUUUAUUUUGUAAGAAUAGACAUUUUUUUUUUUUUUUUUUUUUUAUUGUGUUAGCAUGGCAGAUCUUACUCAAAUGAAGAGUGCAAUAGCUCAAAUGCAUGAACAAAUGAGAGAAUUAUUGCUUGUAAUGCAUCAACUCAGUCUACUACCACAAGUAGUAACAAGAUUAUCAGGCAAUGAAGAUAUAUAGAUGAUUGGAGUUGCUUCAAUAUCUACAUCAAGCCAUAUUACUGCUUCUACAAUGGAACAUCAUUCAAGUUUCAAGGAUCCAAAAAUUGGAUUACCUGAGAAGUUUAAUGGUACAAGAUCUAAGUUUUGAGGAUUCAUCAAUCAAGUGCAACUAGUGAUUGAACUACAACCUCAAAGUUAUCCAAUUCAAGGAUCACAAGUCAGGUUUAUAAAAAUACUACUUUCAAGUUCUACUUUAUCAUGAUUUUCAUCAUUUUUUGAAUGACAUGAUCUAAUAUUGGAUAAUUUUGAAGCACUCUUAGUAGAAUUUUGAUCUAUGUAUGGAGAACAUGAUGCAAUCCGUAUUGCAACCAACAAGAUUUGUAUCUUGCGAUAAGACAAUCGAUCAAUGACAUUAUUAUUGUCGUAUUCUGUGAUUUGCUAUUUGAGAAUAUAUUGGAUAUCUAACUGUACAAAGUUUAGCUUAAACUUUUAUAUGUAUCUUGUCUUAGCUUCCAAAAUUCCUUUAUUUUGCAUAAAAUUCAAAAUAUAGUAAAAUCCCUUCAAAAUAUAUUUUUUCCGCGAAGAGUUUUUUCUUCUUGAACUUUAGAAAUUCAUAACUCUUGAUUAUCCCUCUAGUUUGUUUCAAAUUUAUAGGGUAGGUAGAAUUCACCCUUAAGUUUUAUCACAAACAAAACCAAAUGUAAAUUCACUUUUAAUCUUCAAGCAUCUAAGAAUCCCUAGCAGAUGAUUUGAAUCCUAAUUUACAAGCACCUGAGUACUAUUUUCUUAAUAUCUCAAGGACCUAAUACUCAAAUGCCAUCAAACUUAUGUAAAAAGUUUACUUACAUGAAUAUAUACAUUCCUUGAUAUUUUGAGCCAAUAUCUUAUCAAACUACUCAAGAUAUAGCUCAAGACACAACCACUAGUAAAUCGGGUCACUUACCACCCUUAGAUUGCAUGCAUUGAUUUUAAAAUCCAAUAUCUCCAUCAUUCCAACUUAGAAUCCAGCAAGCAAUAUGCGAAAAGUAAAGUUGCAUAAGUGCUCUCUCUAGUCAUGGUCGUUGAUCCUCAAUUGUUUUCUGUACAUGUACGUUAUGUCAAAAAGAGUGACAAUAGCUCCCAAAUCAACACCUUAACUUUGAGCGCAUAUAUCUCCUUCAUAUAAACUCCAAAUCAUACAAAACUUGCACCAAAACUAUGGCCAAAAACUUGAGCUCUCUAACCUUAGUUUUCAAAGUAUGAAUGGUCCCAAAAAACUAAUCCUAAUCUUUAAUAUGGCCUCAGGCAGCCUCUUCAAAGCCCAUUGGUCAUGAUUUUUGACCAAUAGGAAUGGAGAUUUUCAUCAUCCAUCUCCAUUCAUCUAUAUAGAUGCCCUACAUUCUCUUUUUAUUAUCAAAAUCUCUUUCCAACUCUUUUCUUUACAAGAUAGAACCAAAAUAAGACUUCAAGGGUCACCAAUGUCAAAUAAAGGUGACUCUUAAUAUUUAAAGUUACUACCAAAAAAAUCAAUAUUUAAAGUUACUACCAAAAAAAUCAAUCUCAAAAGCCACUACCAAAAAAAAUAAAGUUAUGUAAAUUCUAAUAAUAAUACUUUUAAAUAACUUCUUUUUAAAGUAGUAAUUUAACCACAUUCUACAACCAACUAAAAUCUAAUAACAUGGCUCUCACCAUGUUGUUAAGUAAAUUAUACAUUAAAUAUAUAAUCACAUUAUUUUUAAAUAGUAGCUGAACUACAACAUGACAAUGCUUCAUAAUUUUGACAAUUAGCAACAAACAUCAAGUAGGAUGAUGCAGCACUUAUCAGCCAAUUUCUCUAUAGAUUCCAAUAUGAAGUAAAGAAAUUAAUGCUCAAUUUACUUGAUCUCAAGACAUUGAGUCAAGUAAUUGACUUUGUUGUAAAAUGUGAUGUAAUUGGUUUUUUGAGUUUUGAUUUGAAAAUUGUACAAGAAAACCUCAACCUUAUUACAAUUCAAUGAUGAUAUGAAUGACUUUUCAAUCUAAAUAUUUGGAAGUAGAAGACAUGUAAAUUGAUGUAGUAUGUUUUAAACCUCUUACCGAAUAAGAAAAGACUCGUGGUUGUCAAGAAGGACUAUAUUUGUAUUAUAGAGAAACUAAGCACAAUUUUCAAUAUUAUCCAAAGAAACAAUGCAACUAUAAAAUGAAGAGUACUCCUAUCAAAGAUGAAAACAUGUCGGAAAACAAAUUUGUCCAACAAUAAUAGGGACCAUGUGGCUAAAAUCUUGUACAAUUUCUAAUAAAGGUCCUAUUCUCUCCUUAGAACCUUCUCUUUCUUUUACAAUAGAUGUGCAUUUAGCAUCUAAUAAUCACAAAGCCUCUAUCUUAAUAGAUUCAAGAGCCUCAGCUUGUUUUUUAGAUGAAGAAUUUAUUAAAAGUCAUAAUAUAUAAUUAGUACAAAAAACUAAAUCCAUAUAUGUAGAAGUCAUACAAGGUCGUCCAUUAUCUUCUAGAGAUGUUACUCAUGAAACACUUCCUAUAGAUGUAGUAAUAAAUGGUCAUAAUAAUUGCAUAAAUUUGAACAUAAUUAGAUCUCUCACUAAUCCAAUCAUUUUAGGUUUAUUCUGGCUAAAAAAGUAUAAUCUUGUGAUAGAUUUAAAUUCUUAUAAACUUAACUUUUUUUCAAACAUCAUUAAGAGUUUUUCUAAUCCAGUAGAAAGCCAUGAGUUUAGUAUAGCCAAACCUAUACUUGUAGGUGCAAAAGCCUUUUUGCAUGCAGCAAAAAAAAGAUCAUCUUUUUUUAUUUAUGCCACACCUAUUUUAAAUGAUGGAAAGAUUUCAAGUGAAAUUCUAGUUCAAUAUCAAGAUUUUCAAGAUAUUUUUGAAAAAAAGAAUGUAGAUAUUUUCUUGAAGCAUUAUCCAUAUGAUUACUCAAAUGAUCUUAAAGAAGGAACUCAGCCACCAUUUGGUCCAAUCUAUAGUUUAUCACAAAAUAAGUUAGUUAAACUCAAGAAAUACAUUGAUGAGAACUUGGCCAAAAAUUUCAUAUGCCAUUCAAAAUCUCUUAUAAUAGCUCUAAUCUUAUUUGUAAAGAAAAAAAGAUGGAUCAUUGCAAAUGUGUGUGGAUUAUCAAAGAGUCAACAAGAUUACCAUCAAGAAUAGAUAUCCUCUAUUUUUGAUAUUUGGACUUAUUGAUCAAUUAAAUCAAGCUAAAAUCUAUACAAAAAUAGAUCUACAAAGAACAUACAAUCUGGUUUGCAUCAAAAAAGGAGAUGAAUGGAAGAUUACAUUUUGAACAAGGUAUGGAUACUUUGAAUAUAAUGUCAUGCAUUUUGGACUCACAAAUAUACCAAUUACUUUUCAAUAUCUUAUGAAUGAUGUUUUUUGUGAGUUUAUAGAUGAUUUUAUUAUUUGUUACUUUAACAACAUUUUAAUCUAUUUUAAAAAUACAAAAGAACAUAAAAUUCAUAUUCAUUGUGUAUUCCAAAAAACUUAGAGAUGCGAGAUUGUAUGCCAAGAUAGAAAAGUAUAUAAUCCAUACUACUCAAGUUGACUUCUUUAGAUACAUCAUUUCAAACAAUGAUCUAAUGAUGGUUCCUAAAAGUAUAUCUUAUAUACUUAUUUUAUAUAUAUACUAAUCUUUUAUCGCGUCGACUUAUCAAAAUCAUUUUUUAUGGAGACAAAUGCAUUUGAUUUUACCUUAGGUGCAAUCUUGUCACAAAUAAGUGUAGAUGAUAAAUUUCAUGCAGUAGCUUUUCAUUCAAGAAAAUUUUUAGGAGCUCAGAUUAAUUAUGAGGUCCACAAUAAGGAACUUCUUACAAACAUAGAUUCUUUUCAAGAAUGGCGCUAUUAUAUAGAAGGCGCUUUAAUUCCAAUCAUCAUAUAUGCGAAUCACAAGGACCUCAAGUAUUUCAUGUCAAUAUGUGUUUUGAAUCAUUGUCAAAUUUGUUGGAGUAUGUCUUUGUCAAGAUUUGAGUUUAAUAUCACUUAUCAAUCAAAAAAGUAACAGGGUUUGUUUGAUGUCCUUUUUUAGAUAUUCUUAUCUUAUAUCAAAAGAAGAAUAAACAACUUUUGAUCAACAAUAGAUAGUUUUAUUGAAGUCAAAAUAAUUUUAUUUCCGAGCAAUGAAAUCAACAUUGAUUAUUGAUUUGACUUUUUUCAAGCAAAUCCAAGUAAUUUUGUCUUUAGACCUUCUUGUUCAUGAUAUUAAAAAUAAUUCUUUGAAGUCUCAAGAUACUUCUAAGUUUGAGUAUAAGAAGUAUCUUCUCUAUUUCAAAGGAUACUUAUAUAUUCUAGAAGGAGAAGUGUGAUUAUGUGGUCUUAUAGCUUAUUAUAUUUUCCUUGUAAAAGGGCAUUUUGGAUAUAAUAAGGCUUUAGAGCUUAUAUCCAAAGAUUUUUAAUAGCCUCAAAUAUAGAAGGAUAUUAAAACAUUUGUGUAGACAUGUGAUGUUUGUUCAAGAUCAAAAACUCCUCUUAAUCAUUCUCAUGGAUUCUUCCAACCAUUACCUAUAUUAAAACAACCAUGGUCUUUUCUCUCUAUAGAUUUUAUCACAAAUCUUCCAAUUUCAAGUUCAUAUGAUUUCAUAUUUGUGAUUAUAGAUUGUUUCAUCAAGAUGGUAUAUUUUGUACCAUGUACAAAAUCUAUCACACAUGAAAGAAUAACUAAAUUCUUCUUUGACAACAUCUAUUGCUAUCAUGGAUUUUCAAGGAAUAUUAUAUCAAACAAAAGAAUAUAAUUUUUAUCAAGAUUUUAAAAAAUUCUUUUUAAAAUAUUAAAGGUGGAUAUGAAACUAUCUUCAACUUUCCAUCCUAAAACUCAUAGAGAAGUAAAAUGGAUAAAUCAUGUUUUAGAGCAAUAUUUGAGGUGUACCAUCAACUAUCAAGAAGAUGAUUGGACAACUCUUUUGCCAUUGGCAGAGUUUGCUUACAAUAAUUUGGUACAUUCUUCAACUUAACAAACAUCUUUCUCUGCCAAUUAUGGUUGUCAUCUACAAUUAGAUACUUUUGACUUUUCAAAAAUUGAUAUUCUUGUAGUGAAAGAUGUAGUAAAUUGAUUAUCAGAGCUAUAUACAACAAUAAAGGCACAAUUAAAAGAAGCUCAAGAAUAACAAAAAAUCAAUAUAGAUGUCUAUCAUAAGGAGCAACUUCAAUUCCAUGUUGAAGAUAAGAUAUGGUAACUUCAUCAUAAUAUUAAAACUAUAUGUUUUUAUAAAAAACUAGAUUAUGGUAGCCUUGGACCAUUUUCCAUUUAUAAAUAGAUCAAUCCAGUUACUCAUCAAUUGUAUCAAUUUGAUUCUAUCAAAAUCCAUCAUGUGUUUAAUGUAUCUUUACUCGAACCAUACAAGACAAUGGAUAUAGAAGAAAGGAGACAAAUGCCACUACCUCCUAUAGAAGUGCAAAAAAUGAAGAAUUUAAGGUAGAAGAAGUCUUAGAUUUAAGGCAGUGUUGAAAUAGGUUAGAAUAUCUGGUACAUUGGCAUAGAUAUGACAUUAAUGAAUAUACAUAGGAGCCAUCCAAGAAUCUAGCAAAUGCAUUGGCCAAAGUUAAAGCUUUUCAUCAAUGACAUCCAUCAAAAUCAAGAUAAAGAAUUAAGAAAUUCUUUGCUAUAAAGCAAAACAAGCCCAAUGGAGAUUUCAUUCUAUCUUGUAUUAUUGUUUUUUUGGUUUUUUUAGUACUUAAGAGAUGGAGAACCAACAACCAGCAAAUUCAACUCAAGAGCUAUCAUUUGUUGAGCUACCAAAUGAGACAUUCUGACUACCACAACCUUUGAGAUGGCAAAAUUGAGAUGAAGAUCUUGAAGAACGACAUGUUCUUCCUUAAAAAGAUGGUGAGAUACAACGCAUUUGAUACCAUGACCACGGAAGGAACUCCCGAUGUUUAGUGAUACUUUUGAAGGUAGAAACCACUCUUUAUGGUAUUAUUAAUUUUUUAUUUGAAGAAAGUUAUGAAGGCCUCAUUAAUGAUCAAUUCAUGAUAAAAUAAUGAUAAAAUUUGGUAGUUGUUAAAGUCUUUAAAGAAGUCAAGUGUGCUUACACAAAUCAUCUAAUACUACUUGCUAUCAAUUUAAAACUUCUUUUUUGUGUUUAUUCAAAUGCCUCUAAUGUUACUAUUAACAUAUUACUCACACAAAAUUACAAAAGAAAGUACAUCAAUAUAUGUCUUACAUAAGCAGAUCAUUGAAACCAAGUAAGAAAAAUUAUUUGACCUCAAUAUGUGAAGAACUUACAAUGAUAUAUGCCAUAUAAAAAUACAAACACUAUUUAUUUAAGAAUAAAUUCAAGUUUGUAUUCAACUACCAAAUACUAUUGCUCUUAGCGAAUUAACUCAUGAUCAAAGGACAAAUAACACAAUAGAUAUUGCUACUUAUAGAAUAUAACUUUGAAGUCAUUUGAAUUCUCCAAUAACAAAACAUAAUUGGUCAUAAUUUAUUAUAAGCACUUAGCCUAACAACUAACUUAAGAAUUGACAAAUGUUUUAUAGAUCUAUAUAAUCAAAGUGUUAUUUUAGAUAUUAUAAUGAUCAAUAACUUUUGAAUGUAAGAUCUAAUUAACUAUCUAACACUGGAACAAUUCCUUUAUACAUUCAUUGGCUUGAAUUGCAUCAACUUUGUAUACAAAUCAUUAACAUAUAUAUGUACCAAUAGCAACCUUUAUAAACUAUAGAUAUACAAUGAUACGUGAUUGUGCAUCUGUAUAGUCCAACAUCAUGAAUUGAUUUAAGUUAUGUACAAUUAUCCUACAAAUAGAUAUCAAGCGAUCAAUAAGACCAUUAAAAUAUUUCUUAUCACUAAAUAUUGGUGGCCUUCAUUCCAUAUAGAUUUUUACAAAAUAUGAUUCAUGGUACCAUGCUUGUAAAAUUACCAAACUUAGAUUUCUACGUAGGAAGUAAGCUUGUCUACAAUCUAUAUCUCGACUUUUUUUAUUUAUGUAUUAGAGACUAAGCUUCAUCGGUGCUAUUAAGCCAUGCACUAACCUAUAUAAUAAAUAUAUAAUUAUGGCAAUGAACUUUGUAAUCAAAUGGUGUAAGGCUUGUGCAUUAAAAAUAAAUACAACAUCAACCACCACCAAAUUCGUAUACAAAAAUAUAAUCAUAUAAUUUAGAUACUUACUUGAGAUAGCUUCAAAUUAAGAAAUCUAUUUUGUAAAUGAAGUAACCAAUUAAUUCUUAGACAAAUUCAUAAUCAAGUAUUGGAUAUCAUGUACUUAUUAUCUCCAACAAAAUGGUCUUACAAAAUCCAGAAACAAAAUAGUUAUCAAUAUAGUACAUUGAUUCAUUCACAAUAAGGUGGAUUAAGACAAAGAUUUAUCUGCUCUUCUAUAGGCCAAUUGCAUUGCAUAUAAAAUUGCCAUUGUAUAGUUUCCUUUCAAACUUCUGUUUAGGGUAUAGCCCUUGCUAUCUAUAAAAUAUAUUGUACUAACUUUUGAUAAACUUGUGUAUCCUAAAGUGUCAAGUAUUAAAGCUAUUGUUUCCUAUAUUGUAGAUAUCAAAAGAAAUAAAGAAUUGUACCAUUAGCUAUUACCGAAAUCCAAAAAAUUAGAUAAAGAUGAUAUCACAAUACAAAAAAUUAAAGUUAGUGCUUUAUAUCUAAUAAUAGUGAGUAAUCAAAUUUACUAGUGGUCAUUUUUUGAGCUUUAUCUUGAGCCAUUUGAUAAGAUUUUGGCUCAAAAGUUUUUUAAUUGUGUGUAAUUAUAUUAAAAAACUUUAUGCACAAAUUUUGUGGAAUUUGCAUUUUGGGUUUUCUUGAUAUGAAGAAAAUAGUUAAUAGGUGCUUCUUAAGUAGGGUUUUGAACAUCAUGUAGGAUUUAUAAGAUAGUAGAAGAUCUAUGUUAGAUUCAUGGUUAUUAUUUUUUGUGGUAAAGCUUUAGUAUAGAAUUUAUAUCAUGUAAAAAUUUAAAAAAAGAGAUUAAGAGAUAUGAAUUUUUAAAGUUCAAGGUAAAAAUAUCCUUUAUAAGAAGAAAAUAUUUUGAAGGGUUUUAAUAUAUUUUGUACUUUUGUGCCAAAUAAAGGAUUUUUUGGAAGCUAAGACAUCAUAUAUAAGUAAAAGCUAAUUUCUCUACAAAUUCUAAAUUAAUUAAGCUCUUUAUACAAAUACUUUAGAUAAUUAUGUUAUAAUCUCAAUAUUAGUCCAUACUAGUAAUUUUUAUAUUUUCUUUCUCACUCUCCCCUUUGUGCCAUUGCCUUCUUGUACUCUUGAUCAUUUUAUCACUUUAUUGCUUUAUUUUCCUAUGUAUGUGAUAAAACAACAACCUUACUCACAUUAGAUUUGAUUCUUUGCAUUAUUGAAGAUCUAAUCUUAGAUAGACAUGAAAGAUCAUGCAUAGAUAGAAAAUGUAAAAUUAAAUAAAUUUUAUUAGCACCUUUUUGGUGACAUUAACAAAACUUUAUAUAAGAAAUUUGUGUAUAAUAUGAUUUUUUGCAGUGCUAGUAAAUAUUAUUACAUGAGCAAAGUAGAAGGUAAAGAUAUUUGUUAAAUUAUAAUAUAUCAUUAUGUAACAUACGUAUUUAUGUUUGUAAAAAUAAUGUUUUUAGGAUUCUACUGUGAGCAACUUCUUGAAAACUGCAAAUGUAUUAUCAAAUUCAAGACCAAGACAUGUGGAAGUUAUAACAUCUUCAUGAUUAAGAUUUGAGGCAAACUUCGCAAAUAUACAUGCAUUUGUGGAGUUUUUGAAGUAGUAUAUGUUUACAAGUAAGUGAAUAACAUGUCAAAUAUUAUAAUAGAUAUUUAUUUUUUAGAUUAAAAAAAACUAAAUUAAUAAAGAAAUAAUCAAUGAUACAUUUAAAAGAGAAUUAUAGUACUUAAAGUAAGAUCCUCAAUUGUCUAAUAUAAUUUGCCUAUAUCUUAUAAAUUACAUACAUAAGUAAAAAUUCCAUGUCAUAAAGUUCUAGAAUUAUCCUAGACAUACAUAUUUAUUCUAAUAUUUAUCUAUAUUAUAAAAAAGAAAUAAGUAAAAAUAGAUUUAUUUUAUAAUAUUUUUUAGAAUAGCUUCUUAGAAGCUUCAUAGAUGUUGUUUUGAUUUUAUAUAUGUUUGUAGUUGAUUGAUAGGUUAGAAACUUGAUCAAAAAAUUAACCACGUGUUGGUGGUGUAUAAAAUAUGUUAAUUAUGUAGCACACAUAUAGAAAAAAUUCCUUAUAAAUUAAGAUAUGUAUCUUACAAAAUCAACACAUUUUGGAGGUCCUAUAAGACUUUGCUAUAUAGCUCUUAGUUGAAAGUAUAUAUGGAAGCAAGAGUGAAGUCUUCUUCACUCUUAUCAAUGCCUUUCUAGUCCUUCAUCUUGUUUUAAGUCUUUCUAGACUUUUAGUCUUAUGUAAUAGCCAUUUUAGUUUAAUACUAUACCAUCUUCAAAUGUUUUUUUAGUCUUUUUGAUUGACAUAAUAAUGCAUUAAGAUUUUUCUUUCUUUGAGAUUGAUGUCUUUGAUAGUUUAACAAGUGUGUUAACUCAUUGUUCUUGUCUUUUUUUAGAAGUGAGUGCAUUAUUCUACUUCUAUUGUUGUAUUUUGAAGGUUGUGGAUUUUCUACCUUUAAACAAACAGUUUUGUUUUUUAAUAUUGAUUUUUUCUUUUAAAAGAGCAGAUUAUCUUUUUUUGUAGAAAUUUACAUUUGAUAAUAGAGGUUGCGGAUUACCUAAUUUUAAUUUAAUUUGUAGAUUUUUUAAGUUAUUUGAAAAGGAUAGAAACAUCACAAAUGCUAAACUUGACAGAAGUGAGAGUAGAUUUUUAACUAUUAUUGAUCUGCAAGAACUUGUUAAUAUUCAAAAGAUAGAUAUUUCAUACAUCACUUAUGCCAACCACAAAAAUACUAAUCCUAAAACUAUAGAAGAAGUUCAAAGUCUGCAUCAAAAAGUUGUAUAAUUAAAAGAAAAAAAUAAAUCAACCUCACAACUAAAUCUAAUUUUUUUUGCUUCUUUUAGUACAAUAGGGAGAAGGAUUAGUAUGCCAAAGAAUUUUGAUGGAAUAAGAUUAAAAUGUUGAAGAUUUUGCAACAAGUCAAGUUCUAAUUAAGAUUACAUCUCUUUAAAUACUUUGAUGGAUUUUCAUAAGUUAGAUUCAUAAGUGCACUUCUAUCUAAAAGUGCUCUCUUUCUUAGUUUAAUGCUUUGAUAGACAAAGGAUUCACGACUCUUUUAUGAUUGGAAUUCCAUCUUAGAAGUAUCUACAGCCAUAUUUUGAGAAAGUGAUCAAGAAAGAGUAGCAAAAAUCUAGUUUUUAUCUUUACAACAAAGAUCAAGAUCAGCCAUGAUAUAUGUUUCUGAAUUCCAAAACCUCACUUACAAUAUGGACUAAAAUAACAAAGCCCUCAUCAAUCAAUUUCAAUAUAUGGUAAGGAUAACGUCCAAGAUUUAUUAUUAACAAUGUCAAAAAUAAAAUCUUUGAAAGAAUUUAUUAUUGAAGCCAUUGCAUGCAACAAUCAAUUAUUUAAAUGGCACCAAGAACAAAAAUUUGAUUAGAGACAAGCAAGUCAAGCAAUGACAAAAGCUUCUAAUUUUUCAAAAACUUAUUUAUAAAGGCCGAAACCAAUACAAAUUGAUACUAUACAUUUUAAAUCCUUUACUAAGUAAAAAAAGACUUGAUGUCAUUAAGAAGAUAUGUACUUGUAUUGUAGAGAAGCUUAGCAUACUACUCAACAUUAUUCAAAGAAGAAAUGUAAUUACAAAGUGAUGAGUAUAAUUACUUAAGAAGAUAAAUAUAUCAAAAAAUAAGUUUCUUCAGCUACAAUUAGAAUUGUACAUCUUGAAUUAUAUAUAACUCCUAUUAAAAGACCUAUUCUUUCCUCCAAUCUCUCAUGCUAUUAUAUAAUAGAUGUGUAUUUAGGACAUUAAAAUCACAAAGUCUUUGCAUUAUUAGAUUUUAGAGCCUCAGAUUGUUUUAUAGACAAAGACUUUAUCAAAAAACAAGAAAUAUCUUUAAUCAAGAAAACUAAAUCUAUACAUGAAGAAGUCAUAGAUGGUCAUUUGUAGUCUGUUAGAGAUAUUAUUUAUGAGAUUUUUUCUUUAGAUGUAAUAAUAAGAGAUCAUAAUAGUGUAGUAAUAUUUAAUGUGAUAAGAUCUCCCUUUAAUCUAGUUACUAUAUGAUUAUUGUAGUUAAAAAAAUAUAACUCUUAGAUAGAUUAAAUUUCUUAUAAUAUUAAGUUCUUUUGAAGUUUAAUCCAAAAUUUUGAUAGUGAAAUAGAAAUAGAUAAGCCUAGUACAUUCAAAUCCUUGCUAAUAGGUGCAAGAGCUUUCAUCAUGCAAAAUAAGAAAAGGCCAUCUUUUAUUAUAUAUGCCAUACCUAUUUCAAAUAGUAGAAAGAUGUCAUAUGGUUUUUUUAGCUAAUGCCAAGAUUUCUAAGAUGUUUUUGAAAGAAAAAAUAAGAAUAUUCUUUUAAAGCAUCAAUCCUAUGAUUGUUGAAUUAAUCUACAAGAAAGAACUCAACCUCCAUUUGGAUCAUUUUUUAGCUUAUUGCAAAAUGAUUAGGAUUGCUUGACCAAUUCAAUCAAGUAUAGAUCUAUAGAAAAAUAGAUCUAUAAAUAGCAUACAUCUUAAUUCAUAUUAAAAAAGACUGAGUGAAAGACUACUUUUUGAAUUAAGUAUGGUCAUUUCAAUUAUAAUGUCAUGCCUUUUGGACUCACAAAUGGACCAAUCACUUUUCAACAUCUCAUGAAUAAUAUCUUUUGAGAAUUUUUAAAUGAUAUUAUUAUCUAUUAUUUAAACAACAUUCUAAUCUACUCUAAAAAUACAAAAGAAUAUAAACUUCAUGUAUGUCAUGUGUUACCUAAACUUAGAGAUACAAGAUUGUAUAUAAAGAUGAAAAAGUGUGUAUUCCUCACUAUUUAGGUUGAAUUUUUAGAAUGCAUUAUUUCUAAUGAAAGAUAAAUGAUAGAUCUUGAAAAGGUCUAAACUAUCAUGGAUUAAAAGAUUUCAAGAAUAAUGAGAGAUGUGUAAUAUUUUUUUUAAAAUUUUCUAAUUAUUAUCAAAUCUUUAUUAAAAAUGAUUUUUAAGUUGGAACUUUUUUUAUAUGUCUCAUAUAAAAAGAAUAAUUUGAAUGGAACAAAGAAGCAAAAACAUCUUUUGAAGCCUUAAAGACACUAUUCAUUUUUGUACCAAUUUUGUAUCAUGUCAAUGUUUUAAAGGUAUUCUUCAUAGAAACAAAUACAUUAUACUUUGCUAUGGGUGUUGUUUUAUCACAAAUGAAAGCAGAUGAUAAGCUCUAUCCUAUUUUUUUUCAUUCUAAAACAAUAUUAAGAAUUAAGAUUAACUAUAAGAUCCACAACAAAGAGCUUCUUGAAAUUAUGGAUUCAUUUCAAGAAUGGCAUUAUUAUCUAGAAGGCACUUAUAGUUCAAUUAUGGUACAUACAAAGGACAAGAUCUUCAAGAACAUUAUAUUGGCACAUGUUUUGAUCAUCGCCAAGCUUGUUGAAAUAUGUCUUUAUUAAGAUUUGAUUUUAAGAUUACAUAUAGACCUAGAAAAAUAACAAGGUUAUUCAAAUAUCUUUUUAGAUAUUCUUAUCUAGCAUCAAAAGUAGGAGAUGUCACAUAUUAUCAUUAAAAAAUGAUUCUCUUGAAGUCAAAGCAUUUUCAUCUUUGAGCAAUAAAAUCAAAAUUGACUAUUGAUUCAACCUUUGUCAAGCAAAUUCAAUCUAGUAUGUCUUUUGAUUCUCUCUUUUAUGAUAUCAAGAAUAAAUCUUUUAAGUCUCAUGAUACUCUAAGUUUAAGUUCAAAAAUAAUCUAUUCUAAUUAAGAGACAAUUAUACAUUCCAAAAGACAAAGCAAAAUUGUAUAUUCUUUAAGGUCAACACGACUUUCUAAAAGCUAAAUAUUUUGGACACAAUAAGACUUUGAAACUAGUAUCUGAAGAUUUUUCAUAGCUUAAAAUGUGGAAGGUAGUCAAAGACUUUGUACAAUGAUGUGAUAUUUGUUUAAGAUCCAAAAUUCUUCAUCAUCAAUCUUAAGCACUUCUUCAACCAUUACCUAUCUUGAAACAACCAUGGACUUUUAUUCUUAUGGAUUUUAUUACAAAUCAUUCAAUCUUAGGUUUAUAUGAUUCUAUAUUUGUGAUAGUAGAUCAAUUUACUAAGAUGGUAUAUUUGUACCAUGUACAAAAUCUAUCAAAAGAAAAGAAACAACUAAGCUUUUUCUAAACAACAAUUAUUGCUAUCAUGGAUUAUCUAAGGAUAUUAUAUUAAAUAGGAAACUUGAUCUAUAUCAAGAUUUUUGGAGAAUCCUUUUUAAGAUUGUAAAAGUAGAUAAAAAGCUCUUUUGAGCUUUUCAUCUUCAAGUUGAUAGACAAUCAGAAUAAGUGAAUUAAAUUUUAGAGUAGUAUUUGAGGUGUACCAUCAAUUAUCAUUAAGAUGAUUGAACUACUCUUUUGCCAUUGGCAGAGUUUGCAUAUAAUAAUUUAUUAGAUUGUUCUACUCAACAAACACCUUUCUUUGUAUACUAUGGUUAUUAUGUAUGACUUGAUACAUUUAACUUUUUAAAAGUUGAUAAUUCUAUGGCAAAAUGUUUUGCAAAUCAUUUGUCAAAAUUACAUGCAAGAAUGAAGGCACAAUUAAAAGAAGCUCAAGAAUGACAAAAAAUCAAUGUAGAUGCCUAUUUCAAGGAACAACCACAAUUCAACAUAGUUGUUAAGGUAUGGGUACUUUGUUAUCAUAUUAAGACUACUCAUCCUUGUGACAAGUUGGACUAUCAUAGAAUUGGACCUUUUCCUAUUAGUGAAUAAGUCAAUCUUUUUGCUUAUCGAUUAAAUCUAUUGGAGUCUAUGAAGAUCCAUUUCAUAUUCCAUGUAUCUCUUUUUGAGCCAUAUAAGACAAUGAAUAUCUUGAGAAGAAGUCAAAUACAACAUCUUCUUAUAAACAUGAAAAAUAAUCAAGAUUUCAUGGUAGUAGAAGUCUUAGAUUUAUGCAGUGCCAAAAUAGAUUAAAACUACUUCAAAGUAGUAAUCACUAUUCUUUACAUCCGUUCAAAGAUACAUAUUGUAUUAUUUUUGUUAAUAUAUCUAAUUUUGCUUUCUUUACAAUCCUAUAAGUAGAUGAAAGUCUUCUUAAGAAAAAAAAAUGCCACAAAGAUACUAAUUGUGAAUAAGAAUUUGAUAGUCAAUAUACUCAUAUACCACUAAAGAAGAAAGAAGCUUAAGAGACAACAAAUAAUAAUAAGAUGUAAAAGAACUAAAAGGAUAGUUGGAAAAUAUGAUGACAUUACAAAGUUUUAUACUAAGACCAAAAUACAACAUAGCUUCUCUUGAGACUAAUGGUUGCCCUAUUCUUGUUUCUAUAUAGAUAUAUAUAUAUAUAUAUAUAAGCUAUUAGGUAGGCCCUCCAAACUCUUCCUAUGCACCUCAAGCCUUAUAAUUAUCAAAUAAUACAUUUGUGUUUGUGUGAAUGGUUUGUGCAAAUGCCAUGUUGGUUGUGAGCAUACAUAUACAUUUAUACACAUACUCUUGACACUAGUUCUGUGCGCAGAAUGCAACAUGUCACGUAGGUGUGACAUUUACCCCUCUAAAAUAGGUUUAGUUGCCCUUCCCAGCCACAGGAUGUCAUGAGCAUGGCUUUUUACUCUGUUGCAACUGGGUGCUGCGUGGGCUUCCAACAGUGCAGCCCGCUGACCACGAGAUGGGCCAUGACGACCACAGUGGUGCCAGAGGAAUGUGACAUUCAUCUGGUUUUGGAGGCAGCGGAAUCCGUUUCCGUGGUUGGCAGCAGCGGCCAGCAGCGGUCAGCUCGAUGGGAAUUCCAUCUCGCUAUCUCAGUGGAGAUAUCUCGGCUUAUCCAAUCCGGUGACCGUAGAAGUGCCCCGAGCAUGAUUUUGCGCUGGGCGAAGUCGCUAUAAGGCCCUCCUCCGAGCUGGGUCGUCCGUGCACAGUCGGCCCGGUAUCGCCACUUCAUCGCUUCACUCCAUUCUGUUGGAGAUCCUCCGUUCGGGAACGUGUGUGCAGACAUGGCAGGAGCUACCGCGAUGCACUCGACAGCCUUGGCUGGGCAGGGUGUGCUCAAGCCCGUGAACGAGCUGUCCCGCAAGGUGGGCAAUGUGGAGGCCCGCGUCACGAUGCGGCGGACCGUGAGCAAGUCCGCUGGCAGCGACAGCAUCUGGUAUGGUCCCCACUUGACGAACUCUGGGAUGACAGUUUUGAGUGCUUGAUGGUUGUGUUGGGAGCGCGAUUGGGAUUGGGGUUGAGCGGAGUGUGUUGGGGAUUGGGGUUGAGCGGAGUGUGUUGUGGAUUGGGGAUUGGGGAUUGUGGGGCGGAGGCCAUGAAGCAGUGGAGGCCUUGAAUUUGGAAAUCGGAAUGGCAUCCGGCCGGGGCGUGUGGUCGGUUUGGUUGUCCACGCGCGGAGCAGCUUGAGAGGUGAGAGGUGAGAGAUGGAGGUUGGCAUCGGCGGUGGGGCAUUGGAAGUGUGACAAAUGUUGGGGUCAGAGCUGCUAUGGCGAGGGUGUGCAUUGCUGAGGUGACAUUGGUGAGGGAUAGAGAGGAACGUAUGCCUAAGCCGAACGUCGGACUGUUGCUCAGGUACGGAGCUGACCGACCCAAGUUCUUGGGCCCCUUCUCCGGCGAGACUCCGUCGUACCUGACCGGCGAGUUCGCUGGAGACUACGGGUGGGACACCGCCGGACUGUCGUCCGACCCGGAGACGUUCGCCCGCAACAGGGAGCUGGAGGUGAUCCACGCCCGGUGGGCCAUGCUGGGGGCUUUGGGGUGCCUGACCCCGGAGCUGUUGGCGAAGAGCGGCGUGAAGUUCGGCGAGGCGGUGUGGUUCAAGGCCGGAGCGCAGAUUUUCAGCGAGGGCGGGUUGGACUACCUGGGCAACCCGAGCCUGGUGCACGCCCAGAGCAUUUUGGCGAUCUGGGCAUGCCAGGUGGUGCUGAUGGGAGCCGUGGAGGGCUACCGUGUUGCGGGAGGACCCCUGGGCGAGGUGACAGACCCCAUCUACCCGGGAGGGUCGUUCGACCCCUUGGGUUUGGCUGACGACCCCGACACCUUCGCGGAGCUGAAGGUGAAGGAGAUCAAGAACGGGCGAUUGGCGAUGUUCUCGAUGUUCGGGUUCUUCGUGCAGGCGAUCGUGACCGGAAAGGGGCCAUUGGAGAACUUGAACGACCACUUGGCCGACCCGGUGGCCAACAACGCAUGGGCGUACGCCACCAACUUCACCCCCGGGAACUAGGAUGGCGCGGUAGAGCCGAUUUAAUUUUCUGUGAGCUGCGAGAGUCUGUCACCUAGACGGAGCCACCAGUCGGGUUGGCGGCGUUCGCACAGUUGUACAUUGGGAGAGUGUGAAUGAGUAAAUUGUGGAUGUGUUAUUGUAAUUGGGAAUUGCAACUGGGCGGAGGGACGGGGAGGCGGGUGUGGAUGUGGGCAUGGAACGGUUCCGUACGCAGACGGGUGUGUGUUGGUUUCGGCCGGUAUGGGAAGUAGCGCCAUGUCUUGCGGGAUCGAUGUGAUGGGGAGUGGUUUCGUGGAGUGAAAGACGGUGAGAGCCGAAACUGUGAAUGUGAGGGUGGGUGCGGGGGAAUUUGUUUGAUCUCUAGGAGCAUAGCGAGGCGCCCAUGCGCUGCGCACGGUGGGGGGAUAAAGUUGGCGGGGAUUGUUUGUGACUGGAGUUGACUGGUGGAUUAUCCAUAUCUGGCAAGCCGUGACAUGUGAUUGAAUUGGCGUCGAGAGGUAGUUUGCGUGGAUGGCAGAGCUCAAUCAGCAUAUAUGAGGGUGAGGCACACAGCGGGCUCUCACACAAUUCUCAUCGGUUCACUUUGGUGUCGAAGUAGGACGGGAAUACGCAGUUCCUGGAACGGGACGCUGCUGUGGAGAAAACGAAUGUGUGGGCGUUGAAUGGGUUGCGUAAAGCUUGUCGGAGCGGGGCAAGGGACUAGAGACCGACUGUGUACCAUGGGAGUGGAGGGAGAUGAAUGCGGAAGGGAUGUGGGGAUAAUUUUUGUAUAUGGACCGUCGUGGUGUAUGCAAGAAGGUAGAACAAGGAACACAGGAAUCGCUCGAAACGGGCAGUGCACAGCGUAAACAGUGUGCAUUUUGAAAGGAAGAACCUGUGUAGUUCGAAUUCGGGAUCGAAAGGAUUAGUCAGGAAGAAUAUCAGAACUGAUAUGCUCUUCAUCCUUGCAAAAUGGACGUGUCAGACGGUCUUGACUGUAGAUGUAUAGAUUCUUGAUUGGUGUACAUAGUUUCGGAUUAUGAGAGUCGCAGUGCUAGCAACCGCAGUGUGUCUUUUCUGCAUUAGGCGCAAGAAAACGUAGAGUAAAUCAGGUACGCUUUGCGCCUGGAAAAUGAGAUUCUACUCCUGUCCAAAUGAUAUACUAUUGCACACAUAUCUUCAGAGGGGAGGAAUGAUUGCGGAUUACAUUCCAUCUCCAACAAAUCAGACAGAAUCCAAAUGUCCCAACCAAAUCUUGCAUUCCGCUCAUUGCAGUAUGUACUAGAAAUUCAUUCCUCAGCAGGCCACUGUGUGCUGAGUCAUUUGACUUUUCAAUUCACAUGUAGUUAUUAUUAAAGCACUUAUUGAGCUCAUGGUCACAAGCAAAAUUUGAAUUAGUGUAGCUAACUCUAUUACUGGGAGCUUUGUGUAUCUACAAUGCAACGCAAAUGCGCACAGUUGGUAAGCAUUUUGUGUUGUUGCAAAUGUAGGGCACAACAAGUAUUGCUGCGGCGGAGCGUCAAUUACAUUGCAAUCAACGUGUGCUUCUUCUCACUAGACGCGGGCAUGAUGCAUUCACUUCUCAACUCCAACAAUACUCCCCAAAACUGCAAAUUUCAGUGCAGUGUAAAAUCCACGAGAAACAAACCACAUGAUCAAAGGACAAAUAAUGCAAUAGAUAUUGCUACUUAUAGAAUAUAACUUUGAAGUUAUUUGAAUUCUCCAAUAACAAAACAGAAUUGGUCAUAAUUUAUUGUAAGCACUUAGCCUAAUAUAUGACUUAAGAAGUGACAAAUUUUUUACAUAUCUAUAUAUUCAAAGUGUAAGUUUAGAUAUUAUAAUGAUCAAUAACUUUUGGAUGUAAAAUUUAAUUAACUGUCUAACACUGGAACAAUUCCUUUAUACAUUCAUUGGCUUGAAUUGCAUCAACUUUGUAUACAAAUCAUUAACAUAUAUAUGUACUAAUAGCAACCUUUAUAAACUCUAGAUAUGCAAUAAUACUUGACUGUGCAUUUGUAUAGUCCAACAUCAUGAGUGGAUUUAAGUUAUGUACAAUUUUCCUACAAAUAGAUAUCAAGCGAUCAAUAAGACCAUUAAAAUAUUUCUUAUCACUAAAUAUUGGUGGCCUUCAUUCCAUAUAGAUUUUUACAAAAUAUGUUUCAUGGUACCAUGUUUGUUAAAUUGCCAAACUUAGAUUUCUAUAUAGGAAGCAAGUUUCUCUACAAUCUAUAUCUGAACUUGCUUUAUUUAUGCAUUAGAGCCUAAGAUUCAUCAGUGCUAUUAAACCAUGCACUAAGCUAUAUAAUAAAUAUAUAACUAUGGCAAUGAACUUUGUAAUCAAAUGGUGCAAGGCUUGUGCAUUAAAAAUAAAUACAACAUCAACCACCACCAAAUUCUUAUACAAAAAUAUAAUCAUAUAAUUUAGAUACUUGCUUGAGAUAGCUUCAAAUUAAGAAAUCUAUUUUGUAAAUGAAGUAACCAAUUAAUUCUUAGAUAAAUUCAUAAUCAAGUAUUGGAUAUCAUAUACUUAUUAUCUCCAACAAAAUGGUCUUACAAAAUCCACAAACAAAAUAGUUAUCAAUAUAAUACAUUGAUUCAUUCACAAUAAUAUAGUACAUUGAUUUAUUCACAACAACAAGGCUGAUUAAGGCAAAGAUUUAUCUGAUCUUCUAUAGACCAAUUGUAUUUCAUAUAAAAUUGCCAUUGUAUAGUUUCCUUUCAAAAUUAUGUUUUGGGGUAUAGCCCUUGCUAUCUUUAAAAUAUAUUGUACCAACUUUUGAUAAACUUGUGUAUCUCAAAGGCUCAAGUAUAAAAGCUAUUGUUUCUUGUAUUGAGGAUGUCAAGAGAAAUAAAGAGUUGUGCCAUCAAGCCAUUACCAACAUCAAAACAAUUAGAUAAAGAUGAUACCACAAUACAAAAAGUUAAUGUUAGUGCUUUAAAUCUAAGGAUAGUAAGAGAUCGAAUUUAUUAGUGGUUGUGUUUUGAGCUUUAUCUUGAGCAAUUUGAUAAGAUUUUGGCUCAAAAGUUUUUUAAUUUUGUGUAAUUAUAUUAAAAAAAUUUAUGCACAAAUUUUGUAGUAUUUGAGUUUUGGAUUUUUUUGAUAUGAAGAAAAUAGUUUAGAAGUGCUUCCAAAAUAAUGUUUUGAACAUCUUCUAGGGUUUCUAACAUGCUAGAAGAUCAAUGAUAGAUUCAUGGUUAAUAUUUUUUUUGGUAAAAUUUAAGCAUAGAAUCUAUAUCAUAUAGAAAUUUGAAAAAAAUAGAAGGGUUGGAUCUAGAGAUAUAAAUUUCUAAAGGUCAAGGUAAAAAUAUCCUUUGCAAGAAGAAAAUAUUUUGAAGGGUUUUGUCAUAAUUUGUACUUUUGUACCAAAUAAAGGGUUUUUUGGAAGCUAAGACAUCAUGUAUAAGUAAAAGCUAAUCUCUCUACAGCUAGGUAUCUAGUAUAUUCUUGGAUAGCAAAUUACACCAUACGACAAUGUAUCACAACUUCAUUAUUUAAAUAAAAUGUAAUCAUAAAGCAUUCUAUCUUAUUGGUAAUAAAAAUGGCAAAUUCUACAAAAAUAUUUAGAAAAGUUCAAACUAAGUAAGCUCUUUAUACAAAUACUUUGUGCAAUUAUGUUAUAAUCUCAACAUUAUUCCAUACUAGCAAUUUUUUUAUUUUCUUUCUCAUUCUAUACUUUGUGCCAUUGCCUUCUUAUACUCUUGAUUAUUUUAUUACUUUAUUGCUUUAUUUUCCUAUGUAUGUAAUAAAGCAACAACUUUACUUACAUUAUAUUUGAUUUUUUGCAUUGUUGAAGAUCCAAGCUUAGAUAGACAUGAAAGAUCAUGCGUAGAUAGAAAAUGUGGAAUUAAACAACUUUUAUUAGCACUUUUUUGGUGACAUUAAUAAAACUUAGUAUCAAAAAUUUGUGUAGAAUAUGAUUUUUUGCAAUGCUAGUAAACAUUAAAUCAUGAGCAAAGUAGAAGGUAAAAACAUCCUAUAAAUUAUAAUGUAUCUUUUUACAAUAUACUGAUUUAUAUUUGUAAGAAUAAUAUAUUUAAGAUUCCAUUGUGAGCACUCUCUUCAAAACUGCAAAUAUAUUAUCAAGUUCAAGACCAAGACAUGUAGGAGUUAUAGCAUCCACAUGAUUAAGAUUUGAGGCAAACUUCACAAAUAUAUAUUUAUUUGUGGAGUUUUUGCAGUAGUGUAUUUUUGCAAGUAAGCAAAUGUCAUGUCAAAUAUUAUAAUAGAUAUUUAUUUUUUAGAUUAAAAAAAACUAAAUUAAUAAAAUAAUAAUCAAUGACACAUUUAAAAAAAGAAUUAUAGUACUUAAAGUAAGAUCCUCACUUGUCUAAUAUGAUUUGCCUAUUUCUUAUAAAUUACAUAUACAUAAGUAAAAAUUCCAUGUCAUAAAGUUCUAGCAUUGUCAUAGAGAUACAUAUUUUUUCUAAUAUUUGUCUAUAUUAUAAAAAAGAAGUAAGUAAAAAUAUAUUUAUUUUAUAAUAUUUUUUAGAAUAGCUUUCUAAAAGCUUCAUAGAUGUUGUUUUGAUUUUACAUAUGUUUGUAGUUGAUUGAUAGGUUGGUAACUUGAUCAACAAGUUAAGCACGUGUUGGUGGUAUGUAAAAUAUGUUAACUAUGUAGUACACAUAUAAAAACCAUGUUUUAUAAGUUAAGAUAUGUGUCUUGUAAAAUUAAGAUAUUUUAGAUGUCCUAUUCUAAGGAAUAUAUAUUUAUUGUAAUAAUUAUCUAGGUAAUAUGAAUAGAUAAAAGUAGAUUAAUUUCAUAAUAUCUUCUAAAAAAGCUUUCUAGAAGUUUCAUAGACGCUGCUUUGAUUUUACAUGGGUUUAUAUUUGAUUGGUAGGUAAGAAACUUGGUCAACAAGUUAAUUAGAAGUUGUAGAUUACACUCUUUUAAACUAAUAUUGUCCUUAGUAUUUUCUUUGUUUUUAAGUCCUUUCUUCUAUUUGUCUUGAGCAAUAUUAGACAUCUUUUUUUCUAAGUAUUAUAAUGCUAGAACUUACUGAAAUAAAGAGAAUAAUAGGAUAAAUGUAAGAGCAAUUGAAGGAGUUAAUGCUUACUAUGCAUCAACUCAAUUUACUACCACAAGAAGCAACAAGAUUGACAGGAAGUGAAGUUAUAGAAAUGAUUGGAGCUGCUUCAACAUUUGCAUCGAAUCAUAAGCCUUCUCCUAUAGUCAGAUGUUCUUUCAAAGUUCAAGAACCAAGAAUUGCCCUAUCUGAGAAGUUCGAUGGCACCAAAUCAAAGUUUAGAGGAUUUAUCAAUCAAAUACAACUUAUGAUUUAACUUCAACCGCAAAGCUAUCCAAUUCUAGGAUCACAAGUUAGAUUCAUUGAUGCGCUUCUUUUGAUAACUGUACAAGUAGACUUCAACAUUACUAUAAUUCAAUAGCAACAUUAACAUCUCUUCAACCUAUACAUUUAGAAGUAGAUGAUAUGUAAAUUGAUGUGGAAUAUUUUAAAUCUCUUACUAAGCAAGAAAAGACUCAUCGUGGUCAAGAAGAAUUGUAUUUACAAUGUGGAGAAUUUAGGCAUACUGCUCAAUACUGCCCAAAGAAGCAAAGCAACCAUAAAAUGAGGAGUAUGGUGUUGAAGUAGAGAAAAUUUGCCUCAAAAAGCACUGGGAUUUUGGUUGCCAUUACAUACUCAAUCAAGUCUAAGAUAUAAAAAACUAAUUUUAUACAUAUAAUAUUUUCUCUUUUUGAGCAAUUACAUUAAAAUAUUAGCCCAAGUACCAAGAAAACAUCCAAAUGUAUAAUAAAGUAUCUUAAAACCUUAUAUAUCUUUAUGAGGAAUGUUUCUGGAACUUCAACAACUUAUAUCUCAAGUUUGAAUCAUCCAAAUAACCUUAAAUGUUACAUAAAGUACUAAUAUACUUUUAAAAACUUUCACAAAAAAAUUCAACUACAAAUUCAUUAUGGAUCUUGAGAUAUCGCCAAAAUCCUAACAGUAGCUUUAAACCCUAGCUUACAUACACUUGCAUGCUAAUUUCUUCAUAUCUCAUAAAAUAAGUACUUAAAUACCAUGAAACUUUGAUGUAUACCUUUUUAACUUAAUAAAUUUAUACUUAUAGAAAUUUUAAGGCAAAAAUUCGUCUUGAAAUUCAAGAUAUGGCUCCAAACAUUUUUAUCAACAAAAUGACUCACUUAUUGCCUUUGAAUUACAUAUGUUGUCUUUAGUGUCCUAUAACUCCUUCAUCUAAGCUUGAAAUUCGUCAAAUAGUAUAUCUAAAGUGUAGCCAACAAAGUGCUCUCUCUAACUCCAGUUGCAGAUCUUUCAUUGCUCUCUGUACGCAUAUGUUAUGCUUCAAAGAAAGAGAGUAGGUACCAAUUUGACACCUUAACUUUGAACACCUAUAUCUCCUUCAAAAAAACUUAAAAUCACACAAAUUCUUCACCCAAAUUAUAUCCAAAACCCUGAAUUUGCUGACCUUAGCCUCCAAAGCUCAAAUGAUCUUGAAAGAGAAAUACUAAUCCCUAAUUUGGCCUCGGGCAACCUUCUUGAAGCCCAUUGGGCAUGGCCUUUAACUAAUAGGAAUGAAGUUUCUCAUUCUUUGCCUUCAUCCAACCAUGCCUUCUUUUCAUCCCUCCCAAUAAGUCUCUUAUUAGUUAAGAUUUUUUACUUUAGGCUCUAAUCUCCUCUCAAGGCUCUAUACUAAACAUUUAGAUUCUAUAAUUUUUUUUUUUGAAAUGCUAUAACCAAAAAGAUAAACUCCAAAUAAAUUUUCUUAAAUCCAAUCUCUUUAAAUUAAUCAAAUAAAUAUUCUAACAUACACCAAGACUUAUAUACAUAUUAUAUGUUCUAAUUAAUUUUUACAUACUAUAAGCUUUUACAGUAUGACAACGGCGAUUAAAGAAGAUAGCAUGUCAAAAAACAAAUUUUUCAAGUGUAGAAUAGAUAAAUAAACUUUGCGGUAAGUUACAGGUUGGUUAUUGAUAUCUUUGAGAAUAACACUAAUGGUUAGGCAGUUUAGUUGGUAAUAGUAGGUUGUUAGUGGAAUAAAUAGUUAAGAAAUCAAAAGGUCAUAACCUUUGGAAUCCACUGGCCAACGGAUCAUCUUUUUGGUAGGAUAAAGAGGUUGAGGAAAGAGAGAUUAAAGCCAGACUGUGAGAGUCGUAAGCCAAGGCAAGCUUAGUGCUACCUCUUUUUGUUUCUUUCUUGUUGACGAGUAAUGGAUAGUUUCUGAAUAUUGAGAAGUUGAUUUGGAGUGCUAGACUAUAAGAGUCAUAAUUUUGUGCGAUGAAUUGAAAAACUGAAUACAAUAGGUAAGCUAAAGAUUAAUAAUUGAAUAUAUCUUAACCGCAAAGAGAGUAAGUGGGAGAUGAACGGAUAAGAAUAUGGAAGUAUUAUUGAAUUGAUAGUCAUAAAAUGGAUUAUAGAUUAAAUUAAGCCUUCAUGUUUUGUAGUUGAUAAUUGAUUUCAAGUAGCUAGAGUACAGUCAAUUGUGACACUAGCAGACCCAAUUCAUAUAACUAAUCUUUCUCCGUAUUUGAAUCCAUCUCUAUUAGUUCAAUUGCUUUGGUAUAUUGAAGCUUGAACACAACAAGAACAACAUUUUGGCGCCGCUAUCGGGGAAAUGAUAACAAUAUGAAAUGUUAGAAAUUGAUUGUAUGAGAGAUCAAAUUAUAUGUUGAAUGUAAACAUGAGAAGUAUCAGUUUUAAGGUUACAAAUAUGUGAGUUAUAAUUCAAGGCAGUAUUGAUUUUGUAAAGAAGAAUGAAAGAUUAUAAGUGAUAAUCAUGAAGGGAAGGAUUAUCAAAGAAUUAAUCGACAAGCAAAAGAAAGAUAGGAGCGAUUAUGCACAAGAAAUUUCCUAUGGGAAUGAUAAAAAGAAAUUGCAAGUCCAAAAAAAAUCAAAGGAAGAAAAAUUCAGAUUCAAAUAGUAAAGAGAUCAGUAAUAAUACCAAUGGUCACGGGAGUGUUAGAAGUACCAAUUGCAGUACAAAUGGGAGCAAUAGGAGACCGCACCACAAGUGUGGUACUAUUACCUACUUUUAGUGGUUGGCGGAGCUCUAAUCCCGAUCACCAUAAAUCUCAAUUCUUAACAACUUACAUGGCUAAUAAUGGUAGAACUAAAGAUAUUUGGUUGAGAUGGUUGCGAGCAACUUUAAAAGAUAUAGCUUUUGAAUGGUAUAUUUGGCAACCAGUGGGUAGAUUUUCUAAUUGGAAGGCCUUGAGGAACACCUUCCUAAUCUAUUUUAGAGCAAUUGGAUUUGAAGAUUGGCUUCGAGAAAGUUUUAUGAAUAAGAGGAUGUUUGUAGAGGAAUCAAUAGAGUCCUAUUAUGGUCGGAUCGCGGAUAUACUUUGUAAAUGGAUAAAUAAUCAAAUGCAACAUGUGUUUAUAUUGUCAAUAAUAAUCAAUGGUUUGCAUCCAUAAAAUUGAAAAUGUUUAUAAAAGAGGCUCGACCAGCUACGAUAGAGGCAUCGUUGGCACAAGCAAAGGUGUGAGAAGAAUGUCAUUAUGAUCAAUUGUUAACAGUGGGGGGCCACGAUGAUUCCAAGUUUAGGAACUCAACAAACAUAACUAGGAAAUGUGUCGAUGGAUAAUUAUCUACAAAUGGCUGACUCCAACAUGAAGAAUGUUAUGUUGCAACAACCAAUUAAUGCUGCACCACUCCAAGAAAUAGCGCCAAUAAUAAUGACACCUUAUUUUACAUCACCAAUCUAUCAACAACCGAAAUUGUUCACAAAUGCGAGUGUUAAAGAUCCAAAUGAAGCCUUGUUAUUAAAUCUAACAAAGAAGAUGGAAGAAUUGGUUGUGAAUUUGGCUAAAGAUAAGGAGAAACAACAUAAGCCUUCUAAUAUGAGACCUAAUAUAUGGUGUAAUAAUUGUAAUGAACAAGGUCAUUUUGAUACAGAAUGUCCAUCACCUAGACAAACGGGUGUUCAAUGUAUAUUUUGUAGAGGAAAGCACCCUAUCCAAAAGAGCUAGCAAUUACAAAGGCAACAAUAAUUCAGUAAUCAGACCAUGAUCCCACCGACUCAGUGGGAAGUCAAUCAAGUUUAAAUGAAAAAUAUGUAUAGAUAGAAUAAAAAUCAAUCUAAUCGAUAAAAUCAAACAUUCAAUAACUUUCAAAAUUCCAAUUUUAAUCAAGGGUCUGCAUCAAACCUCCAGAACUAUGGGAAGGAGCAGUAGAGGUAUCAACAAUAUGCUCCACUAGCAUCAUCGAACCAAGUACCCUCCGUACCAAUGGAACAACUAGGAUCAUUUUCUAACCCUACAUGGAACAAGCCUAGUAGGUAUAUAUCAGUGGAGACACCCAUAAUGCUAGAUGGAGGUACAAGAAGACCCCUUUGUUGUCUCCGUUGCAGACAGAUUGGUCAUUAUCCCAGUGAAUGUUCUAAUCCCAGAGCUAGUGAUGAUUAUGCGCUAGUAUGUGUAAAUUGCAAGUAGUCGAGAUAUACUUAUUAGUAAUAUAAUGCUCCGUUCAAUUUCAAUAAUCGAGAUCAGAAAAUCCAAAGCUAAGGAAAAAUGAAAGAGAUAAAUCAAGGUCCUCAAAAUUUACCACUUCAUCGAGUAGAAGUAGUCUAAGUUGUCCUUACAAGAAGUCAGCAAAAGGGUAAAUGACCAAUUCAACAUUUGGGUGAUCCUGAAGCGAAGGACCAAUUGGAUCCAAUUAUGGGGACAUUCAAUCUAGGUCUUGACAUGGGCUCCUUACUCAGUAUAAGACCUGAAUCGGUUGUGCACCCCAAUGAGGUACCAAUUACGAAGGCUUCGGUUCCGAGUCAAGCUGUUCUGUUCUCUACACAGUUUUGAGAAACGUCAUUUCCAUUAAAAGAUCUUCUUAAAGGCCUGAAUUCCAAGGAAUCAAUAUCAGUCUAAAUGAGAGAAAAAACUUACCCGUUGAAAGAAUCAAUUUUACAGUAGGGACCGUGCGGUUGGAACCUUGUUCAAUACAUCGUAAAGGUCUUAUUCUCUUCUCAAAAUCUUCUCUUUGUUUUAUGAUAAAUAUUAUUUUAAGACCUAAAUAUUACAAAGCCUCUACCUUGUUAGAUUCAGGAACCUGUGCAUGUUUCUUAGAUGAAGAAUUUGUUAAAAGACAUAGCAUAUUUUUAGUGAAGAAAAUUAAACCUGUUCAUGUAGAAGUCAUAGAUGGUCAUCUGUUAUCUUCAAGAGAUAUUACUCUUGAAAUCUUUCUUAUAGAAGUAGCAACUAAUGAUUAUAGUAGCUUUAUAAUAUUUAAUAUCAUUAGAUCUUCCUCUAAUCUAAUCAUUUAAGGUUUAUCAUGGCUAGAAAAAUAUAACUCUAAAAUAGAUUGGACUUCUUGUAGUCUUGACUUUUCUGAAAGUAUAAUUAAGAAUGUAGUUAAUUAAAUAGAAAGUCAUAAGUCUAGUACAAUCAAACAUAUAUUUGUAGGUGUAAGAGGUUUCUUGUAUGGUGCAAAAGAAGGAUCACCUUGUGUCAUUUAUAUUACAUCUGUUUCUACUGGUGGAAAGACUUUAAGUGGCAUUCCAAGCCAAUAUCAAGAUUUUUAAGAUAUAUUUGAGAAGAAGAAUGCAGAUAUUCUUCCAGAACAUCAUUCCUAUAACUACUCAAUUGACUUUCAAGAAAGAACACAACCGCCAUUUGGACCAAUUUAUAAUUUAUCACAAAAUGAGUUAGCUGAACUCAAGGAGUAUAUUGAAGAAAAUCUGACCAAGAAUUUUAUAUGCCAUUUCAAAUCUCCAGCAAGAGCUCUAAUUUUACUUGUGAAGAAAAAAGAUGGAUCAUUUUGGAUGUGUGUCGAUUAUCAAGGACUCAACAAAAUCAUCAUCAAGAACAGAUAUCCACUACCUUUGAUAUCUCAACUCCUUGACCAAUUGAAUCAAGCUAAGAUCUAUACACAAAUAGAUCUACAAAGAGCAUACAAUCUAGUAUACAUCAAAGAAAGAGAUGAAUGGAAGAGUACAUUUCAAAAAAGGUAUGGACAUUUCAAAUACAACAUCAUGCCUUUUAGACUUAUAAAUGUACUAGUAGCAUUCCAACAUCUAAUGAAUGAUGUCUUUCACAAGUUUUUAAAUGAUUUUGUUAUCUAUUACUUAGAUGACAUCUUAAUCUAUUCUAAGAACACAGAAGAAUAUGAACUUCAUGUUCGUCAUAUGUUACAAAAACUAAGAAAUGUGGGAUUCUAUGCCAAGAUAAAAAAGUGUAUAUUUCACACUACUCAAGUUGACUUCUUAGGAUACAUCAUUUCAAAUGAUAGACUUAUGAUGGAUUUUAAGAAAGUUUAAGCUAUUAUGGAUUGAAAGAUCCCAAAAAUAGUAAGAGAUGUUCAAUGCUUUUUGGGAUUUGCCAACUACUAUCGGAUCUUCAUCAAAGACUUCUCUCAAGUUGUAGCUCCACUUACACAUUUGACUUGUAAAGACAAACUUCAAUACAAUCAAAAAACAAAAAUAGCAUUUGAAGCCUUGAAGAUAACUUUUGUUUUUCCACCAAUCUUGUAUCGCAAAAAUUUUUCUAAGUCAUUUUUUAUGGAAACAAAUGCAUCAAACUUUGCUUUGAAUGUCGUAUUGUCAUAAAUGAGAAUAGAUAAUAAACUUCAUCUAAUAGCUUUUCAUUCCUAAAAUUUUUUAGCAAUCAAUAUCAACUAUAAGAUCCAUAACAAAGAACUUCUUUCAAUCAUGGAUUCAAGAAAAAUACCAUUAUCUAGAAGGUGCCUCUAAUCGAGUCACCUUGUAUACGGAUCACAAGAACCUUGAAUAUUUUAUGUCUGCAUGUAUUUUGAAUCAUCGCCAAGCUCAUUGGAAUAUAUCUUUGUCAAGAUUUAAAUUCAAAAUCUAUUUUUGACUAGAAAAAUAAUAAGGUUUAUCAAAUGCAUUUUCGAGACAAUCUAAUCUUGCACCAAAAGAAAGAAAUACUGCAUUAAAUCAUCAUUAGACAAUUUUCUUCAACUUUGAGCAAUAAAAUCAAUACUAAUUAUUGAUUCAACUUUCAUUAAAAAAGUUCAGUCAAGUAUGUCUUCUGAUCCUUUCAUUUGUAAUAUUAAAAGAAAUCCUUUAAAGUCUCAUGAUACUUUUAAAUUUGAAUUCAAAAAUAAUCUAUUAUAUUUUGAGAGACACAUAUAUGUUCCAGAAGGUGAAGCUCGAUUAUGUGACCUUUAAGCUCGUCAUGAAUUUCCAAUAGUAGGACAUUUUUAGUAUAAUAUAUCUUUGGAACUAAUAUCUAGAGAUUAGUUAAAUCCUAAACCUUAAAUCCUUCAAAAACCUUGAUGGAUUUAUAGGUGCACUUCUAUGUGAAAGUGCUCUCUAUUGGUUUGAUUCUUAGAUAAAAAAAAAGGACUCAUAACUCUUUUAUGAUUGGAAUUCAUUCUUAGAUGUAUAUUUGAUGGCCACAUUUUGAGAAAGUGAUCAAGAAAGAAUAGCAAAAAUUAAGUUCCUAUCUUUACAACAACGAUCAUGAUCAGCCACCAUAUAUGUUGCUGAAUUCCAAAACCUCACUUACAAUAUAGACUAAAAUGACAAAGCCUUCAUCAAUCAGUUUUAAUAUAAAGUAAAGAAUAAUGUCCAAGAUUUAUUAUUGACAAUGUCAAAAAUAAAAUCUUUGAAAGAAUUUAUUGCUUAAGCCAUUGCAUGCAAUAAUCAAUUAUUUAAAUGGCACCAAGAACAAAAAUUUGAUUACAGACAAGUGAGUUAAGCAAUGACAAAAGCUUCUAAUUUUUUCAAAAACUUAUUUAUCAAGGUCAAAACCAAUACAAAUUGAUAUCAUACAUUUUAAAUCCUUUACUAAGUAAAAAAAGACUUAACAUCAUUAAGAAGAUAUGUACUUAUAAUAUAGAGAAGCUUAGCACACUAAUCAACAUUAUUCAAAGAAGCAAUGCAAUUACAAAGUGAUGAGUAUAAUUGCUUAAGAAAAAAAUGUAUCACAAAAUAAGUUUCUUCAUCUACAAUUAGAAUUAUGCAGCUUGAAUUAUAUAUAAUUUCUAUUAAAAGAACUAUUCUUUCCUCCAAUCUCUCAUCCUAUUGUAUAUAAGAUGUGUAUUUAGGACCUUAAAAUCACAAAGUCUUUGCAUUAUUAGAUUCUAGAGCCUCAGAUUGUUUUAUAAACAAAGACUUUGUCAAGAAGCAAGAAAUAUCUUUAAUCAAGAAAACUAAAUCUAUAUAUGAAGAAGUUGAAAUGAAGGAAUUAUUGGAUUUUGAAGUCAAUACAUGCAAUCUAAGGAUAGUAAGUGACUCAAUUUACUAGUAGUUGUGUCUUAAGUUAUAUCUUGAGUAAUUUAACAAAGUUUUGGCUCAAAAUUUCAAGAAAUGUUUAAUUUCAUGUUAAUAAACUUUGUACAUAAGUUUGAUGAUAUUUGAGUGUUGGAUUCUUGAGAUAUUAAAAAAAUAGUGUUCAAGUAUUUAUAAAUUAGGAUUUAGAGCGUCUGCUAGGAUUUCUUAGAUGCCAAAAGAUCGGAAGUGAAUUUCCAAUUGAUUUUUCUUAUGAUAAAACUUAAGAGUAAAUUCUACCUAUCCUAUAAAUUUUAGACAAACUGAAUAGUUAGAUCAAGAGUUAUGAAUUUCUAAAGUUUGAGACAAGAAAAUCCUUUGCGGAAAAAAUAUGUUUUGAAGGGAAUUUGUUAUAUUUUGAGUUUUAUGCAAAAAACUUACAAUAAAGGUUUAAGCUAUACUUUCUACAGCUAGAUACCUAGUGUAUUCCCAGAUAGCAAAUCAUGCCAUAUGACAGACUUGGUGAACCCAACAUAAAAAUUUCUGGGAUAGAGAGUUUUGAAGAAAUAUUUUUGGCUUUUUAUUAUGGAAGGGAGGUAAGGAAGUAGUAGUAUGAAUUACAUUGGAAAAUCUCCAUUGCAACUUGAUCCUACUAUAACUCAAAUAUUUUAAGCAUUUAUACUUUUUAUGCAACAACAGCAAGUAGUGGAACGCAAGGAAGUAAUGGCUACUAAAGCCUUACAAUUUGUUGUUGGUUUAUUGGAUCAAUUUGAUGGAAGAAAUAUUUCCAAGUAUCUUAAGUAUUAUUCUUAGAAGAUAGAGCUCAAUAAAGUGUCAGAGAAAGAUAUGAUCCUAACAUUUGAGCUUGCAAUUGUACAAGAGCUUGGUGAGCAUAUAAAGGGAGUUAUUAAAACUCAUGGAGAGAAAUGGGAGGAUUUUAUCCUUUAGCUAAAAGAAGAGUAUUCAUUGGAAGAUAUAGAAAGGGUGACAUGAAAAUCGUUUAUGGAAUGGGUCAAUAAAUCUAACAAGGGGUUGAUUGCAACAAAGUUAUUCUGAGAAUUUGAAAGACAAUUUCUUCAAUUGUCUCGAGUAGAAAAGCUUAUACUUGAAAAUGAUAAGGUGGAGUUAUUUCUUCAAUCAGUUGGUAAUGAUUUACAAAAGGAGUUGGAAUUAUUAUUAGAGGAUAAUAUAGAAAAAAACAAACUUACUACUGAUUGGAAGAAAGUCUCCGAAGUUAUGGGCAUAUUUGCUAAAAGAGAGUAUGAAAGGAGUAAGGUGGUAGUUAGGUAAGAGACCAGACCUCCACCAACUACAAUAUCUUGUAGACAACUUCCAGAACCUACUAUAUCAGUAAAUAUAAUUCCAAUUCUUUUGUCUACAGUUGCACCACAAAAAGAUGUGAUUGAUGAGUGGGUAAAAGGAAUGAAAGACUUACAAAUCAAAUUGGCAAAGAUAGAGGAGAAAGAAGGAUUACUUGAAAGCAAAUGUAUAUCAAAGCUAAGAUAUAUACAAAGAUGUAUUUGGUAUGAUAGUAUGAAGCAUCCUUGAAGAGAGUGUGGAGAUUUUGCUGAUAUUUUGUAAUACAGAGUAAUUUUAUGGAAAGAUGGAAAAAUUAUGUUGCGAGAUAUAGGUGGGUUUUUCAAAACCAAUUUUGGAAAGAAACGGAUGAAAAAGGUUUUGAAAGAGUAUUUAUCUCAAUAGGCUAUGGCAUCAAGAGAAGCUAUUACUUAUGGCAUUGAGGUUGUAAGAGAUAAAGAUGAUGUUUUUAAUAAGCAUGUAAACACAGGGGAUCUAUGAAAUCAUGCUAUUAUCAGCAUGAAUAAAAAAAAAUAACAAGGCAAAAAUUACUUAAUACAUCCACAAUAAUUAGAAAUACCAUAGGAUAGGAUGAUCCUAUAGAUAUUAUGUCUGUACAUGGUUAAUUGGAAAAGUCCCAACAUGAAGCUUUAAUGGAGAUAAAAAGAGAAAGAAAUGAAAUAGAAGAAAAUUUUGAAGAGCUAAUCAACAAUAGGAGAUCUCAAAGGCAUGCAGAAACAAUACAAAAUAAAGAAAUACCUAUACCAUAAGCUAAUAGAUCAUCUAAGGCUGGACCAUUAACAUUGCACCCUGGAAAAGUACCACUGCCAAAAGAAAAAUGAGAAGAAAGGAUGGAAGUUAAUAAAGACAAAGCGAAGAAUAAGCAUAUUACUUAUAAACUUCAAUAUUUGAUUGAGAUAGCCACAGAUUUAAAAGGAGUAUCGGAAGAAAGAAUAUUGAAUGCCAAAAAUUAAUUUACUCUAUGAGAAAUUUUAGGCAUUGCAAAGAGAGAGUUUCAUAAAGUCAUCAUCAAUACCAUUAAGCGAAAGAGGUAGUUGAUAGGAAAAUCUGCUGUAUCUAGUACUUUGGAUACAAUCUUGACUAAUGAAGAGGAACAUAAAUUGGUAGAAUGUUGUAUCAAUAAAAAAGGAUAAUUUUAUUUGGAUGAAUACAAGGAUGAUGACAAGGGCCCUGGACACUAUACCAAGGGACAUUGGACAAGAGCCACCACAGAGACUUUAGUAAAAAUAGAAGACUUGGUAGAACUAGUAAUUGCUCUCAUUGACCAUGGAUCUGAAAUUAAUAUUAUAUCAAAAGAAUUCUAUAAAUGUGGAAGGUGGCUCAUUGAUAUUAACCAUGGAUGGGUGAUUUGGGCAGCAAAUUAUACACGAGGAGAUCUUUAUGGUGUUUGCCCCAAUAUGAAGGUAAAAGUUGGAGAUGUAACUACAGAAUAAAUUGUUUUUGUUCAAGACACUACAUACCCAGUGAUAUUUGGUCAACCAUAUAUUAUAGCUAUGAGGAUGGAAACCAAGGUUUUGAAUGACAGAUUAACAUGUGCCCGUAUUAGAAGUCAAGAUGGAAAAAGGGCAGUGCAAUUUCUAACAAUACCUGCAAACCAUGAGCACAAUCGAGAUUAUUUACGAAGUGAUUUAUUACUAAGGAUUAGUGAAGAAUUUACAGAUUUUUGUAGGAUAUCUCUAUAGAGCAGUGUCAGAGUAGAGAGAGUUUGGCUCAAGAAAUUGCUGGGCUUCUAGCUGCCACUUAAUAUUCAAUCAAGUUUAAGAUAUAAAAUACUAAGUUUAUAUAUAUAUAAUAUUUUCUCUUUUUAGGUAAUUACAUCAAAUACACAAGCCUCAAGUAACCAACAAUACCAAAAUAUGAUAAAAUCUUCUAAAACCUUAUAUAUCCUUGUGUGGAAAUUUUUUCAAACUUCAAUAGCUCAUAUCUCCUAAUUUGACAGUCUAAACAAACUAAAAUUUUACAUGAGGUACUGAUGUUUCUUUAUUAACUUCUAUAACAAAUUUCAACCAUAAAUUCAAUGCAAAUCUUGAGAUAUCUUGAAAACCCUAACAAUCGCUUCAAACCCUUGUCUUUAUAAUCUUAUGUAUAAUUUUCUUUAUAUCUCACAAAAUAUAAGCUCAAAUGCCACGAAAUUUAUACAUAUAGCUUCUUAAUACAAAAUGUUACAUUUUUUAAAAAGUUUGAGCUAAAAAUUCGUCUGAAAACACAAGUUAUGGCUCCAACUAUUAUUAUAAACAAAACCGCUUACUUACUACCUUUGAUUUGGAAGUGCCACUUUCAACUCCUUAUAAUUCCUUCACAUGAACUCCAAAAGCAAUAACUUUUUUAUGAAAGAUAUAGGCCUUAAAAUUGCUAUUCCAUUUGUACCUUCUGAUCUUCAAAAGCUAUUGUACAACUCUUCAUAUCCUCAAAAGAGUAACAAUAUGUCUUAAAUUAAUACCUUAACUUCAAACGGCUAUAACCUUUUUAUUCCAACUCCAAAUCCUCUAAUUUUUAUACACAAAUUGUACUCCAAAUCCUAAACUUUAUAAUUCUAGCUUUUAAACUCAAAAUGACCUCUUUGAAGUCGCCAAAACCCUUGUUAAGGUCACAAGCAUGGUAUUCAACUAAUAGAGAUGAAGUUCUCCAUUCCUUGCCUUCAUCCAACCAUGCCUUGCUUUCAUCCCUCUCAAUCAAUUAGCCUCUUACUAGUUUAGAUUUUCAUCCUUAAGCAUCUACCUUCUCCCAAGGCCUCAUACUAAAUAUUUAGGUCCUAUAUAUAUAUAUUUUUUAAUGUCAAAAUUAAAACAAGUCAAGAAACAAAAUAAAGUUUCUUAUACCAACUCUUUUUAAUUUAAUCUACUAGUCAUUCUAAUACAAAUUUAGAUUUAUUAAUAUAUAAUAUAUUUUAAUUAAUUUUUAUAUAUUGUAAGCAUUUAGUGUACGACAAUGGGAAUGUAGUGGUACAUCAAAGAAGGUAUUCUUGCAUGAAAAAGAAAAUACCUUUUGUAUAGGUAUUGUAGAAUUAUCUAAGAAUGGAUUUGAUAUCUAUACACAACUUAAUGAUCUACCAAAGUGGGAAAAAAAAGUUAUACAAAAAUCUAAGAAAGAUCUAAAAAGAGUGGAUGUAUUUGAUGGAGAUGAUAAGAUAGUAGGUGUAUAUAUGGAGACUGGUUUAGAAGAUUUUAUGGAAGAAUUUUUAGAGGUUGAAUAAGAAAAUGAAGAUCAAGUGGUACAAGUAUAUUCAAGAGAGCUCUACUCAACUAUACAAGCAUUUCAAGAUUAUGAAGUCAAAGUUGAAACUAGAUACAAGACUGUAGAGAGGAAAAUAAAACCUAUAGCUAUACCAUUAUCUAGUAAUUUCAAUCAUCAAGUUCAAUGAGCUUUGAAGGAGAAGGGCUUAUGGGAUCCUAAAUAAAUUGGCCACAAGUUUAUGAAGAACUUACUCAAUGAGUUGAAAGUAAGAUCUACAAAUUUUCUAUUACCUAUUGAAGAAAUGGAAUUUAGAAAUAUGUUAAGUAUGCAUGAAAAGGCUUUUGCUUUUGAACCUUCAAAAAUUGAAUGAAUCGAUCCAAGUGUUGUCGCACUAAUGAUUAUAUUUACAGUUUUGCAUGUUCAUAGGAAUUUAAGACCAAUUUCAAUGCCUAAAGCACAUCUAUCUAAACUUAUGGAGCUUUUAAAAGAAAAUAUAUAAAUGAAGAUCCUAGAGCCAUCAUUUACACCAUAUUCUAGUUGUUGGUUUACAGUACCAAAGAAAAAUGGAACACUACGAUUCAUUCAAGAUAUGCAACCAAUGAAUCAAGUAACUAUUAGAAAUAUUGGAGUUGGACCAAUUCUUGGAAAAUUUGCUGAGACAUUUGCUAGUAGAGCUAUUUACUCUAUUGGAGAUCUCUAUUUUGGAUAUGAUCAAUUUCAACUAGCUGAAAGAAGUAAAGAUAUUACUACUAUGACGACACCUUUAGGAUUAGUUAAGAUGUGUACAUUGCCACAAAGAGGAACAAAAUCAAUAGCUCACAUGAUGAAUGGGAUAAAUAAGGUUCUUCGUGAUUUCAUUCUAGAAAAGACUAUGUCUUAUUUGGAUGAUAUUCUAAUAAAAAGGUAUGUAAAAGAAGAGAAAAAUGAAACAAUGGAUCAAAAGGGGUGUUGUAAAUUUAUAUCUAAUCAUAUUUUAGACUGUGACAAAAUUUUAUCUCGACUUGAAGAGGUUCACUUGAUACUAUCAGGAGCUAAAUCUACCUUUGGAGUUUGAAAGUUAUUAUUGUGGGGCAUUUGUGUAGAUGGUUUGGUCGUAAAUGUGAUCCUAAUAAGAUAGAUGCCAUACAAUAAAUGAAAGAUAUUUGUAGCUCACAAACAGAGGUAUAGAGAAUUUUAGGAUCUUGCAUAUUUUAUUAUGUAUGGAUUCCUCAUUAUGCACAUGUAGCUAAUCCUCUUUAUAGUUUGCUACGAAAAGGGAAGAGAUUUAAAUGGGAGAAGAAGCACACAGAAACAAUUCAAAAGCUAAAGCAAUUAUUAUCUUUUUCACCCGUAUUACAAAGGAUAAGUUAUGAAGAUGGCAAAUCUGUGAUAUUUAUAGUUGAUACUAAUCCAAUAGCUAUUGGUUGGGCUUUAGGACAAAAUGAUGAAGAAGGUAAUAGGUUUGCUAUUAGAUUACGAUCUAAAGUAUUAAAUGAACGAUAAAGAAACUAUCCACAGGUAAAACAGAAGCUAUGGAGAAUAGUUACAGCUAUGAAAAAUGAAAGAGAUUAUUUAAUUGGGGCACCAGUGAUAGUAGAAACAAAUUGUUUGCCACUAUUGGGAAUCAUUACCAACUAUAACAUCCCUGAUAUUGCUAUGCUAAGAUGGAUUAUAUAUAUUAAAUCUUUAAAUCUUAAAUUUAGGCAUAUAGUAGGCAAAGAUAAUCUUGUAGCAAAUAUGCUAUCCCGAGCUAGAUAUAAACAAGAAGAAGUUUUAAUUGAAGAUAGUGAAGAUAUAGGUACUACUUUCUUUUCUAGAGCCCAACAAGGAGAAGAUGAAUAUCUAAGACCAUUUAUAGAAGAAUUAUAUGAAGAAGAAUGGAUUGAUAUUGAACGCUAUUUAAGCACAUUAUCGAGACAAUCAGGAUGGAAUAAUAUUCAUUUCAAACAGAUUAGACGGAAGCCUUACAACUACCUCUUAGAAGGUGAUUACCUAUGGAAGCGAUACAAACGGGAUAGUAAAAUGCCACAAAGAAUAGUUUGCAAGAGAGAGAUGUAAGAACAAUUAAUCCAUGAAUUCCAUGAUAGUUUGUGGGCUGGACAUAGAGGUAUUUAUACCACCUUUAAUAAGCUUAAAGAAAAAUAUUGGUAGCAUAACAUGUAUAGAGAUGUGGUGAAGUUUGUAGAAUCAUGCCAAAUUUGUCAGAUAUACUCGGAGAUUUGACAUAGAAAUGGAUUGCAUCUAAUAUAUCCACUUACAAUAUAUUAUAAAUAGGUUGUAGAUCUAGUUACUAUGUCCAUAGGGAUAUGGCAAAUACGGUACUUGGCUCUAGCACGAGAAGAUUUAUCUAACUAAGUAGAAGGAAGAGCUGUACAAACAAAAUCCACUGAAGGAGUUUGUAGUUUUUUACUCAAAGAUGUAAUUUGUAGAUAUGGAUGUAUUGAAAAAAUUACUACUGAUCGUGGAGAAUUAGAUGCUCAUGAGGCUAGACAGUUCUUUGAGAGAUGUGGAGUCAAGCUAGCACUUACUACAUCUUAUAAUCUAGAGGGCAAUGCUAAGAGUGAAGUCAUCUUCUUAUUGUAAAGGCCAUUGUUAAAGCUUGCAAAGGAAAAGCAAAAAAAUUACCAAGGCUAUUACUAUUUGCUCUUUGGACUGAUCAUACUAUUCACAAUUCAGUGACAGGAUAUAUGCUAGCAGAGUUAAUGCAAGGACAAAAGUCCAUUAUGCCAAUUGAAGAGCAAAUACCUACUUGGAGUAUCUUGCCUUAGCAAGAUAAUAUAUCUAAAGAAGAACUUCUUGUACUUCGAAUUCGUCAACUAGAGAGAAGACUUGAAGAUAUAAAAAAAUUAAUUAUAAGGUUGAGAGAGUUGCACUUAAAGAAUAAUGAUAGAUUUGAUUAGCGACACAGUUUGAUGCCAAAAGAUAUUCAAGAAGAUGAUUGGAUUUUGAUACAUGACAACAACUUAGAUAACCAACAUAGUGUUCUUAAAAAGUUUUCUAAGCAUUGGUUUGGACCUUAUGUGGUUGUACAUAUUUUGGAUAAUACUAUAUAUGCAUUAAGAGAAUUAGAUGGAACAAGAUUCAAAAUUCCAAUUGUAGAAAAACGUAUAAAACUUUUCAAACAACAGGAUCAAGAACUAGUCCUCAAAGAUGAUGAAGAAGAAUUUGAUCUAUCUAGGUAUAAGGAAGAAGAAUUGGAUUUUGAAGAAGACAUUAUUGAGGAGGUAAUAUGACACCGACGACAACUUUAGUUUUUCUUAGUGCAUACCGAAGGAUGGACAUGUUUAGAAAGGAUGGAUGUCGUAUUCUGGUUCGGCUACCAUAUGAAAAUAAUGUAAUUAUGUACUUAAUAUAUAAUUUAUUAAGUAACAUGGUGAGAGCCAUGUUAGUAGAUUUUAGUUGGUUGUAGAAUAUAAUUUGAUUAUUACUUUGAGAAGAGAUUUUUAAAAAAAAUUACUAUAGAAUUUUUAUAACUUUAAUUUCCUUUUGAUAGUGGCUUUUAAGAUUGGUUUUGGUUGAUAGUAACUUCUAAAUACUUAGAGUCACCUUUGUUAGACAUUGGUGGCCUUUGAAAACUUAUUUUGGUUCUUUUAUUUGAUGUUUAGAGCAUAAAUUAUGUAAAUCUUAUAAAAAAAAGGAUUGAAGAAAGAUUUUGGUAGCUGUAGAAUAGGCAAAUAAACUUUGUGGUAAGUUACUAGUUGGUUAUUGAUAACCUUGAGAAUUAGACUGAUAGUUAGGUAGUUUAGUUGGUAAGAGUAGGUUUCUAGUGGAAUAAAUGGUUAAAAAUUCAAAGGAUCAUAACCUUUGGAAUCUGUUGGUCGAUUGAUCAUCUUUUUGGUAGGAUAAAGAAGUUGAGGAAAGCGAGAUCGGAGCGAGACUAUGAGAGUUGUAAGCCAAGAGCUAGACUGUGAGCAUCGUAAGCUGGGAUAAGCUUGGUGCUAGCACUUUGUUUUCUUUGCUUUUAUUAUUUACUUAUAAAGAAUUAUAAUUGAGAGAAGUAUUGUUGAAUUGAUAGUUGUAGAAUGGAUUAUGUAUUGAAUCAAGAUGGAAGUAGUAAGCCUUGGUCUUUUAUAGUUUGAUAAUUGAUUUCAGAUAGCCAGAGUACAGUCAAUUGUGACAAUAACAAACCCAAUUCAUAUAACUAGUCUUUCCUCAUGUUCGAACCUACCUCUAUGAAUUCAAUUACUUUGGUAUACUGAAUCUUGAACACAACAAGAACAACAAUAGCAAAGGGAGUAAUUAGGGCACCAAUAUAGAUGAAUGGAGUUGAAUGAUAAAAAUCUCCAUUCCUAUUAGUCAAAAAUCAUAACCAAUAGGGUUUGAGGAGGCUGCCUGAGGCCAUAUUAGAGAUUAGGAUUAGUUUUUCGAGGCCAUUGGAGCUUUGAAGGCUAGGAUCAACAAGUUUAGGUUUUUCGAUAUGGUUUUGGUGCAAAUUUUGUAUAGUUUGGAGUUUAUAUGAAGGAGAUAUAAGCAUUCAAAGUUAAGGUAUUGAUUUGGGAGCCACUGUCACUCUUUUUGGCAUAACGAGCACGUACAGAAAGCAAUUGAGAAUCAGCAAUUGCGAGAGGAGAGAGAACUUUUUUGGCUACACUUUUUGCAUAUUGCAUGCUGGAUUCCAAGAUGAAACAAAGGAGUUAUUGGAUUUUGAAGUCAGCUCAUGCAAUCUAAAGGUAGUAAGUGACCCGAUUUACUAGUGGUUGUGUCUCGAGCUAUAUCUUGAGUAAUUUGACAAGGUUUUGGCUCUUAAUUUCAGGAAAUGUGUAAAUUCAUGUAAGUAAACUUUUUUUAUAAGUUUUAUGAGAUAUAAAUGUUGGAUUCUUGAGAUAUUAAGAAAAUAGUGCUCAUGUGCUUGUAAAUUAGGAUUUAGAGUGUUUGCUAGGAUUUCCUAGAUGCCAAAAGGUCGAGAGUGAAUUUGUAAUUAGGUUUUUUUGUGAUAAAAUUUAAGGAUGAAUUCUACCUAUUCUAUAAAUUUGAGACAAAUUGAAUGGCUAGAUCAACAGUUAUGAAUUUCUAAAUUUUAGAAAAAAAAAACCUGUUGCGGAAAAAAUAUAUUUUCAAGGGAUUUUGCUAUAUUUUGAGUUUUAUGCAAAAUAAAGGAGUUUUUGGAAGCUUAGAUAAGAUUUAUAUAAAGGUUUAAGCUACUCUCUCCAUAGCUAGAUAUCCAAUGUAUUCCCAGAUAGCAAAUCAUGCCAUACGACAUCGGGACGCUCACUUGACAACCUCUCGUUUGAUCCAUCUGUCUAUGUCUUUUGGAUAUUUAGUAAGAUAUAUUUUCACAAUUCUUAAUAUAUAUAUAUAUAUAUAUAUAUAUAUGUGUAUAUAUAUGUAUAUAUUUUCAUAAAAUGUUCAUCAAAGAAUCGUCUCUCUUAGUUAGAAUAUCUCUAAAUUGAAAGGAAGACAAGACAAAUGAAUAUGACUAUAACUUAUCUUGAGCUCCAAUAUUUUAGUUUCUAAAUUCUACCUAGGUUUGAUAAUUUACCACUUAAGGAAUUGAAUAAGAAUAAAUUUGUGACUUAAGGAAUUGAAUAAGGACAAUCUAUAUUCUUUACAUCUAUUUCUAGAUGUUCUAAUGAAAAAAUCUUCGCCAUAGAGUGUUUGUAGCCAAACUAAAUUAUUUGAAAAGACUUUCUUGAGUAUGUAGGGGCCCAACCAUAUGGCAUCAAAUUUCCCUAGAAAAUCUAGUCUCCUAGCAUCUUGUAUGAGAACUAAUAUGCCAGGUUUAAGAGUUCUAACUUUAUGUCACUUAUCAAAGGUAAUUUUUCUUCUUCUUUGGAUGGCCUUUGUAUAUUGAGCACUUCAUCUUGUAGACUAAUCUAGACCUUCUAAUUGCUCUAGUCUAUCAAUUAAAGAUUUUUUAGUUGACAAUCUUUCUUUCAAGGUAAUUCGAAUGGAAGGAAUUUCAAAUUCAAUCGAUAAAAUAGCUUCUAUCCCAUAAACCUAGGAAAAUGGAGUUGUUAAUAUUGUCACUUUAAAUGUUGUUCUAUAAGCCCACAAAGCUGUAGGGAGCUAUAUCCCAAUCUCUUUUAGAUGUUGUGACAAUUUUUCUAAGGAUAUUAAUCAAGGUUUGAUUUACUUUUUCUGUAUGCUUAUUUAUUUGACGGUGAUAAGGAGUAGUUUUUCUAUGGUCAAUUUUAAAUCGGGAGGUCAAAUCUUCUAUAGCUUCAUUUAAAAAAUACUUGCCUCUAUCACUAAUUAAGAUUUUUGGACAUCCAAACCUAGUGAUGAUUUGUUCAUAGAGAAAUUUGGCAGCCUGUUUGGCAUCAUUGGCUUUCAUUGCCUUUGCCUCCGUCCAGUUGGUGAAGUAUUUGGUUGCUACCACUAUGUAUUUUAUACCUCUAGUGGAAUUGGGAUGAACCUCUUCAAUAUAAUCAAUUUUAUAUUUUUCAAAGAGAACUAAAGGUAGGGACACAUAGAGAGACAAACUCAUCUUUAGGUCAUUCCUAACAUAUCAUUGACAUGAGUCGCAUGUCUUAGUAUAUCUAUGUGAAUCUUAAAAUAAUGAGGGCCAAUAAUAACCUAUUUUAAGUAGUUUUUAGUCUAUUAAGGUUCUUGAAAAGUGACCCCCACUUAUACUAUCGUCACAUGCCAAUAGAAUGGUAGGAAAUUCUUCUUCCAUUACACGCCUCCUUAACAUCCCAUUGUCGUGUUGUAACACGAGUAUACAGUGAAAAUAAAAAGAAAAGGGGAAUUUUAUUAAUAUUCAGUUACCUCAAAUAUUGGGAGCAUCGACCAACUCCAGUGCAAAUACUGAGUGGUCAGGUUCAGUCACUCCGUUACAGUCAGCCGGGGCAUAUUGAAAUGCUCCAUUCGAUUUCGAUAACGGAAGUCAGUAGGAAGAAAAGGACCAAUUCACACGAUGGGUUCGAAGAGCCAAUUGGAUCCAAUUUCGAGAAUCCAAUCCGGGUCCUCUUACCUAAUAUGAAACCUGAAUUGGCCGGUCAACCCAAUGCAAUCUAAUUACGAGAAAUCCAGGUCUUACUACGGGUCUUAGCCAAUCCGACGCGAGGACCAAUUUGACCCAAUUAUGGGAACAUCCAGGUUAUUACGGGCAUCUUACCCAAUAUGGGACAUGAAUUGGUCGGGCGACUCAAUGUGGUCCCGAUUACGGAGUUUCGAUUAUGUUUCGGGCUCUCCUGUUCUUUGUGCCGUUUCAGGGAACGUUGUUUUCGGUAAAUGGAUCUCUUAAAGGUAAAAACGGAGGAGAAAGCUCUGAUGGCGAGAACCAAUUUUGGAUCCAAGCUUGACGGUGGGAGCCAAUUCCGGAUCUAAGAUGGAAGAUUGAAGAAAUUCAGAGGAUAAGAUUAGGGGGGAUAUAGUUUUGAAGGGGGGUUUUUUUUUUUUUCUCUGGGAAUCGGGGGGAGCUAGUUUUCAAGCUUUUGCAAGGUUACUAGUUCGGUUUUCAUUGGAUGUUUCUGAAGAUCAAAGAGGAAUUAGAGAGAGGAGCUUCAUGCUUCGGGUCGGGGAAGGAAAGACAGAGAAUUUGGAUUUUUCUUCUUCGUAGAGUUUUGGGAAGGCUGAGGCAAUCGCUGCUGAAGUCAGUAUUGUAAUAGUGAAUCGGGAUUUUUAAUGAAGUGGGUUUGAAUACUCUUGACUGUUUUGUGAAAUCGAGUUACGUCUGUGAUUGAAGGAUUAAAAGGGCGUCUAUAGGAUUGAGUAUGCGGAGUGAAUGAAAUUUAUUGGGUUAAUCUAACAAGACAGUCAGUGGAUACAAGAUCGUAAGUACAAAGCGGUAUUGAAGAUUAACAGUUUGGGUUGUUCGGGGUUCUCUGUAACGUCUAGAAACCUAUCGGCUGGGACAAAAAGGACUUCGACAAGCAGUCGAAGAGCAUCCGUAUAGAUUUAUGGUACAUUGUUGUAGUUGUUUAUAUUCCAGCAGUCAAAACUGAUAGACUGCUUGACUAUCGACAAAUCUCCAUACUACCUUCUACAGCCAGACGCCCAGCGCGUUCUCGAGCAGAAAAGCACGUAAUACGACACCGUCAACUCCACGUCUAUAUAAUUUGCCACUAACUAUGGUAAAGUACCUACUAUUAAUUGUUACCUUCUUACGUUCUAUUUUAGAAAGAUGAGGAGGCAAGGCUUGAGUCAUCAGAAACUUCAUAAUUAAUGCAUACCAAGUGGCCGUGGUUGAAAUGAUAAACAAGGUUUCAUCUAUCAAUGUGUCAUUAAUUGGAGCUUCACCAAUUUCAUCUGAUAACCUAGAUAAAUGAUCUGCUUGCUUGUGCAUCCUUCCUAGCUUAUAUUCUACCAUAUAAUCAAAUUUUUCUAGUAGAAGUAUCCACCUUGCAAGUCUAUCACUUAAAUCAGCCUUAUUCAUAAGGUACUUGAUUGCCUUGUGGUCUAUAAAAAAUACCACUGGAUUUAAGAGAAGGUAAUGUCUAAACUUCUUAAUGGAAAAAACCAUGGCAAAACAUUCUCAUUUCAUGGUAGUAUAAUUUCCCUCUAUAGGAUUCAAUUGCCUACUAGCAAAGGCUAUAGGAUAAUCUUUGCCUUUCUCUCCACUUUCUUGACACAACAUGCUCUCUAUGGCUACCAAUGAAGCAUCACAAAGCACAUGGGAGGGCAAUGACCAAUUGGGAGGUCUUAAGAUAGGAAAAUUACUAAUUUUUUCUUUAAGGAUAUCAAAUGCAUUUUUUACCCCAUUCAAACUUCACUUCUUUUUGUAUUAGUGAAGUUAUGGACAUAGAAAGUGUAGCAUAAGCUUGUAUGACUUCUCGAUACCACCUUAUAUGUCCCAACGUCCUUUGUACCUCUUUCACUAUAGAAGGGGGUUUUAAGUCUACAAUAACUUUGACCUUUUCUAGAUCACGUUCUCUACCCUUUUUCGACACGACAUAUCCUAAUAGAACUCCCUUUUGAACUGCUAGGAAUAUUUUGUUAGGGUUUAAUGCAAUCUUGGCUUUUUGACAAUGUUAAAAUCUAGCCCGAAUACAUUCUAAAUGUUUUGUUUUAGAAGACUGAGUACUAAAGUUGUCAAUGAACACUGUCAUUGAUUUGUGUAAAAGGUCAGAGAAGGCAUAGGACAUGGCUCUUUGAAAUGCAAUUAGAGCAUUACAAAGUCCAAAAGGCAUUACUACAUAAAUAAAAGUACUCCAUGGCGUAGUGAAAGUAGCUUUGUGAUGAUCUUCUUGGGCUAUGGAUAUUUGAUUAUAUCUCGAAUAUUCGUCCAUAAAUGUAUAAAGUUCAUGACUUGCCACUUCUUCUAAAAUAGUAUUAAUGAAAGGAAGAAGAAAAUGAUCUUUUUGAAUGCAUUUAUUAAAUUUCCUAUAGUCUGUGCACACUCAGAGUUUUUCAUUCUUCUUUUUGACUAAAAUCAUAGGUGAAAUCUAAUCCGUAAUCUCCGUAGGUUGAAUAAACCUCGCUUAGAGGAGUUUUUUUGAUUCUACUUUGAUAAUUAAUUAUAGAUUGGGAUUCAUUCUUCUUUCUUUUUGUUCUACAAGAAUUGAAUCAGGGAGGAGAGGGAUUCUAUGUUGGACUACUUCUAGAGGUAUGUCAUUAAGAUCUUUAUAAGACCAUGCGAAUAUAUCCCUAUAUUCCAUAAGUAAUGACUUAUAACUUAUCAACUCAUCCUCUAUCAAUUGAAUCCCUACUUUCAUGAGUUUUGAAUCGUCUUUCUUCAAAGACACAUCCAUUAAUUUGUAAUCAAGGUUGUACACAUGAGCUUGUUCUGUAGGGCCUUUAUACCAAUCAUUUGAAAUUUUUGGAUAACUAACUAUGUCAUUUCUAACUGUAAGACGAUUAGAAGUUUGUUUAUAUUGUAAAGAUGGAAUAAGAUUGCUUUCCUCUAUUAAGUCAUCCAACUGGUGAAUUUAAGUGCUAUAAAAGUUUAUCCCAAGGACAUCUUCAAUUUUUAUGUCAUCUACCAAGAUUUCUAAAUCCACUUCUACUUCAUUGUUUUUUCAAGUGAUAAAACUAUCUAUGAAGUUAACACUUACAACUUCAUGUCCACUUGAAGUAGGAUGAGUUUUCAUCCAUUGGGUGAAUUUUCUAUCAUCUUUCCAAUUGUAUAGUCCUAGGCCUAUACAACUUAAUAGGGUAGUUUGAACUAUACUAAAAUAAACCAAUUCUUUUCUUCCUAAAUUAGCAAAUCUCUCUUUCUUUUCUUUUAAUUCAUUUUGUGGUUAUGAGUUGAAAAUCUCAUCUUCUAAAAAGUGAGAUGAAGUUUUUCCAACAAAAAUCCUUAGAAUUGAAUGAAGAUUUUUGUGAGGUUUUCUAGUGGAUCAUAAAUAAUAUGAGGCUUUUUACCACUCCAAUCAAUCUUGGCACUUGUUGCCCUUAACCAUAGUCUACCUAGAAGCAAUAGAUAUGAAUUCUUGCUAGGAUGCAUAUGUAUAAUAUGAAAUAUGAAGGAAUAUUCUUCACCUCCUGUCAUCAUUCUACAACCACUAAUCUGCCCCAAAAGAGUGUUUUGACUUUGAUUAGCCAUGUUAAUCACAUAGGGAGAGGAUCUUGUGAUAUUAAGUCCUAAUUUUUUUGUAGUCCUUACUGGCAUAAUAUUUAUUCUACUACCUCCAUCCACAAUGGUAUAAGGUAUGAUUUUAUCUACUUUGGACACUUCUAAUUUAAUUGCCUUCACCUCUUUUGCCACUUGAAUUGUUCUAAUGUGGGCCUGAAUUUUUGUCUUAGACCUUUGGCAUCUCUUAAUAGGUAAGCCUAUUUUAAACACUUUUCUCAUUAUUAGAGAAACCUCCAAUAAUUGGGCAAUAGUUAUAUCAGCCUUGAUUUUAUUCAUGUCUUUCCAUAAGUGAUAAGACUCCCUUUGAUCAUUUUGUUUUAGAAGAAAUGAGAUACCACUUUCAAGUUCAGGGAUCUUAAGACCUUCUUACUCUUCUAUAGAAGGAAAUUCCUAUACAAGGAUUUUUUCUUUUUCUAUCUUAGUUUUUUGAGUGGUGGUGGGUUCUAAAUUAUAGAACAUUUUUCUCGAUUUCUUUACAUUAUCCAUUGCCUCUCUUGUAACUUUGUUUAAAUCAAAAAAGUAAGGAGAGUCCAUUGAACUAUCUUUACUAUCUAUUGAGGUAAGAAGGGGAAGACUGCUAUAUCUAGACCUUGUCGUAACUACUAAGGCUAGCAUAUUAAGAAGUCCUUUAUCCUUACUAGGUGUUCCUUCAUGAGAGAUGUAAUGGGUGUAAGAAGACGACGGUUGGUCUCUAAGGAUUUGAAAACCUUGUUCUUCAGUAGGUAUUUCCAAAUACCUUAUAACUUGUGAAUUUCUACUCUCAUUUUAUUGGCCAUAUUGAGGUUGAUCUACAUUUAAUGAAAUAAAUCCUCUCUAUAUGAUUAAACCUAAGAAAGGAUGUUGGGUUUGAUGAUUAUUAUUAUAAUUAUAAAAUAAGUUAGAAGGUCUUAGGGUAUUGUCCUGAUUUGGAUUUCUUGCCUUCUUCAAUUGAUCUUGGGCUUGUUUUUGAUAAUAUCCUUGUAAAUUUUUUAAAAAAAUCACCUUAUCCGAUUACCUAAACACAUCAAUAGGAUGGUUUCUCCCACAAUUUCCAUAUACUAUCCUAUUUUCUAUCUAAUAAUUUCUUGGAAAAUAUUCUUUUCUGUAAAGGUGGUGCAUCUCAUGUUGUUGUCAUUGUAGGUUUUUAAAGCCUUUGAUAGAAUUUUUUUGAGGUUGGAAUUGGAAAUUGGAACUUGUCAUACUAUGAUUUUUAUGAGAUGGAGCAUACAAUUGUGGCCUUUCUUGAUUUUCCUAGUAAUUUUGCUAGUUUGAAAAAAAUUGACUUAUAUGUUCUGAUUGGCUACAUUGAGUGUACCAAAGCCCUGAGGUGUGUCUACUAGAUUCUAUAGGAGAUGAGACUUGGUUUGGAUUUUGAUUCUUAAUUAAAAAAGUCAUUUAUUCUUAGAUAGCCUUCAUUUUUUGGAAAAGUUCAUUUUGAAACUCCCGUUGGCUUUGAAGGACUUAAAGUCCACUUUUCAAGUCCUCUUUUCAUCUAUUCCUAUCUUUUGGGUAUAUCAAUUCAACAAGGUUGGGAGGCAAUCUAACAUCCAAGGGUGUUGAAUAGUGGUACAUAGGUUGAAAUUAGGUUCCCUCAGUCCCAUAUAAGUGCCCUUGGGAAUUAUCUAUGUUUUGAGUAUGUAUUGGGAUGAAGCAAGGUAUUCUAUGAUCUUCUUUCUUUCACAUUCGCUUUUGCUGCUUAUCAAUAUUUUCAAUUACUUGUGCUUAUUUUUUGGCCUUUUCUAAAUUACAUGGUCUUCUCUUGAAGAUUUCUCGAAUUAUUUUCUCACUAUUAAAUCCUUGAAUAAAGAAAUGGAAGAAGGUAUCAUCCAUGAGAAGAAUUUCCACAAAUCGGGUUACUACAAGCUCAAAUCGCCAAAUGUAUUCCGUGAUUUCUUCUCCCUUUCCUUGUCUCAAAGAAGAAAGGGCUGUGAAGGCGUUACUUUGCCCUACUUCUGGCCUGAACUUUUCUAAGAAUGCUCUCAUAAGCAUGUCUUAGUUCUUAAAGGUUUCGGAGGGUGGUUUCUAUACCAUUCAUAAGCCCCAUCUUUUAGGGUACUUGAAAACCAUACUAGAUAAUAACCUGGAUUGGUUAUUAAACAUGUUGUGAGAAGUUCCAUGAAUCUCUCCAUGUGUGCCAAUGGAUCAUCAUCUCUAGUUCUUUUAAAUAUAAGAAGGUUGUGGGGCAUAAAAGCUGCUUGUAAAUCCUUAGGAAUUACUAUUGGUAAGCUCCUUAGUUGAACCAAGUGGUUGAUAGAUAAAAAAGUAGGUAUAGAUUCUCCUUCACAUUCCAUUGGAAGAGAAGGAGGUGUUGACCCUUCUCUCUCUUGAUUUAUCCUUAAAACUAAGUUAGGAGAGUUAGAAUUCAAUCUUUUUUCUCCUACUUCCUUGCCCAGACUUGAUUCAAUUGGAUUUGACAUGAAAAUAUCUUCUAAUGUUGGAGGUGAGGAUUUCUUGACCAAUGAUUGAAUUUCUACUUGUUUAGCUUUGAUUUAUUUUUAUUUCUAAGAGAUUCAAGAUUUCUUAUAGGUGAAGAUAGGUUGGGUUGCUUAGAUCUAGUAGAAUGAUACAUCUACAUGACUAAAGACAUACCGUUCAACUUAGCGUGACUUUUUAACUACCCAAUUCUCCAAUAAUUUAAAUGUUUGGCUCUUCGACGUCCAAUCAACUUAAAUACCUUUCGAGAGGGAAGAAAAACAAAACAAAAAUGCUUGCUAAAGUAUUACCUUUUCCCAUCUACAACUAUAAGAGAGAUUGGAGAUUUACUUCUUUUGCGUCUUCUUCCUAGAUUCUACCCUCCAACUCAUAGCUCCUACUCCUUGUAUUCAAGUAAUUUUCUAAAAUUUCAAAGAAAGAAUAAUUGACAAGGUUCAAGGACUUACGUAUUUGCAAGCUAUUAAUGCUUUUCUCCUUCCUUUUUAUGUUCCUUUUCCUCAAACCAUAAUCUCAAUUGUAUUCUGCUUAAGGCAGCAACCUCUCUCCACUCCAAAAAUCACCAAAAUUUCAGUUUUGAUUCAAUUGUAGUGAAUUUUGUACUACUACGACCUCAACUUUAAUGUGCUUCUACACAAAAUUUUCCACUAUAAACGAAUUACCAGACACUAAGAAAUACAUUUCCAAACAUGAGAUACAUGAAACUGCCAAGGCAGUGAACCUCUUUCUACUCUAAAACUCACUACAACUUCAAAUCAACUUCAAUUUGAACAUUUGAUAGCUUUUUGGAAAGCUUACAUCCAUCCACAUACAUAAUCUUAAGAAUUUUCGACUCAAAAAUUGCAACACAUAAAAACAGAUUGAUGAAAUUCCGAGAGCAAAUCAACAUCCAACUUAACAAAGAAAUUUUUGACUAUCUUAUAAAUUGAGAAUUAGAAAUGCUUUGCUUACACCAAUAAAGAAGAGAUGAAGAACACUUACCACUGAUGAUGAGCUACUUGAAUUCCUCACUCAACAUAAUCAAGCAAGAUCAAUCACAACAAGCAAACUUCACAUUCACACACACCAUUAGAAGCACCAUCUUCUGGCAAAUGCAUCAAAAUGUGAGUGUAAAUUUUACUCCUCAAUCCCAAUUACAAGAUGGCCUCAAUUAAGAGUUGCUUGUAAUUGGUGGUAUGAAGGGAAGUAAGCAAUUAACAAGAACAAAAAAUGAACAACCACAAAACAAUUGAAAUGAAUGACAUGAAGCAAGUACACAAUCAAAAACUAAGUCACAGUCUGUUCACUAUGUUUUCACCCAGUAAAAAUUAAAAGUAUAAAGUAUAAAGUGAAUUUUUAGAUAGGUAAUUUUAUUAUCUUUCCAAUGACGUAAGAAACAUGUAAAUCCGAAUUACUAUGAGUAAGUUAUGAAGUUUUAAAAGACAUGAAGUAAAUAAUUAAAAAAUGAAGUGAAAAUAUUUUAUCUCAAGGAUAACUUUCUUAUAGAUCAAGGGUUCGAGCCUCAACGAGGCUCACAUGUAGUGUAUAUCAGUUGUCUGAAGAGGUCUUGAGGCCUUAGUCUUAUCUUCCUACAUGUAUCCAAGGUGCUACAACCCAUAUGGGACUUGUGCACCUCCUUUUUUAGAAGGACUAUACUAGCUGCUGGUCCUCCUAUUUUCUACUAGUAGAAUUAAUAUUUUUGCAUUUUUUCCUUCACCAUGGUGUUCAAAAACACCCAAUUAGCCUAAAAACAUACUGUGGCCUUCAAACCUUGCUCCAUUUCUUCAUAAUGGCUCUCCAAGUGAUAAAACUCAAUUUUCAAGUGGUCUUGAAAAUUAUCCUAAAAAUUCAUAGAAAAUUCAAAAUAAAUUCUAAAAAUUCCUAUAAUAUUUCUAUAAUUCUAAUAUAAAUUUAAAGAUAUAAUUUCCUAUAUUGAUGAUUUUUUAUAGUAAUAAAAAUCAAUUUGAAUCUACUAAAAAUACUAAAUAAUUUCUAAAUAAAUUCUAAAAAUUCCUAUAAUGUUUCUAUAAUGCUAAUAGAAAUUUGAGGAUAUAAUUUCCUAUAUUCUUGAUUUUUUAUAGUAAUAGAAUCAAUUUAAAUCUACUAUAAAUUCUUCUUUUUAUAUAAAUAAUAAAAAAGACAUGAGGUUCUUUCUCAUGCUUUUAUUAACUACUAACUAACAUUUAUAGUUUUUGUAUAAGUAAUAUAUAUAGAUAUAAGAUCAAUAUAAAUAUUAAUUUAGUAACUAAUUCUUACUCCUCAAUAAUAAGUAAAAAUACUAAACCAACUAAAAUAAUUGCCUCCAAGACUUACUAAGACUCCAUUUCUUCUCCACUAAUACAAUUCUUCUUUCUUUAACAUCUUCUAAAUACAUCUUUACCUAAUAAUUGUAAUUUUGGCACUCUACAUAUAUUCUUUUGUCCUAAAAUAACUACUAAGUCAAUCUGAUGAGUCACAUUGCCUCUUCAAAGGUUGCCUCCUCCCCUUCUUUUUGAGGCCAAGAAUAAAGAAUCUUCAUGGUGAAGCCAUCUUAUCAAGCUUCUAUUCUUCAUUUUAUCACUUUUGGUCUUAAUGGAUGUUGUUGAUGGAACUUUUGAAUUUUUAUUUGUAUAUUUAUAAGGUUAUUAGCAAAUUAUCAUGUGUAAUCGUUGAUAUCAUAUCUGUGUUAAUGGACCAAAUAUUCAAGCUUUCCAUGUCUUAUCCUUGAAUCUAAUAUUUCUUCUACCAAUUUUAACAUGAUCAUUGAUUUCAACUAUAGAAGAUGGUGGUUGUCUUUGAUCUAGUAUAUUUGAUUCUUUAUAUCUUUCCAAUAGUGAAAUAUGAAAGACUGAAUAAAUCUUCAUUGAUGAAGGUAAUUCCAGGCAAUUAAUUAUGUUAUUGAAUUAUUUUUGAAUCAAAAAUAGUUCCAACCUUCGAUAGUCCAACUUAUCACAUGGCUUGUUGGUUUUUAUAUUGCGUUGAAGAAGCCACUAUUUGUCAUCAACUUAGAAUGGAGGAUGUUCCAUCUUCAAUUCAUCCAUUGAUAGCUUAAAACGUUGUUGAGUCUUUUUUAGGUGAAUCUUCAUGGUUGCUUGAAGUUCAGCCAUCUUUGUUGCAAAUUCCCAUGCUGUUGGAUUUCUCAACUUUGAAGGCUCUAUCAUAUUUAAUUUUGGAUGAUGACCAUAGUUUGAAUAGAAUGGUGUUUGUUGCUUAAAUGCAUGGAUUGUGUUGAUAUAUAUAUAAACUCUGUCAAUGACAAGUAGAAAGUUCAAUUGUCUUGUUGAUAGUUGAGAGUACAUCUAAAAUAGUGCUCAAAUAUUUAGUUGAUCCGCUUCGUUUGGCCAUUAAUUUGAGGGUGGAAGACAAAAAAAAGAUUGAUAUUAAUCUUAAGAAUCUUGAAGAGUGCCUUCAAAAACCAUGAUACAAGUUCUGGUUCACGAUCCAACACAAUGUUGUUUGACAACCUCUAAUAAUGAUAGAUAUUAUCAAUAAAGAAUCUUGCCAUCUCUUCACGAGUAAUUGACUUCUUGCAAGGUAUAAAAUGUGCCAUCUUGGUGAAUUGAUCAACAACUAUAAAGUUAGUGUCAAAUGAGCUUGAUGGUAGAAGAUUUAUAAUGAAAUCUAUAGAAAUAGAUGACCAUGGUUGUUUUGGAAUAGGAAGGGGUUGAAAAAGUCCAUAUGGCCAAUGUCAAGGAUUUUUUGACCUUGAACAAGUAUCCCAUGAUAGAAUAAAUUCUUUAAUAUCCUUCCACAUUUUAGGCCAUCGAAAGUCUCUAGAGAGAAGUUUUAAGGUCUUAUUAAAUCCGAAAUGCCUAAUUAUAGGAAAAUCAUGGCAUGUUUGAUGAACAUGUAUGCGAGUUGGCCCUUCAAGAAUGAAUAAAUAUUAUUCAAAGAAUAAGAAAUUAUCUUUAUACUUGAAUUUAGAAGACUCUUCAGAAAGGUUGUUGAUAAGACACUUGAUAAUAAAAACAAGAAGGUCCAUAUUUGAGGCUUUAUGAACUUGAUGAAGAAAUAAUAAAUCUACAACUAUUGAUACAUUGGUUGCUUGAAGAUGAAAUUACUUAGGUUUUAACAAGGUUGCUUGUUGUUGAUCAUUUGCUACCUCAUCUUCUUUUGGUUCAAGGUAGAAACAUCUUGAUAAUGUAUUUGAUAAUUUUUGUUGGCUUCCAUGUUAAUACGUGAUACAAAAGUCAAAUUAUGCUAAAGAUAUAUACCAAUGUACUUGGCGAUUGUUCAAGACUCGAGUUGACAUGAAAUAUUCAAGAUUCUUAUGAUCUGUAUAUAUAAUCACCUCAUGAAAGGCACCUUCAAAAAAGUAGUGCCAUUCUUGGAAAGAAUCUACUAUAGUAAGCAUCUCUAUAUUGUAGAUUUUGUAGUUAAUUUUUACUGCUGAGAAUUUUUUAGAAUAAAAUGUAAUUAGAUGAAGUUUACCAUCUUCUCCAUAUUGCAAUAAGAUUGCUUCCAAUACAAAGUUUGAGGCAUUGGUCUCUAUAAAAUAGCGCUUGUUGAAAUCUAGAUGUAUCAAAAUUAGAGUCGUUGUACAAGCAUCUUUUAAGCUUUGAAAAGCUUUCUUUACUUCAAGGCCCUAGUCCAACUUGACCUUCUUUGUUGGAAUAAUAUAUCCAAAUACUUCUUUAGUUUUGCAUAUAGUUUAGUACUUCAUAGCUUUUUCAACACUAGGUGGACGGGUUUUUUUUGGUCUUCGAGAUUCUAUGAAAAGAUUAGAAUAUCAUCCAAAUAAAUCACAACAAAGUCAUCAAGAUACUUCCAAAAUAUAUCAUUCAUUAAGUGUUGGAAUAUGGCUGGUGCAUUCGUAAGUCUGAAAGACAUGACAUUGUAUUCAAAAUAUCCAUACUUAGUGCAAAAUGUUGUCUUCUAUUCAUCUCUCUCUUUAAUACAUACCAAGUUAUAUGCGCCUUAUAGAUCAAUCUUUAUAAAGAUCUUUGCUUAGCUAAAUUGAUUAAGAAGUUUGAAUAUCAACGACAAUAGAUAUUGAUUCUCUAUCAUGAUUUUAUUAAGAGUACAAUAAUCGACACACAUUUAUAAAGAUCUAUCUUUUUUCUUCAGAAAUAAUAUUAGAGUAUCAGUUGGUAUCUUAGAAUGUUGAAUAAAGUUCUUAGCCAGAUUUUCUUCAAUGUACUCCUUUAAAGUUGCAAAUUCAAUCUAGGAUAACUUAUAGAUGAGUCCAAAUGGUAGUUGAGCAUCUUCUUGAAGGUCAAUUGUACAAUUGUAAGGAAGAUGCUUUGGCAAGUUGUUUACAUUUUUCUUUUCAAAUACAUUUGAAAAAUCCUUAUAUGCCUUUGGAAUUGUUGUUGUAGCAAUCAUAGCUUUUGAUUGUCGAUUUAUGUAGAUAGCAAAUACAAUACUAUAUUUAACUACCCUUACAAAUACUCUAACUCUAAUAAAAAAAUAUUAUUUAAAUUUUGGCUUAUUGGAUGUUAGAAGUUUUUUCAUAGAUCUAGGGAUUCUAUGAUCUAGAAAAAAAAAUUCUUACUUUUGAUAUAUCCAAUUUAUUUAUAGAUUAUAUUUUUGAAGCAAUUAGAGUCCUAAAAUGACUAGACUUGAUAGUGAACUAAUGAUGUUGAAUACUACUUUGUUGCUAUAGUUGUGAAAGGUUAUUUCUAAUGGAAUUGUUUUAUGAGUCAUAUCUCCCGAGGGUAAAGGUCGACCAUCUAUUACUUCUAUAUGUAUGGCUUUUGAUUUUUUGACUAAACAGAUUUUGUGUAAUCUAAAAAAUUCUUCAUCAAUAAAACAUGCAAAGGCUCUUAAAUCAAGUAAUGCAUGACACUCUAGUUUUGUAAUUCCUAACUAUAUAGAUAUAAUAAAACAAUGAGAAGGGCUAGUAGAAAUUACUCGACCUUUUUUGGUUUGUGAUUGUAAAAAAUUUAGCCACACGAUUCCUACUAUAUUUAAAUGUCUUCAUUUAUCCUCAAAGCUUUUAAUGAUGUAGCUACACUUCUCAUUCAAUAUGUAUGCUUGCAUUUCUUUGAAUAAUUAUUAACAUUGUGAUCAGAUUUUUUACAAUAUAAGUAUUAGCCAAGUUCUCUUUGAUGCAUUUUUUUUUGUCCUAAAGAAGAUUGAAGCAAAUUGCAUCAAUCUAUAAAUAUUCUACUUUCAAAUUUCUAUUAGAGUUGAAUGGUGAAGAAUGGAUAAAUUUAUAGAUAGAAAAAAUUAACUCUGAUUGACAAAUCAAGGUCCAACCAAAUUACCCGAGCUCAUAGUCAAUCCUAAGAAAAGAAAAAGGUGGUCCAUUCUCAAUACACUAAAAGACACCAAUAUUUGUGUGACAACAUCUCAUUAUCAACAAUCUUCCAAUGAUACACAUUUACCACAUAUUUCUUACAACAAAGUGAUAAAUCAGUAAGAUAAAUUGUAGGUCUUAGAUAGCAAUUCAAAUUUUAAUUAUGACUUAUAAGAAAUUCAAGACAUUGUCAUAUUAUGUGCUAUCUAGCUUGAGAACGCAUCAAGCGUCUUGCUGUAGAAGAUAAAAUAAUGUUUUACAAGUAUCUAAGUAGUCUAGUGGGUUUCAACUAUCUAAACAAAAACUAUUUCAGAUUUUAAUGUAAAAGCUUAAUCUCAAUACAAAGUGUUUAGAACACUAUUUUUAAUAGCUUCUAAAUAUUAUAAGCAUAGAUUCUUUUGUUAUUUAUUAUUUUUAUUUCUAUUUCAUUUAUUUUCUUUAUUUUCUUAUUCUUUUUUUUUAUUUUCUUUAUUUUUUAUUUUUUUAAACCGUUACCCUAAACAGCGAGCCUCGACAAGCUGUAAUUUUCAAUCAAACUGUCCGAUUGUUGUGAGACUUCUACCACUAGUUUCUUUACAAGUCUUCUAAAUGUUCAAGAAGUUAAAGCUUAAGAGAAGGUUGGGGCCUAAAGAAGAAAAUUUUAACUUAUAGGAGGCUUAAUGGGAGGGAUGAAAGCAAGGCAUGGUUGGAUGAAGGCAAGGAAUGGAAAACUUCAUUCCUAUUAGUCGAAGGCCAUGCCCAAUGGACUUCAAGGAAGCUGUCCGAGGCCUAAUUAGGGAUUAGGGUUCCUCUUUCGAAAGCAUUUGGAGAUUUUUAGCUAAGGUUGUAAAGUUUAGGCUUUGGAAUACAAUUUGUGUGCAAAAAUUAGAAGAUUUGGAGUUAGGGUGAAAAAGUUAUAGCCGUUUGAAGUUAAGGUAUUUAUUUAAGACAUAUUGUUACUCUUUUGAGGGUACGAAGAGUUUUACAGUAGCUUUUGAAGAUCGGAAGGUGCGACUGGAACGGCCAUUUUAAGGCCUACAUCUUUCAUGAAAGAAUUAUUGCUUUUGGAAUUUAUAUAAAAGAGUUGUAAGGAGUUGAAGGCUGCACUUCCAAAUCAAAAGAAGUAAGUAAGCGGAUUUAUUUGUAGUAAUGGUUGGAGCCACAACUGGAGUAUUCUGACGAAUUUUUGGCUCAAACUUUUUGGAGAAUGUAAAAUUUUGUGUUAAAAAUCUAUACAUACAAAUUUCAUGGCAUUUAAGCUUAUAUUUUGUGAGAUAUGAAGAAAAUUGCACAUGGAUGUAUAAAGACAAGGGUUUGAAGCGACUGUUAGGAUUUUCAAGAUAUUGCAAGAUCCACAACGAAUUUGCAGUUAAAAAUUGUUGUAGAAGUUAAUAAGAAUACAUUAGUACCUCAUGUAAAAUUUGAAUUUGUUUGGACGGUUGGAUUAGGAGAUAUGAGGUGAUGAAGUUUUAGAAAAUCUCCACAUAAGAAUAAAUAAGGUUUUAGAAGAUUUUAUCAUAUUUUGGAAGUUGUGGGUUACUUGAGGAUUGUGUAUUUGGUGUAAUUACUCAAAAAGGGAAAAAUUAUAUAUAAAAUUAGGGCUUCUUUUAUUUUCAAGAUUGAUUGAAUAAUUAGUGAUAGCCAGAAACCCAACGUUUUCUUGAGGCAAACUCUCUCUAUCUCGACAGUGGAUGGAGCAUAUGCUCUUGUCAUGUUCGAUGGUACAGCUUACAAUGAGGUGAUAGUAAUUGGCCCUUGAAUAUUGACACUGGAAUUGACCAUUGUUUCUAACAUCUAAGAUCACUAAAUAUUAAUAAGUCUUUUCCAUUUAUAUUUUCACCAUAUAGUUGUGGUAUAACACGACAAUGCUGUCAUAUUAUAAUUACUUAUAAUAUGUAGAAAAUAGUUAGAAUAUAUAAUAUGUGCAUAAUUCUUGGUGUAUGUUAGAAUGGUUAAUAGAUUAAUUUAAAGACAUUGGAUUAAAGAAACUUUAUUUUGAGUAUUAUCUUUUUUGAUUAUAGCAUUAAAAAAAUUAUAGGAUCUAAAUUUUUAGUAUAAAGCCUUAAGAGGAGAUUAGAGUGUAAAGAAGAAAAUCUUAAAUAAUUAUCAUAAAUUUAGAAUAUUGACUGGAAAUCUAAACUAGAAGCUUAAGAAGAAUUGAUAAGAAUUAGAUUAAUCAAAUGAGUACAAGAACAUCAUUAGAAAGAUGAGCUAGAGCUCUAAAAGGUGUGUUGUCGAGAGUGAUGUCCCCUUAAUCUUAGGUCCUAUAUACUAUACAAGCUAGGAAGCUUCUCAAGUAGCUUUCUUAAACUGGAAAGCUUUUCAAGCAGCUUUAUAAGCAGCUUGAAAAUUUCCAUAAACUAGCUUCUACAAACGAGCUUGAAAACUUCUCAAGUAGCUUCUACAAACUACAAAGCUUUGAUAGAACUUUCUAGAAUCUUCUACAAUUUCUAAGUGUGUGUCCUUGACAUCACUCCCUCCCCCUCCCCCCUUUGGCUUCAAGGUCUCCAAGAAGUACUCCUAUUACGAGUCAAUACCAAUGUAAGAAGUUAAAAAUUUGUAACAUAGUAUUUGUAAUAUAGUCUAAUUAUUGUUUACGUAGUAAGUAGUUUAUUGGUCCUUAUAACCAUUGAUAGUGUCCUAUGCCUUCGAUUUCUGACUAAGUAUGAACUUUCGUGUUUUCAUUGUAAAAAUGCCCUACAAACACUCCUUUGGGAAGAUCACCGUAGGCAGGUUCUACCUCAAAUACAAUCACUAGCGACCUGUUACUAGAUAUCCUCCAUUGUCUUUGUGGUAUAGGCAGUUCUUCAUCUCGUAGUCAUUUUCAUGAGAUACUCGUUUGAGAAGACAUGAUUGGUAUGGUAUCUAUCUUUUGGCUAUCCAUAUCAGACCAAAAAAUACAAGCACUAAAUAUGGAAGAAUGGACUCAGGUUACAGAUUUAUAGUGUCCAACUAUGUCUUUUAGAGAUUCUUUUUUCCCCAUCUUUGUAAGGCCGAGGAUUAAAAGACUUUAAAGAGAAGGAACUUCACUGAAAAACUUUCAUCGAAAGGGCUUAAGUUUUUAAGGAUAGCGUCGAUGAAAAUCUUGUACCUUUUGCAACACAUUGAUAAGAUUUUCCGCUAGUUCUUUUAUGCACUCAUUGAUAUCAUAGCCGCUCCAAUGCACCAAGUAUUCCAAUUUCUCCUACUUACGCCUCAAAUUUAGUACCUUUUCCACCUGAUAUUUCUUGUGGUUUUCAAUUUCAAUACUAGGUAGUGGACAUUGCACUCUUUAAGGAAAAGACGACUCUCGAUAAGGCUCCAACAAAGAAACAUGAAAGAUUAGAUUUACCUUCAUAGCAGCUGGUAAUCCCAGACAGUAUGCCAUUGGAUUGAUUUGCUUCUAGAUGACAAAUGGUCUCAAUCUCUGGUAGUCCAAUUUAUGACAUGGCUGAUUGAUUUUGAUAUUUCGUCAAAGCAAUCAUAUUUUAUUUUCAAUUUUGAAAGUAGGUGCCUGAUUCCAAAAUUUAUCUGUGGAUGCCUUGUAAGCUUCUAAGGUGAUUUGUAAUUGAAGCUUCAACGUAGUUUGAAGCUCCAAUAGUUUUUUCAUCUUUUCUUCAGCUGCCGAAUUGUUAUUGGUUGUCGGACUCAACAAAUCAAGCUUUAAAUGAUACCCAUAGUUGGAAUAGAAUGGUGUUUGUUGAGUCGACGCAUGAAAGGUGUUAUUAUAUAGAAACUCGACUAACAAUAGAUAUGCAUUCCAAUCACCUUGUUGAUAGUUGAUGCAGCAUCAUAAAUACUGCUCAAAAGUUUAAUUCACCUAUUUCGUUUAGCCAUCAGUUUGAAGAUGGAAAGCUGAAGAAAGCUUGAUAUCCACCUUCAAUAUCUCAAAGACAGAUCUCUAGAACUUUGAUACAAAUUGGGUUCUUCAAUCCGACACAAUAUCAUCUGGUAGACCAUGAUAUCGAUACAUACUAUCAAAGAAGAGCCUUGGAGUGUCUUUGCUUGACGAUAUUUUCUUAGAAGGAAUAAAGUGUGUCAUCUUUGUAAGCCGAUCUACCACAACAAAGAUGCUGUCAAAUGAAUUCGAUGGCAGCAGGUCCGUAAUGAAGUCCAUGGAAACUGAAGACUAUAGCUGACGUGGAAUAAGCAAUGGCUGAUGAAGACCAUAAGGAUGAUGCCGAGGAUUCUUGGAUCUUGAACAAAUAUACAUGAGAGGACAAAAUCCUCAACAUCUUUCUAUAUUUGGAGUAACCAAAAAUCUCAAGAAAUAAGUUUCAAGGUCUUAUUGAAUCCAAAAUAUCCUGCACGUGAAAAAUCAUGUUGAGAUUGGAAAACUCGAAGUCGUGCUUGUCCCUUUGAAAUAUACAACCACUCUUCAAAGUAUAAAAGAUCUCUUUCUACCUUGAACUUGUUAUUAUUGACAUAUUGUAUGAUAUCGAUGACUACAUAAUCUCCAAUAGUUGCAGUACGUACCUGGUUGAGGAAGUUAGCAUCAAUUGUAACUAUGGCAGAGCAAACACUGAAUUAUUCCAACUUCAAUAAUAUUGUACACUAUUGAUCAAAUGCUACUUCUCCAGCCUUUGGUGCUAGAUACGAUCUCUUUGAUAAUGCAUCAGAUAGUCCUUAUUGCUUCCCAGGCCAAUAAGUAAUAACAAAGUCAAACCUAGAUAGUAACAUAUUCCAUCAAGCUUGACAAUGAUUCAGAACCCGAGCUGAUAUGAAGUACUCUAAAUUCUUGUGAUCCAUAUAUACGGUCACUAGAUGCACAGCUCCUUCAAGAAAAUGAUGCCACUCUUGGAAAGAAUCCACUAUCACAAGAAGUUUUUUAUUGUAGAUCUCAUAGUUGAUCUUGAUAGUAAAAAACUUUCGAGAGUAGAAUGCAACUGGAUAAAGCUUCUUAUCUGCGCCUAUCUGCAAAAGUAUAUCUCCCAUAGCAAAAUUUGAAGCAUCAGUCUCCAAAUAGAAGGCCUUUGUAAAGUCCGGAUGUACCAAGAUUGGAGCCAUAAUAAAUGCCGUCUUAAGAUCUUGAAAUGCUUUUUCUGCUUUUGAGUUUGUCUUUACAUAUUAACCAAGUGAGCAGAAUAACAAUUUGAGAAUAAUUUUUGAUGAAGAUCUGAUAGAAGUUAGCAAAGCUAAGAAAGCUUUAUACAUCUGUCAUCGUCUUUGGAACUUCUCAUGAUACAAUUGCUUCCACCUUCUUAGGAUCCAUCUUCAAGCUUUUUGUAGUUGCAAUGAAUUCCAAAAAUUCCAUCUCAGUUUAAUUAAACAAGGACUUUUCUAACUUGGCAUAAAGUCCUCACUCAUGAAGUUUUUCAAGGACUAGACGAACGUGUUUCUCAUGCUCUUCUACAUUCUUGGAAAAUAUUAAAAUAUCAUCUAGAUAGAUGACAACAAAAUCGUCAUGGUGCUCCUGAAAGAUAUCAUUCAUCAUAUUGUCGUGUUGUGGUUCGGCUAUUAUAUGAAAAUAAUGUAAUUAUGUACUUAAUAUAUAAUUUAUUAAGUAACAUGGUGAGAGCCAUAUUAAUAGAUUUUAGUUGGUUGUAGAAUAUAAUUUGAUUAUUACCUUGAAAAGAGGUUGUUUAAAAAGAUUACUAUAGAAUUUGUAUAACUUUAAUAUCCUUUUGAUAGUGGCUUUUAAGAUUGGUUUUGGUUGAUAGUAACUGUAGAAUAAGUAGUUAUUUUUAGAAUAUAGAUACCUAGUAUAUAGUAUAAAUAGGGAUAAAUAAUUGUUGAAAAGGUGGUUCAACAAGUAAAAUGGAUGAAUAGUCAAGAAAAGUAAUUAUCAUCUAUAGUAUAGGAGUUGGUAUCUCGGGAUAGUAUAAAGAGGAUGGGAGAGGGGAAAAAAAUGCCAAACUACAAUAGUACUGAGUCAGUGAUAAGCUUGGUGCUAUCUCUUCUUCUUAAUUUUCCUAUUUCUUUUGUGUUAGUAUUGAUUCAAGUGAAGAGAAUCGAUUUAAUGAAUUAAUGUUUGAUUUAUGAAGUUAUUUAUGGAUCACUGUUUAUCAAUUGUUGUGAAAGAUUGAGGACGUAUGGAAGUUUUCAGCCACUGUUUAUCGCAAGGUUGUAAGUUUAGUGGAGAGGAAUUGUAAUCGAAGAAAUUGUCUUGAUCAGAUUUUGUAGAUUAGAAGUUGUUCGUUCCAGGGUUUGGGAUAUGCUUGUGUGUUCGUGAAUUAGACAGGGUAUUGAAAUUGUUGUCGUAGAUGUUAUUGUAUUGAUAUGAGAGAGUGGACAGUAGGGGAAAAAGUUAAGUGUUCUUUGGUAUGGUAAGCAUUCAGCAGUAGCGAUUAAUUGCGUGAUCCUAACAAUUGGAGCUCAUAUACAUGGUCUUUCCCUGUGUUCAAAUUUCCUUAUAUGGGUUUAUUUUGAGAGGUUUCUUCGAGAAUAAGUAAAACGAGCAACCACAUUUUGGCAUCAAUGUCGAAGAUUGACAAUAUUAUUGAGUGUUAGGAAUUAAUUAUCGAAGUAGUAAAGGAGAUUAGGAAACAAAUUUACUAGAAAUAAUGAAAGAAUAUGGUUAUUAAGAAUGAGAAUUUAAUAGCAAAGAGAAUAAAGCAAUCAAAAGAAAAAAUAGAGUGAUCGCAAGCAAGAAAUUUAUUGCGUAAUGAGCAAGAUUGCAAAUUGAAAAAAAAGCAUCGACAAAGUUGGAUUAAGCCGUUGUCGUGUUGUAACACAAGUAUACCGUGAAAAUAUAAAGAAAGGGGACUUUUAUUAAUAUUCAAUUACCUCAAAUAUUGGGAGCAACGACCAACUCCAGUGCAAAUACUGAGUGGUCAGGUUCAGUCACCCCGUUACAGUCAGCCGGGGCAUACUGAAAUGCUCCAUUCGAUUCCAAUAACGAGAGUCAGCAGGAAGAGAAAGGACCAAUUCACGCGACGGGUGAGCCUGGUUUGAAGAGCCAAUUGGAUCCAAUUUCGAAAAUCCAAUCCGGGUCCUCUUACCCAAUAUGAGGCCUGUAUUGGUCGGGCAACCCAAUGCAGUGUAAUUACGGGAAAAUCCAGGUCUUACUACGGGUCUUCUUAUCCAAUAUGAGACCUGUAUUGGUCGGGCAACCCAAUGCAGUCUAAUUACGGGAACAUCCAGGUUACUAUGGACAUCUUACCCAAUAUGAGACCUGUAUUGGUCGCGCAACCCAAUGUAGAAUAAUUACGGGAACAUCCAGGUUACUAUGGGCAUCUUACCCAAUAUGAGACCUGCAUUGGUCGAGCAACCCAAUGCAGUCUGAUUACGGGAAAAUCCGGGUCUUACUACUAGACUCUUAUCCAAUAUGAGACCUGAAUUGGUCGGGCGACUCAAUGUGGUCCCGAUUACGGGGUUCGAUUCUGUUUCAGGCUGUCCUAUUCUCUGUUUCAGGGAACGUUGUUUUCGGUAAAUGGAUCUUUUAAAGGUAAAAACGGAGGAGAAAGCUUUGAUGGCGAGAGCCAAUUUUGGAUCUAAGCUCUGACGGCGGGAGCCAAUUUCGGAUCCAAGAUGGAAGAUUGGAGAAAUUCAGAGGAUAACGUUAGGGGGAGAAUAAGUUUUUGGGGGGGUUUUUUUCGGAGAGAGGAGCUAGCUUCAGGCUUUUUUCAAGGUUACUAGUUCGGUUUCAUUGGAGGUUUUUGAAGAUCAAGGGGAUUGGAGAGGAGCUUCAUGCUUCGGGUCGGAGAAGAAAAGACGGAGAAUUGGAUUUUUCUUUUUCAUAGAGUUUUGGAAAGACUGAGGCAAUCGUUGCUAAAGUCAGUGUUGUAAUGGUGAAUCGGGAUUUUUUAAUGAAGUGGGUUUGAUUACUCUUGACUGUUUUGUAAAAUCGAGUUACGUCUGUGAUUGAAGGAUUAAAAGGAUGUCUAUAGGAUUGAGUAUGCGGAGUGAAUGAAAUUUAUUGGGUUAAUCUAACAAGACAAUCAGUGGAUACAAGAUCGUAAGUACAAAGCGAUAUCGGAGAUUAGCAGAUUGGGUUGUUUGGGGUUCUCUGUAACGUCUAGAGACCUACCGGUCGGGGCAAAAAGGACUUCGACAAGCAGUCGAAGGGCAUCCAUAUAGAUUUACGGUAUAUUCUUGCAGUCGUUUAUAUUCCAGCAGUCAAAAACUGAUAGACUGCUUGACUAUUGGCGAAUCUCCAUACUACCUUCUACAGCCAGACGCCCGGCGCGUUCUCGAGCAGGAAAGCACGUAAUACGACACCGUGGUUGCAUGCUUGUCGGCAUAUUUGAUCGUAUCCAGAAGACGAUCAAUCUCUAAUAUUUUAGAAGUACACAUCGUUAAAGAAAUUACCAAGAUCACUUAUGGAGAGCGCUGCUAGUAGUCUAGCAUACCUUUUGAAGCCGUUAACGAAAAACAAAGAAGGCAUAGAAGAAUUAGGUAUCCCAUUGGAUAUUUUCUCAAUUAGAAAUACUUCUGAUCCUAACAAGAUUGGUUAUGAAGAUUGGCAUAAAUCACUUGCCAAUAAAGACCAAUUCAGAGUAUAUCAAAACUUAUCGUUUUCACCUCAUAUUCAACUAGUAAAAUUAUUUGGGGAUAAUAAUAGUCAAUUGGGAAGGCCUCGAAGUCCGAAAAAGACUUUUGCACGAGGUAGUUUUUAUUUUAAUAAAGAAUUGAGCAGAACAUCGGUAUCUUUAAUGACGUCUGGAGGACCAAUAGUUCCAAUUGCAGUUCAAAUGGGUGCAGUGGGCGAUCGAAUGACUAGCAUCACGCCAUUACCUACUUUUCGGGGUUUGCUAGGUGUGGAUCCAGAUCAACAUUUUUUUCAAUUCUUGACGGCGUGUGUAGUCAAUAAUGGAAGAACAAAAGACAUUUGGCUGAGAUGGCUUCCAGCAACAUUGAAAGACACAGCGUUUGAGUGAUAUAACCGCCAAUCUGUGGGACAAUUUAUCAAUUGGGAGGCAUUGAAAAUUUUUUAGUUUAGCCCAUUUUCGACCAAUUGAUUUUGAAGAACGUCUUAGAAAAAAAUUAAUGAACAACAGAAUGGUACCAAGGGAAGUGGUACAGUCAUAUUAUGGUCGUGUAGCACAUAUACUUCAAAAAUGGCCAAAUAACCAAAUGUCGGAAUUGUUUGUGUUGUCCAUAUUGGUUAAUGGACUACACCCACCAGAUUUGAAGAUGUUUGUAAAGGAGGCCCAAUCAGCCACCAUUCCAUCAUCUCUUGAGCGAGCAAAAGUAUGGGAGGAAUGUCACUAUGACCAGAACUUAAUAAUUGGAGCCACGAUGAUUCUAUCAUAAGAAGGUUAUUAAAUGACAAAUUGGAAUGACACAUCAGAAAGUUAUCUCGGAAGGAAUGAUUAUGAUACAAUUCCACAGGGAAUAGUAGAUGUCAUUCCAUUGCAAGCUGUACCACCAUCAUCAUCACACCCGUAUGCACCUUAUCUCGCAUAUCAAAAAUCAAUACCUACAAAGGAAUUGCCAAAUGAAUUGGUAUCAAGGGAUCCCAAUGAGUCAUUGCUGUUAACAUUGACAGAAAAAAUGGAUGAAUUGGUUGUGAAUCUAGCCAAAGAUAAAGAAAAAAGGUAUAAACCAACCAAUAUGCUUCCCAAUGUCUGGUGUAGUAAUUGUAAGGGACAAGGUCAUUUAGUAACAGAAUAUCCUUCACCUCCCCAAAUGACUGUACAAUGUAUCUUUUGUUGGGGCAAGCAUAUUACCACCAACUAUUAGAAUUUACGGAAGCAACAACAAUUCAAUAACCAGAUAAUGACUCAACCAACUUUGUAGGAUGUCAAUCAAGUACAGACGAAUAAUAGGUUUGGCUGGAAUGGAAAUCGAGCGAAUAAACAAAAUAGGAAUUAUUCUAAUUUCCUAAACUCUGAAUUUUACCAAGAAGGUGUAUCCAAUAUUCACGGAUAUGCGAUGAACUAGCCAGGAUACCAUCAAUAUCCACCCAUGACGAAGCCAAUGCCAGACUCUAUAGUAACAAUGGGUCAACCAGGAUCCUUUAUUCAUCCGACAUGGAAAAGACCUAGCCGUUAUAUACCAGUAGAGACACCCAUUAUCCCUGAAGGAGUUGGCAGGAGACUACUUUGUUACUAUCGUUGCAGAGAAAUCAGACAUUAUGCGAGUGAAUGUCCUAAUCCAAGGGCCAGUGAUGACUAUGCUUCAAUAUGUGGAAAUUGUAAGCAAUUUGGUCACACUUAUUAGCAGUAUAAUGUGCCCUUUAAUUAUAAUAAUCGGAACCAACAAAUGCAAACAAGCUAACCGGUGGAGGUCAAAGGCCCUGUUCAACGAGACUCAUCAGUACAUUGUGUCGAGGUGGUGAACGCUGUCGUAUUACGUGCUUUCCUGCUUGAGAACGCGCUGGGCAUCUGGCUGUAGAAGGUAGUAUGGAGAUUCGCCGAUAGUCAAGCAGUCUAUCAGUUUUUGACUGCUGGAAUAUAAACGACUGCAACAAUGUACCGUAAAUCUAUACGGGUGCUCUUCGACUGCUUGUCGAAGUCCUUUUAGCCCCAGGAGGUAGGUCACUAGACGUUACAGAGAACCCCGUACAACCCAAACUGUUAACCUUCAAUACCGCUUUGUACUUACGAUCUUGUAUCCACUGACUGUCUUGUUAGAUUAACCCAAUAAAUUUCAUUCACUCCGCAUACUCAAUCCUAUAGACACCCUUUUAAUCCUUCAAUCACAGACGUAACUCGAUUUCACAAAACAGUCAAGAGUAUUCAAACCCACUUCAUUAAAAAAUCCCGAUUCACCAUUACAACACUGACUUCAGCAGCGAUUGCCUCAGUCUUCCCCAAAACUCUACGAAGAAGAAAAAUCCAAAUUCUAUGUCUUUCCUUCCCCGACCCGAAGCAUGAAGCUCCUCUCUCUAAUUCCCUUGAUCUUCAAAAACCUCCAAUAAAAAAAACCGAACUGGUAACCUUGCAGAAGCUUGAAAAAUCCUUCCCCCCCCCGAUUUCCCCUGAAAAAAAACCCCCCCCUCAAAACUAUAUCCCCCCUAACCUUAUCCUCUGAAUUUCUUCAAUCUUCCGUCUUAGAUCCGGAAUUGGCUCCCACCUCAAGCUUGGAUCCGAAAUUGGCUCUCGCCGUCAAGCUUUCUCCUUCGUUUUUACCUUUAAGAAAUCUAUUUACCGAAAACAACGUUCCCUGAAACGGCACAGAGAACAGGACAGCUUGAAACAGAAUCGAACCCCGUAAUCGGGACCACAAUGAGUCGCCCGACUAAUUCAAUUCCUAUAUUGAGAAAGAUGCCUGUAGUAACCUAGAUGUUCCCGUAAUUGGGUCAAAUUGGUCCUCGCAUCAGAUUGGCUAAGAUCCGUAGUAAGACCUGGAUUUUCCGUAAUUAGACCACAUUGAGUUGCCCGACCAAUUCAGGUCUUAUAAUUGGAAAGAUGCCCGUAGUAACCUGGAUGUUCUCAUAAUUGGGUCAAAUUGGUCCUCGCAUCAGAUUGGCUAAGACCCGUAGUAAGACCUGGAUUUCUCGUAAUUAGACCAUAUUGAGUCGCUUGACCAAUUCAGGUCCUUUAUUCGGAAAGAUGCCCGUAGUAACCUAAAUGUUCCUGUAAUUGGACUGCAUUGAGUUGACCGGCCAAUUCAGGUCUCAUAUUGGAUAAGAGGACCCGGAUUGGAUUAUCGAAAUUGGAUCCAAUUGGCUCCUCGAACCCGUCGUGUGAAUUGAUCCUUCUCUUCCUACUGACUCCCGUUAUUGGAAUCGAAUGGAGCAUUUCAGUAUGCCCCGGCUGACUGAAACGGAGUGACUGAACCUGACCACUCAGUAUUUGUACUGGAGUUGGUUAAUGCUCCCAAUAUUCGAGGUAACCGAAUAUUAAUAAAAUUCCCCUUUCUUUUUAUUUUCACUGUAUAAUCGUGUUACAACACGACAUCCACCCCCUCUGAACCUGUGCAUCCUCCGGUAUGCACCAAUUUACCCAAUUGCUGUUUGAUUCAGAAUAUAUCCUCUACGUCUUUGUCCAGUUCGUCGUCGUCACCUUCAUUAUCCAUAUCACUUUCAUCUUCUUGCUGCGGAAUCUCUGUACCUUCAUUAAGGUCUUCCAUAUUCAUCUCUGCGUGUCUUCGUUUAAAUAUUUUUAUUCGCUUCCUUGCAAUUGGUAUUUUCAAUUUUGUACCAUCUAACUCCCGUAAUGAGUAAGUCGCAUUAUCAUGAACAGUUGUUACAACAUAUGGUCCAAACCAACGUUUUGAAAAUUUCCGCAAAGUACUAUGUUGAUUAUCCAGACUAUUGUCAUAAAUAAGUACCUAGUCACCUUCCUCGAUUGCUUUUGGUCUCAAUCAAUGUUGCUUAUCGAAUCGCACCUUGUUUUGUAACCUUGCUCUUUUUAACCUUUCCAAUGCUAUCUGGACAUCUUCCAUUCUUUGCUCCAAUUGUCGAAUCCUAAUAGCCAGAAGUUCUUCUCUUGUCAAUCCAUCUUCCCAUGGUAGCAUACUCCAAGUAAGUACCUUUUCUUCAAUCGGCAUAAUUGGUUUUUGACCUGUCAUAAGUUCUACUAGCAUAUAUCCUAUCACCGAACUAUGUGUUGUUCGAUCAGCCCAUAAUGCAAAUGACAAAAGCCGUGGCCACUCUUUAACCUUCCAAUUAUAAGCUUUAACCAAUGCUUUCACAAUCGGCAGGUGACCGCGUUCGCUUUUCGCAUUCCCUUCCGGAUUAUAAGCAGUAGUCAGUGAUAGUUUAACUCCACAUCUUUCAAAGAACUUACGAGCUUCUUGUGCAUUUAAUUCUCCACGAUCUGCAGUGAUUUUUCCUACGCACCCGUAACGGCAAAUGACAUCUUCAAGCAAAAACCUACAAAUCCCCUCUGUAGAUUUUGUCCUCAAUGCUCUUCCUUCUACUAGAUUUGAUAAAUCUUCACGAGCUAAAACCAAAUAUCUCAUCUGCCAUAACCCAAUCGGUAUAAUAACCAAAUCAACAACCCAUUUAAAAUGAAUAGCUAGAGGAUACGUAGGAUGAAGACCAUCUCGAUGUCGGAUAUUAGAAUACGAUUGACAGAUUUCACAUGACUCUACAAAUGAGAGCACAUCUCGAUACAUAUUUUUCCACCAAUAUCGUUCCUUGAGUUUAGCAAAAGUAGCCUAGAUUCCUCUAUGCCUAGUCCAUAAACUAUCAUGAAACUCCUUUAAUAAUUAUAGUUUUUCUUCCCUUUUGCCUAUCACUCGUUGUGGCAUCCCAAUUCCUUUCUUCGGUCUCUUUCAUAAGAAUCCAUCUCGAAGUAAAAAUCCAUAUGCUUUUUUUCUUAUUUGUUUGAAUUUUUCUGUAGACCAAUUUCCCUGUUUAGACAAGGUAUUUAAAUAAUGACCAAUAUCCAAUAAUUCUCCUUUAUAAGAUUCUUCAAGAAAUAGCUUGUCUUCUCUGUUGAGAUUUGAUAUUGAAUAGAAUUUCAAUCCGACAUCAUCAAUGUCUUCAACCAUUUCGUCCUCCCUCUCGUAUCUUGCUCGAGAUAGCAUGUCUGCUACUAAAUUGUCCUUUCCAGUGACUUCUGGUGCUUGAAAAGAUUCAAACAUGGUAUAAACCUCUCUCGAAUGAAUCUCAACAAUCUUAUCAUUAUCCCCUAACCCAAUAGAUGUAAUCAAUUCCAAUGAAUCUUCCAGCCCAUUUUCUUCAUAAAUACCCAAAAUCCUCUCACCAUCUUGCAAUGUACCUAUCUUGCGUAACUGUCCUUCAAUAUCAUAUAAUCUUUUUCUUUCUUUUCUUUUAAAAUCAUCAACUUUCUUAUAUAUAAUAUUUCCAUUCUCCAAUAUACCAAUAAAACUCGCAUCAAAGGCACCUUCAUCUCGCGAGAGUACCUCCUCUUUUGUACCUCCAUAAUCUCGCUUUACAGUGGUACCUCCCCAAAAUCCUUAAAUCCUUCAACAAUCUUUGGCAAUGGUUUCUCCCUCAACCUAUCUCGAUUCCGUUCAUGGUUAGGAGGUACUAUUAGAAAUUGUACAGCUUUCCUCCCAUCUUCGCUCCGUACCCUUGCAUAAGCAGAACCAUCGUCAAGUAUCUUUGUUUCUAUGCAUGUUGUCAUAAUAUAAGGUUGUCCUAAAAUCAACGGAUAAGAUGUUGUAUCUUGAACGAAGAAAUGUUGCUCCAUCGCAACAUCCCCAAUCCGAAUUUUGACAUCUGGACAAGCUCCAUAUAAUUCGCCUCGUGUGUUAUUAGCUACUCGUAUUGCCCAUCCAUGUUCCAUAUCAAUUGGCCAUUUUUGCUUCUUAUAAAGAUCUUUAGACAUGAGAUUUAUUUCAGAACCAUGGUCCACCAAGGCAACUAUUGGUUCUUCUAUAUCUCCUACCUUCACCAAUACCUCAGUAGUUGCCCUUGCCCAAUGCUUUCGAGUACAAUGGCUCAAAUUUUCCAUUUUCUUGUCACUAGAAUCUUCGAAACGUACUCGCUGAUUAUAUCCAUUCUUUUCAUUUGUUGGUUGCUUGUAACCAAUAUCAACCUCUUCUUCAUCUCUACAUAUUCUUGCAUCAAUAGCAUGACUCAUUCCAGUUUCGCUCAUUAAUUGCCUCUUUUGCUUAAUGUUGUCAAUGAUAACAUCAUGAAACUCCUUCUUUGCAAUUUCCAAGACUUCUUUCAAUGUGAAUUCCACCUUAGCGUUUAAUAUAUGUUCUUCCAACACCCCUUUCAAAUUUGUUGCCGCUUCAAUGUCAGAAAGUAGCUUAUAAGCAAUUGAUUUGCCCUUAUCUUUUGUCUCCAUUGUUUUUUCUCCCAAUGAUGUUGUGGUAUCCUUUACAGGCAAUUCUUGUGAAGCUGCCUCCCGAGCCUUGUCUCCUCGAGUUUGCCUCUUAAAAGAAUUUCCUUCUCUAGUAUCAUCAAAAUUUCCUCGUCUUUUUUCUUCCAUCAAAGCUUCAUGUUGGCUCUUAGCAAUAUAUGCAUGAACUGAAAGAGACUCAACAGGAUCCUCCCAACCUGUUCUUCCUCGUAUUGUAGCUGCAGUUCUCAAUAACGCUUCUCGAGGUAAUUUCCCUUCUUGCAUUGUAGAAACGGCAGAAGCCCAAAACUCACUAGUUUCCGUACUUCCACCAAUUUCAUCAUCUACUCUAGCACCAUAACUUGCACUUUCUCGUACUACUGUUUCAUGCUCUUUUAAGUAAUCUUGAAUCAAUGCUCUCAUUCUUUCCUUGCCAAAAUUGGUUUGAAGAAGAUCCUCCCUAUCUUUCAAUACUAUCUUCCCAUCUUUCCAACAAAUAUUUCCCUGCCCUAUCAUAUUAUUUAAUUCAUUGCAAUCUUUUCUAGUGUGUGAAGCAUCAUCACACCAAAUGCAUCUUUGUACAUAUCCUUGUUUUGAAACAUUCUUUGAAUUGUUUAUAGAAGUAUUCUCUUCAAGUCUUGCCAAUUUGAUUUGAAGAUCUCGCAUUCCUCGUAUAAUUUCUUCCAUACCCAUAUCUGCUUUCUUUGACAAGGAUGUCGAAGGUUGAACUGUAGGCAUUGUCGGUGGUGUUGUACGUACUGGAGCUUUGGGUGCUUGUACUGGUUUCGGAAUAUUACUCCUAUCCUUCCUCCUUUCUUUUUUUGUAAGCAACCCCACCGCAUCUUCAACGUUCUUCCACUUCGUUGUCAAUCCUUCAUCUUUUUCUUUGUCUUCAAGAAGGGGUUCUAAUUUCUCUUGCAAUUCUCCAUCAGCAGCUUGAAGAAAUAGAUCAACUUUGUUCGGCUCCAAUGUCAAUUUUUCUACCUUCGAUAAUUGAGAGUACUGCCUCUCAAAUUCCCUUAGUAGCUCUGUUGCUUGCAAAUUCUUAUUGGGCCGUUCAAUCCAUCCCAGAAACAGCUUCUUAGUAACGCGAUCAGCAUCUUCCAAGAAAUAUUCGUCUUUCAAUGCAUGUGAAAAAUCCUCCCAUGAAUUCCCACAACGAUCCGUAAUCGAUGUAAUGUGGUUCCUUAUCUCCGGUAUCGUGGCAAGUCCAAAUAGUGCAACCAUUUUCUUCUCAGAAACCCGAUUUAAUUCCAUUUCACGAACAUAACAUCUUAAAUACCUUGAAAUAUUCUUCCCAUCAAAUUGAUCAAUUUUAUUGACCACUGCUUGCAAUACUUUGGUUGCCAAAGCUUCCUUUCGAUCAUUGCUUUGCUGUUGCUGCAUUAACAAUAAGAAGGCUUGAAACAAACUCGCAAUAGACGGAUCCAUGUGCAUACCUUGUCCUUUAGAAGACUCCCCACCAGAAACUUCUCCCAAAAAUCCUUCAAAAUUUUUAUUUUCGUUUUCCAUAAAAAUAAAGAUAAAAUCAACCGAAAUCCAAUACCUUCCACCUCAAGCUUUCAAGUCGGGUUCACCACUUAUGUCGUAUUACGUGCUUUCCUGCUCGAGAACGCGCCGGGCGUCUGGCUGUAGAAGGUAGUAUGGAGAUUCGCCGAUAGUCAAGCAGUCUAUCAGUUUUUGACUGCUGGAAUAUAAACGACUGCAACAAUGUACCGUAAAUCUAUACGGGUGCUCUUCGACUGCUUGUCGAAGUCCAUUUUGCCCCAGGAGGUAGGUCACUAGACGUUACAGAGAACCCCGUACAACCCAAACUGUUAACCUUUAAUACCGCUUUGUACUUACGAUCUUGUAUCCACUGACUGUCUUGUUAGAUUAACCCAAUAAAUUUCAUUCACUCCGCAUACUCAAUCCUAUAGACACCCUUUUAAUCCUUCAAUCACAGACGUAACUCGAUUUCACAAAACAGUCAAGAGUAUUCAAACCCACUUCAUUUAAAAAUCCCGAUUCACCAUUACAACACUGACUUCAGCAGCGAUUGCCUCAGUCUUCCCCAAAACUCUACGAAGAAGAAAAAUCCAAAUUCUAUGUCUUUCCUUCCCCGACCCGAAGCAUGAAGCUCCUCUCUCUAAUUCCCUUGAUCUUCAAAAACCUCCAAUAAAAAAAACCGAACUGGUAACCUUGCAGAAGCUUGAAAAAUCCUUCCCCCCCCCGAUUUCCCCUGAAAAAAAACCCCCCCCUCAAAACUAUAUCCCCCCUAACCUUAUCCUCUGAAUUUCUUCAAUCUUCCGUCUUAGAUCCGGAAUUGGCUCCCACCUCAAGCUUGGAUCCGAAAUUGGCUCUCGCCGUCAAGCUUUCUCCUCCGUUUUUACCUUUAAGAAAUCUAUUUACCGAAAACAACGUUCCCUCGCAUCAGAUUGGCUAAGAUCCGUAGUAAGACCUGGAUUUUCCGUAAUUAGACCACAUUGAGUCGCCCGACCAAUUCAGGUCCUAUAUUCGGAAAGAUGCCCAUAGUAACUUGGAUGUUCCCGUAAUUGGGUCAAAUUGUUCCUCGCAUCAAAUUGGCUAAGACCCGUAGUAAGACCUGGAUUUCCCGUAAUUAGACCACAUUGAGUCGCCCGACCAAUUCAGGUCCUAUAUUCGGAAAGAUGCCCGUAGUAACCUGAAUGUUCUCGUAAUUGGACUGCAUUGGGUUGACCGGCCAAUUCAAGUCUCAUAUUGGAUAAGAGGACCCGGAUUGGAUUAUCGAAAUUGGAUCCAAAUGGCUCCUCGAACCCGUCAUGUAAAUUGGUCCUUCUCUUCCUACUGACUCCCGUUAUUGGAAUCGAAUGGAACAUUUCAAUAUGCCCCGGCUGACUGUAACGGAGUGACUGAACCUAACCACUCAGUAUUUGUACUGGAGUUGGUCGAUGCUCCCAAUAUUCGAGGUAACCGAAUAUUAAUAAAAUUCCCCUGUCUUUUUAUUUUCACUGUAUAAUUGUGUUACAACACGACAAUGGAGUGCUUAUCAAAGGCCAAAAAAAAGAUAAGAAUCUAAUUCAGGACAUGGAUGAACCAAUCAUAGGAGAGCAAGUAGCACCAUCCACGGGGCUAAACAAACCAAUAUCAGUAUUGGGAAGUAUUCCAAUAUUGAGACUUCAACAGACUGAGGAAUCCAAUUCGGUUCCAUAUAUCAAUUUGCCGAAACCAUCCAAUCCAAGUCCUGUUACGGGCUUUGUACCUAGUAUGAGACCAAACUCGGUGGCAGAAUCCAAUGAGGUCCCAAUUAUUGAGGCUUUGGUUCCGUUCCAAACAGUUUCGAUUUCUACGCAGUUCCAAGAAACGUCCUAUCCGUUGUAAGAUCCUCUCGGGGGCGGGAAUUCCAAGGAAGCCCCGACUGUUGUUCCAAUUUUGAAUCUAGGGAAAAAGAAUAUCUUACCUCAUGGUGUUAAACUCAAACCAAAGAAACGCAAAAGAAUAUUAGGAAUUACUCUCAAUAUGGAACCCUACGAUAUUUUGAAGGAUUUGGAUGUUAUUCAGCCUUCAAUUAUAAUGAAGCACUGCAACUUUUGGCUGUAGCACCGGAAUGUCUAUCUACAUUGAAUUCAGUGUUAAUACGAUUAAGAUCCCGCACUAAAGAAAUUCAUAAAGUUAGCUUAAACCCAGAUCUAUGAACACCAAUAAUCGAUGUAUCAAUCGAUGGCAUUUUAAUUCCAGGGGUACAAGUCGAUGGUGGCUCUAGUGUAAAUUUAAUAAAGGUGGAUACAAUAGAGGACUUGGAUCUAAAGCAAUUACUACCUACGACAUUGGUCUUACAAAUGGCAGAUCAUAGUCGAGUAAAGGCAAUGAGAAUCUUAUGUAAUAUUGCCACUGUAAUCACGGGAUUGACAUACAAAAUCGAUUAUAUUGUAUUCUGAUUACAGAGUUCUACGUUAUCGUAUCCCAUUUUAUUGGGCAGACCUUGGCUUUAUCAAGCCAAAACUAAGAACGAUUCGGACCGAGGCACAUUGACGAUUGGAAAAGGCUGUGACCAGAUUAUUUUAUAGAUAUAUCCGAUACAAUAUCAUGGAGAAUCUCAAUUACCAGAAUCAAAAUUUACAUUGGACAAUGAGAGUCAAUCGAUUGAGGCAGAUGACGAUGCUAUAGGUUCACCGCAAUUUGGGGUAGGACAAAACACUUCAAUAGCAAAGGUAAGAGUCUACCAAUGUGGAGGUCCCAGCAAAUAUUUAGUACAUCAGGAGGAUGCGACUAACUCAGAUCAUGCUAUUACCGAAUGGAUGAACAAUCUUGAAGUCAAUAGAGUCAGCACAUUGAAACCAGAUUUGGGUGGUUCCCAUAUAUCGAAUAAUACAAGAUAUUCAGAUCAGGAGAAGAUAAUUAAAUCAGAGGUUGUUGAAGACCCUGUGUGUCAAUCUAUUAACUUGGGCACCAACAAAAUACCACAGCUAAUUAAAAUAUAUGCCGGUAUUAUAGAUACAAAAUUGGAUGCUUGGAAACAGUUUUUCGUCCAUCACAUAUCUACCUUUGCAUGUUCGUAUGCAGAUUUGAAAGGAAUUCCAACCGACGUUGUCGUACUGUAAAUGCUUACAAUAUGUAAAAAUUAGUUAAAACAUAUUAUAUGUUAAUAAAUCUAAAUGUGUGUUAAAGUGAUUAAUAGAUUAAAUUAAAAAAAGUUGGUAAAAAAAAAAAACUUUAUUUUGUUUUCCUUACUUAGUUUGAUUAUAGUAUAUAAAAGUUAUAGAACCUUAAUGUUAAGUAUGAAGCCUUGAGAGGAGAUAGGGGCCUAAAGAUGAAGAUUUAAACUAAUAGGAGGAUAAUUGGGAGGGAUGAAACCAAGGCAUGGUUGGAUGAAGGUAGAAAUAAGGAUCUUCAUCCCCAUUGGUCUAAAUCCAUGCCCAAUGGGCUUUUAGGAGGCUGCCCGCGACCUUGAUAAGGGUUUCGGCGACUUCAAAGAGGCCAUUAGAAAAUCAGAGGCAAGAGUUGUAAAUUUUAGGGUUUUGGCUACAAUUUUUGUGAAAAUUUUAUAGGGUUUGGAGUUAGGGUGAAUAAGUUAUAGCCGUUUGAAGUUAAGGUGUCAAUUUGAGACCUACUGUUACUCUUUUGAGUUUAAGAGGAGUAUUACGGAAGCUUUUGGAGAUCGGAAGGUGCGGCUGGAAGAAAAACUUCAAGACAUACAUCUUUUGUGAAGAAAAUUUUGCAUUUGGAGUUUAUGUGAAGGAUUUAUAGGGAGUUAAAGACAGCACAUUCAAAUCAAAGGGAGUAAGUGAGCGGUUUUGUUCAAAGUAGUGUUAGGAGCCAUAACUUGAGUUUUCGAACGAAAUUUUGGCUCAAACUUUAAGAGAAUGUAAAAAUUUGUGUUAAGAAGCUAUUUAUACAAGUUUCGUGGCAUUUGGACUUAUGGUUUGUGAGAUAUGAAGAAAAUUGCGCGCGGGUAUAUAAAGAUUAGAGUUUGAAGUGACUGUUAGGGUUUUGAAGAUAUCUCAAGAUCCGCAACGAAUUUGCAAGUGAAAUUUGUUGUAAAAAUUAAUAACAACAUAUCAGUACUUCAUGUAAAUUUUGAUCUUGUUUGGACGGUUGGAUCAAGAGUUAUGAGGUGUUGAGGUUCGGGAGAAUUUUCACACAAGGAUAUACAAGGUUUUAGAGUACUUCUACCAUAUUUUGGGUGUUGUUGGUUAUUUAAGACUUAAGUAUUUGGUGUAAUUGUCCCAAAAGGAGAACUUAUAUAUAUAAAAUUAGGAUUUUCUUAUUUUAAGCUUGAUUGAGCAAUUAGUGACAGCCAGAAGUCCAACGCUUUCUAAAGGCAAAACCUCUCUACCCCGACAACGUGUGUGAGCACCAGAUUAUUUUGGAGGAGGGUGUUAUGCCAAUUUAUCAAAGACAACAUUGGCUUAAUCCAAAAUAUUCCCUUUUAGUGAAAGAGGAAUUGGAUAAACUUCUCGACGUGGAUUUUAUUUAUCCUGUUCUACAUAGUGCAUGGGUGUCGCCAAUCGUGAUGGUACCGAAGAAGAAUGGAAAAAUUAGGAUAUGUCAAGAUUUUCGAAAGUUAAAUGCAGCUACUAAGAAGGACUAUUUUUUGUUACCAUUUACAGACAGUAUUUUGGACGCAAUGGUCGGACAUGAAUGUUAUUCAUUUUUGGAUGGAUUUUUGGGGUAUAAUCAAAUUAAAAUUACCGAAGAAGACCAGUUGAAGACUACGUUUACCACAGAUUGGGGUACAUUCACCUAUAAAGUAAUGCCAUUUGAGUUAUGUAAUGCCCCGGUUACUUUUCAAGAGGUAAUGACACAAGCGUUUCAAGAUUACCUAUGUUUAUCAAUGGGGAUAUUUCUAAACGAUUUCUACACCUUUAGCAUAACGGCUGAACAUCUAGCAUGCUUGGAUAAAUGUUUGAAUCAAUGCGAUAAGUAUGGGAUAUCUCUAAAUUCGGAGAAGUGUCAAUUUGGUGUACCAUCGAGAAAGCUAUUCGAACACAUUGUCUCUGUUGAAGGUAUCGCUAUGGACCCCAAUAAAGUUACUUAUAUAUCUGAUUUACCAAAGCCAAGAUACGGUGUCGAUCGUGCAUGGUUUCAUCGGCCAUGUCAGUUACUAUCGACAUUUUAUUGAAUCCUUUGUCAUUAUCUAUCAACCGUUAACCCACUUGUUAAAAAAACCCCCGUCAGAUGGAUCUAGCCCAAUAUGGACUGAAGACUAUACUUUUGCAUUCGACGAAUUGAAACAAAAAUUGGUAUCUGCUCCAAUUCUUGUAACACCUUGUUGGACAAAACCGUUUCAUGUCUAUGUGGACGUGUCCAAUGUUGCUAUUGGAUCCGUUCUCAGUCAAAAGGAUGAAAAAAGAUUAGAUCAUCCCAUAUAUUAUGCGAGCUGAUAAUUUGUUGCGGCAGAACAAAAUUAUAAUACUACCAAGCAAGAGGCCCUCGAAAUAAUCUACUCUGUACAAAAAUUUUGCCAUUAUCUACUUGGAUACUCAUUUGUGUUCCACGUUGAUCAUGAUGCACUUAAGUACAUGAUAAAUAAACCUCAAUUGAGUGGACGAAUUGCUUGAUGAGUUUUACUUCUCCAGUAAUUCAACUUUACAAUUAACGUUUGAUCCGACAAGAAAUAUGCCAAUGCGGAUCACUUAUCCCGUUUAUCUAAUAUACUAGAUAAUGAGCCAAUAAACGAUGCUCUUUUGGAUGCACAACUAUUCGCUUUGGGUGUCAUUACACAUGGAUAUGGUGAAUUGAUCCAAUAUCUGACGUUUCAGACUAUUUCCAUUUCUUAUAAUGAAAAAUUAAAGAAGCGUCUGAUUUUAAAAAGUGCGUCGUAUACCAUGAUUGGAGAUGCCUUAUACAAAUAAGGGCGGGAUGGAAUUUUAUUUCGUUGCAUCUUUUAAAGUGAAGUUUGAAUAAUUUUGGAAGAAUAUCAUUUAGAUAGUUGUAGUGGACAUUUUACAGGAGAUAGUACUGCUCGCAAGGCUUUAAUGGCUAGUUAUUGGUGGCCCAUAAUGUUUUCUGAUGCGCACCAAUUUGUUCAUCGUUGUGAUUCCUAUCAACAAAUUGAUCGACCCACGGAUACUUCAGCGAUGCCGUUAGUACCAAUCUUGGCACAUGCACCAUUUGAAAAAUGAAGAAUUGAUUUUGUUGGACCUAUUGCACUAGUAUCGAGACAUGGACAAAAGCGGUAUAUUCUAGUAGCCACGGACUACAUAACCAAAUGGAUGGAGGCCAUGGCAACAAAAACUGAUAAUGCCAAUAUCGUAGCAAUAUUUUUAUAUGAAAAUAUUAUCACUCAUUUUGGCUGUCCAAAAGAAUUGGUUAGUGAUCGCGACACACAUUUUCUUAAUGUCACAAUUGAAGCAUUAAUAGUGAAGUAUGAGAUCAAGCACUGCAAAACUACACUUUAUCAUCCACGAGCCAAUGGAUAAACUGAAAAGACAAAUGGUAUCCUAUGCAAGAUCUUAACAAAGACUAUUUCAAGAACGGGAACCGAUUGGGACACUAAAUUUUUUGCAACUUUAUGGGCGUAUCGUACUGCAUAUAAAGUAACUACCAAUUCUAUCCCAUUUCAAUUGGUAUUCGGUCAGGAGGAAAUUCUACCAAUUGAAUUGGAAGUCCAAAGUUUACGAAUUGUGUUGGAUGAAUGUCUGGGAGACAGAGACUCUCUUCAAUAUAGGUUAGUUCAAUUGGAGAAAUUGGAUGAAGCUAGGGCUACGACUUUCUUGAUCAUGGAAGCUACACAGUGCCGUAGAAAGAGUUAUUACGACAGUAAGUUACGACCGAAAUAUUUUAUGUCCAAUGAUCUGGUGCUACUUUAUGAUAGCCGCUUUAACAACUUUCCCGAUAAAUUUCAAGUACGAUGGCAUGGGCCUUAUCGGGUGGUGGGAGGUUUCCCUAAUGGUUCCAUUCAAUUGGAAGAUUUUUUGAGAACCCGCUUCACAACACAUCUUAAUGGGAACCGAUUACGUCUGUAUUAUAUGUAAACUCGGGACUGGUUUACUCAGUGGAGGAAGGGAGUCUUCGUAAUAAUGAUUACUGACAGGAUUGGAAAGGUUGUCAUAGUUAGGAAACGAUUGAUGGUUAGUUUUGGAUACUAAAACUGACUAGUCAAGAACUUAGAUAUUCUUGAUUAGAUGUAAGAUUAAGGUACACUGGAUUAGAUGUUCUUGAUUCAGACCCCGAGUAAGCAGUUAGGAGCGGGGUACUCAUAGAAGGUUUCAUUGUUGCAAAUUUCAGACAUUGUGCUUUGAACUGUAAGCUUUACGACAGUAAUCAACAAUAGUAUUAACACAAGGAAGUAUUGAGAGUUUGAUUUUCACAAUGUCGAUGGAAAGAGUGAAGAGAGGACCAGAACGAUUGGAAAGUCGCUGCAAUGUGAGGUCUAAGUGCGAUCUGGGAUCGCCGUCUCUUGUAGUUAUCACCAACAUGGAACCAAUGAAGUUAGAUAUAUAUUGGUCAUUGAAAAGGCAAAAAGAUUUUAGAAAUACACAGUUAUUUAUAUUUUUACGAGGAUUGGAUAAACUACCACCAAUUGAUAUAGAACGAGUGGUAGAAUAUAUAGAAAAUUAUGAUCCAGAGGAUGGUUCGAGUGUGAUAAGAGGAGUUUUGAUUGGGAUAGAUGAAAAUAUCUUACAUAAGGUUUUUCAUUUAUCAAUCGGAGAGCUUGAGGUGGGAAGAGACAUGUCAAAUGAUUUCAGGCCAAGAAUCUACUUCAAAGGAGGGAUGUCAUCUCUCGAGCAAAAUCAAGGAUGGAAGGUACAGGAGGCACUUAUGCCCAAACUUAUGGAAUAGAUGUGGUUCGUUCAGAAGCAAUUAGCAUUGAAUCGGCAUACCACCUACAUGGUGAAGCAAUUACUAUUUUCCACGAUAGGAACACUGGAAGGCAUGGUAUUCAAUUGGACAGCUUAUGUGGCCACAAGGAUACAUGCAGAAAUGGGAGCUAAGCGGAAGACGGGGAAGUUUGCUUUACUAUUAUGUUCCAAUUCUGUGAUUGAAUAAACAUUGAAACAGGAAUUUCAACUAGUAGUUCUAAGUUUACAAACGAGAAUAGUUAGUCUAGGGGUAAUGGUGUAUGAAGUGGGAGAAUCUAGCAGAGUAGCAGAACGGUGUCGUGUUGUAACACGAGUAUACAGUGAAAAUAAAAAGAAAGGGGAAUUUUAUUAAUAUUCAGUUACCUCGAAUAUUGGAAGCAUCGACCAACUCCAGUACAAAUACUGAGUGGUCAGGUUCAGUCACUCCGUUACAGUCAGCCGGGGCAUACUGAAAUGCUCCAUUCGAUUCUAAUAACGGGAGUCAGCAGGAAGAGAAGGACCAAUUCACACGACGGGUUCGAGGAGCCAAUUGGAUCCAAUUUCGAUAAUCCAAUCCGGGUCCUCUUAUCCAAUAUGAGACCUGAAUUGGCCGGUCAACCCAAUGCAGUCUAAUUACGGGAAAUCCAGGUCUUACUACGGGUCUUAGCCAAUCUGACGCGAGGACCAAUUUGACCCAAUUACAGGAACAUCCAGGUUACUACGGGCAUCUUUCCCAAUAUACGACCUGAAUUGGUCGGGCGACUCAAUGUGGUCCCGAUUACGGGGUUCGAUUCUGUUUCAGGCUGUCCUGUUCUCUGUGCCAUUUCAGAGAACAUUGUUUUCGGUAAAUGGAUUUCUUAAAGGUAAAAACGGAGGAGAAAGCUUGACGGCGAGAGCCAAUUUCGGAUCCGAGCUUGAGGUGGGAGCCAAUUCCGGAUCUAAGAUGGAAGAUUGAAGAAAUUCAGAGGAUAAGGUUAGGAGGGAUAUAGUUUUGAGGGGGGAGGUUUUUUUCUUUCGGGGAAUCAGGAGGGGAGCUAGUUUUCAAGCUUUUGCAAGGUUACCAGUUCAGUUUCAUUGGAGGUUUUUGAAGAUCAAGGGAAUUAGAGAGAGGAGCUUCAUGCUUUGGGUCGGGGAAGGAAAGACAGAGAAUUUGGAUUUUUCUUCUUCGUAGAGUUUUGGGAAGACUGAGGCAAUCGCUGCUGAAGUCAGUGUUGUAAUGGUGAAUCGGGAUUUUUAAAUGAAGUGGGUUUGAAUACUCUUGACUGUUUUGUAAAAUCGAGUUACGUCUGUGAUUGAAGGAUUAAAGGGGUGUCUAUAGGAUUGAGUAUGCGGAGUGAAUGAAAUUUAUUGGAUUAAUCUAACAAGACAGUCAGUGGAUACAAGAUCGUAAGUACAAAGCAGUAUUGAAGGUUAACAGUUUGGGUUGUACGGGGUUCUUUGUAACGUCUAGAGACCUAUCCGCUGGGGCAAAAAAAAAAGAAUUCGACAAGCAGUCGAAGAGCAUCUGUAUAGAUUUACGGUACAUUGUUGCAGUCGUUUAUAUUCCAGCAGUCAAAAACUGAUAGACUGCUUGACUAUCGACGAAUCUCCAUACUACCUUCUACAACCAGACGCCCGGCACAUUUUCAAACAGGAAAGCACGUAAUACGACAUAAGUGGUGAACUCGACGUAAAAGCUUGAGGUGGAAGGUAUUGGAUUUCGGUUGAUUUUAUCUUUAUUUUUAUGGAAAACGAAAAUAAAAAUUUUGAAGGAUUUUUGGGAGAAGUUUCUAGUGGGGAGUCUUCUAAAGGACAAGGUAUGCACAUGGAUCCAUCUAUUGCUAGUUUGUUUCAAGCCUUCUCAUUGUCAAUGCAGCAACAACAAAGCAAUGAUCGAAAGGAAGCUUUGGCAACCAAAGCAUUGCAAGCAGUGGUCAAUAAAAUUGAUCAAUUUGAUGGGAAGAAUAUUUCAAGGUAUUUAAGAUGUUAUGUUCGUGAAAUGGAAUUAAAUCGGAUUUCUGAGAAGAAAAUGGUUGCACUAUUUGGACUUGCCACGAUACCGGAGAUAAGGGACCACAUUACAUCGAUUACGGAUCGUUGUGGGAAUUCAUGGGAGGAUUUUUUACAUGCAUUGAAAGACGAAUAUUUCUUGGAAGAUGCUGAUCACGUUACUAAGAAGUUGUUGCUGGGAUGGAUUGAAUGGCCCAAUAAGAAUUUGCAAGCAACAGAGCUACUAAGGGAAUUUGAGAGGCAGUACUCUCAAUUAUCGAAGGUAGAAAAAUUGACAUUGGAGCCGAACAAAGUUGAUCUAUUUCUUCAAGCUGCUGAUGGAGAAUUGCAAGAGAAAUUAGAACCCCUUCUUGAAGACAAAGAAGAAGAUGAAGGAUUGACAACGAAGUGGAAGAACGUUGAAGAUGCGGUGGGGUUGCUUACAAAAAAAGAAAGGAGGAAGGAUAGGAGUAAUAUUCCGAAACCAGUACAAGCACCCAAAGCUCCAGUACGUACAACACCACCGACAAUGCCUACAGUUCAACCUUCGACAUCCUUGUCAAAGAAAGCAGAUAUGGGUAUGGAAGAAAUUAUACGAGGAAUGCGAGAUCUUCAAAUCAAAUUGGCAAGACUUGAAGAGAAUACUUCUAUAAACAAUUCAAAGAAUGUUUCAAAACAAGGAUAUGUACAAAGAUGCAUUUGGUGUGAUGAUGCUUCACACACUAGAAAAGAUUGCAAUGAAUUAAAUAAUAUGAUAGGGCAGGGAAAUAUUUGUUGGAAAGAUGGGAAGAUAGUAUUGAAAGAUAGGGAGGAUCUUCUUCAAACCAAUUUUGGCAAGGAAAGAAUGAGAGCAUUGAUUCAAGAUUACUUAAAAGAGCAUGAAACAGUAGUACGAGAAAGUGCAAGUUAUGGUGCUAGAGUAGAUGAUGAAAUUGGUGGAAGUACGGAAACUAGUGAGUUUUGGGCUUCUGCCGUUUCUACAAUGCAAGAAGGGAAAUUACCUCGAGAAGCGUUAUUGAGAACUGCAGCUACAAUACGAGGAAGAACAGGUUGGGAGGAUCCUGUUGAGUCUCUUUCAGUUCAUGCAUAUAUUGCUAAGAGCCAACAUGAAGCUUUGAUGGAAGAAAAAAGACGAGGAAAUUUUGAUGAUACUAGAGAAGGAAAUUCUUUUAAGAGGCAAACUCGAGGAGACAAGGCUCGGGAGGCAGCUUCACAAGAAUUGCCUGUAAAGGAUACCACAACAUCAUUGGGAGAAAAAACAAUGGAGACAAAAGAUAAGGGCAAAUCAAUUGCUUAUAAGCUACUUUCUGACAUUGAAGCGGCAACAAAUUUGAAAGGGGUGUUGGAAGAACAUAUAUUAAACGCUAAGGUGGAAUUCACAUUGAAAGAAGUCUUGGAAAUUGCAAAGAAGGAGUUUCAUGAUGUUAUCAUUGACAACAUUAAGCAAAAGAGGCAAUUAAUGAGCGAAACUGGAAUGAGUCAUGCUAUUGAUGCAAGAAUAUGUAGAGAUGAAGAAGAGGUUGAUAUUGGUUACAAGCAACCAACAAAUGAAAAGAAUGGAUAUAAUCAGCGAGUACGUUUCGAAGAUUCUAGUGACAAGAAAAUGGAAAAUUUGAGCCAUUGUACUCGAAAGCAUUGGGCAAGGGCAACUACUGAGGUAUUGGUGAAGGUAGGAGAUAUAGAAGAACCAAUAGUUGCCUUGGUGGACCAUGGUUCUGAAAUAAAUCUCAUGUCUAAAGAUCUUUAUAAGAAGCAAAAAUGGCCAAUUGAUAUGGAACAUGGAUGGGCAAUACGAGUAGCUAAUAACACACGAGGCGAAUUAUAUGGAGCUUGUCCAGAUGUCAAAAUUCGGAUUGGGGAUGUUGCGACGGAGCAACAUUUCUUCGUUCAAGAUACAACGUCUUAUCCGUUGAUUUUAGGACAACCUUAUAUUACGACAACACGCAUAGAAACAAAGAUACUUGACGAUGGUUCUGCUUAUGCAAGGGUACGGAGCGAAGAUGGGAGGAAAGCUGUACAAUUUCUAACAGUACCUCCUAACCAUGAACGGAAUCGAGAUAGGUUGAGGGAGAAACCAUUGCCAAAGAUUGUUGAAGGAUUUAAGGAUUUUGGGGAGGUACCACUGUAGAGCGAGAUUAUGGAGGUACAAAAGAGGAGGUACUCUCGCGAGAUGAAGGUGCCUUUGAUGCGAGUUUUAUUCGUAUAUUGGAGAAUGGAAAUAUUAUGUAUAAGAAAGUUGAUGAUUUUAAAAGAAAAGAAAGAAAAAGAUUAUAUGAUAUUGAAGGACAGUUACGCAAGAUAGGUACAUUGCAAGAUGAUGAGAGGAUUUUGGGUGUUUAUGAAGAAAAUGGGCUGGAAGAUUCAUUGGAAUUGAUUACAUCUAUUGGGUUAGGGGAUAAUGAUAAGAUUGUUGAGAUUCAUUCGAGAGAGGUUUAUACCAUGCUUGAAUCUUUUCAAGCACCAGAAGUCACAGUAGAGACGAGAUAUAAAACGAAAGAUAAGAAGGUAAAGCCUGUUGCCAGACCAUUACCAAAGGAUUCUAAAGAACAAAUGGGAGAAGCAUCAAAAGAAGCAAGUUUAAGAGAUCCAAUGAGUAUUGGACAUCAAUUUACUUAAGAGACUUUUGAAGAAUUGAAGAUUGGUUCUGAUGGUUCUUUAUUGCCGGAGGAAAUUACUUGCUUCAAAAAGAUGUUGGCUAAACAAGGUAGAUCGUUUGCCUUCGAAUCUCAUGAAAUUGGGUGUGUGGAUCCAAAUAUUAUAACACCUAUGGUUAUCUUCACUGUACCGCAUGUACCUUAGAAUCUAAGACCGAUUCCAGUACCGAGGGCACAUUUACCUAAAUUGGUCGAACUAUUGAAAGAAAAGAUAAAGAUGAAAAUAUUAGAACCUUCAUUUGUGCAGUAUUCUAGUCGAUGGUUUAUGGUACCUAAGAAGAAUGGGUCACUACCGUUUAUUCAAGAUAUGCAGCCGGUGAAUGCUGUAAUUGUCAAGAAUGCAGGAAUUGGACCUAUUGUGGAUGAAUUUACUGAGGCGUUUGCUGGAAGGGCGAUCUAUUCAAUGGGUGAUUUGUAUUCAGGUUAUGAUCAAUUUCAACUUGCCGAAGGAAGUAGAGAUAUGACAACGAUGAGGACACCGCUUGGAUUGGUUAGAAUGUGCACUCUUUCUCAAGGCGCGACCAACUCAGUUGUGCAUAUGAUGAAUGGGAUGAAUAAGGUAUUGAGAGAUUUUAUUCCGGAAAAGACUAUGCCUUUUCUGGAUGAUGUUCCUAUAAAAGGGUGCAGAGAAGGAGACAAGGAUGAAACUUUAGAUACGAGGGGGUGUCGCAGAUAUGUUGUUGAUCAUAUACAAGAUUGUGAAAAGAUUUUAACUCGGCUUGGAGAAGUUCAUCUUACAUUAUCGGGUAUGAAGUCCGUAUUUGGAGUGCGAGAGGUUGUAAUUUUUGGACAUUUAUGCGGAUCUUACGGAAGAAAACCAGAUCCGACUAAAGUUGAUGCAAUUGGAAGGAUGAAAGAGGAUUGUGGUUCUUUAACAGAGGUUCGCAGGUUUUUGGGUGCAUGUGUAUUUUAUCGAAUCUGGAUCCCUCAUUUUGCUCACAUAGCAGAUCCAUUAUAUGAACUGUUACGCAAGGGUUACCGAUUUGAAUGGAAAGAAAGGCAUAUUCAGGCAAUGCAAAGAUUGAAGAAAUUAUUGAUGUCACCUCCAAUAUUGAGGAAGGUUGAUUAUAAGUGCAAUAGACCAGUGAUUCUUACUGUAGACGCAAGUCUAAUUGCCGUUAAAUGGGUUGUGAGUCAAGAUGAUUCGAAUGGGAGUAGAUUUGCAGUUCGAUUUGGGGCUAAAGUUUUAAGUAUUCGUCAGCAUGCAUAUUCGCAAGUCAAAAGAGAACUUUGGGGAGUCGUUUCGGCUAUGAAAGCUGAAAGGAAUUAUUUGAUUGGGGCAGUAGUAGUAAUUGAAACAGAUUGCUUGCCAUUGCUUAGAAUGAUUAUUAACUGUUCAACGCCAGAUAUUGCAAUGUUGAGAUGGAUUGCUUAUAUUAAGUCACGAAAUCCAGAAUUUAAGCAUAUCACUGGAAAGGACAAUUUUGUAGCAGACAUGCUAUCUCGAGCAAGAUACGAGAGGGAGGACGAAAUGGUUGAAGACAUUGAUGAUGUCAGAUUGAAAUUCUAUUCAAUAUCAAAUCUCAACAGAGAAGACAAGCUAUUUCUUGAAGAAUCUUAUGAAGGAGAAUUAUUGAAUAUUGGUCAUUAUUUGAAUACCUUGUCUAAGCAGGGGAAUUGGUCUACAGAAAAAUUCAAACAAAUAAGAAAAAAAGCAUAUGGAUUUUUACUUCGAGAUGGAUUCUUAUGGAAGAGACCGAAGAAAGGAAUUGGGAUGCCACAACGAGUGAUAGGCAAAAGGGAAGAAAAACUAUAAUUAUUAAAGGAGUUUCAUGAUAGUUUAUGGACAGGGCAUAGAGGAAUCUGGGCUACUUUUGCUAAACUCAAGGAACGAUAUUGGUGGAAAAAGAUGUAUCGAGAUGUGCUCUCAUUUGUAGAGUCAUGUGAAAUCUGUCAAUCGUAUUCUAAUAUCCGACAUUGAGAUGGUCUUCAUCCUACGUAUCCUCUAGCUAUUCAUUUUAAAUGGGUUGUUGAUUUGGUUAUUAUACCGGUUGGGUUAUGGCAGAUGAGAUAUUUGGUUUUAGCUUGUGAAGAUUUAUCAAAUCUAGUAGAAGGAAGAGCAUUGAGGACAAAAUCUACAGAGGGGAUUUGUAGGUUUUUGCUUGAAGAUGUCAUUUGCCGUUACGGGUGCGUAGGAAAAAUCACUGCAGAUCGUGGAGAAUUAAAUGCACAAGAAGCUCGUAAGUUCUUUGAAAGAUGUGGAGUUAAACUAUCACUGACUACUGCUUAUAAUCCGGAAGGGAAUGCGAAAAGUGAACGCGGUCACCCGCCGAUUGUGAAAGCAUUGGUUAAAGCUUGUAAUGGGAAGGUUAAAGAGUGGCCACGGCUUUUGUCAUUUGCAUUAUGGGCUGAUCGAACAACACAUAGUUCGGUGAUAGGAUAUAUGCUAGUAGAACUUAUGACAGGUCAAAAACCAAUUAUGCCGAUUGAAGAAAAGGUACUUACUUGGAGUAUGCUACCAUGGGAAGAUGGAUUGACAAGAGAAGAACUUCUGGCUAUUAGGAUUUGACAAUUGGAGCAAACAAUGGAAGAUGUCCAGAUAGCAUUGGAAAGGUUAAAAAGAGCAAGGUUACAAAAUAAGGCGCGAUUCGAUAAGCAACAUCGAUUGAGACCAAAAGCAAUCGAGGAAGGUGACUAGGUACUUAUUUAUGACAAUAGUCUGGAUAAUCAACAUAGUACUUUGCGGAAAUUUUCAAAACGUUGGUUUGGACCAUAUGUUGUAACAACUGUUCAUGAUAAUGCGACUUACUCAUUACGGGAGUUAGAUGGUACAAAAUUGAAAAUACCAAUUGCAGGGAAGCGAGUAAAAAUAUUUAAACGAAGACACGCAGAGAUGAAUAUGGAAGACCUUAAUGAAGGUACAGAGAUUCCGUAGCAAGAAGAUGAAAGUGAUAUGGAUAAUGAAGGUGACGAAGACGAACAGGACAAAGACGUAGGGGAUAUAUUCUGAAUCAAACAGCAAUUGGGUAAAUUGGUGCAUACCGGAGGAUGCACAGGUUCAGAGGGGGUGGAUGUCGUGUUGUAACACGAGUAUACAGUGAAAAUAAAAAGAAAGGGGAAUUUUAUUAAUAUUCAGUUACCUCGAAUAUUGGAAGCAUCGACCAACUCCAGUACAAAUACUGAGUGGUCAGGUUCAGUCACUCCGUUACAGUCAGCCGGGGCAUACUGAAAUGCUCCAUUCGAUUCCAAUAACGGGAGUCAGCAGAAAGAGAAAGACCAAUUCACACGACGGGUUCGAGGAGCCAAUUGGAUCCAAUUUCGAUAAUCCAAUCCGGGUCCUCUUAUCCAAUAUGAGACCUGAAUUGGUCGGUCAACCCAAUGCAGUCUAAUUACGGGAAAUCCAGGUCUUACUACGGGUCUUAGCCAAUCUGACGCGAGGACCAAUUUGACCCAAUUACAGGAACAUCCAGGUUACUACGGGCAUCUUUCCCAAUAUACGACCUGAAUUGGUCGGGCGACUCAAUGUGGUCCCGAUUACGGGGUUCGAUUCUGUUUCAGGCUGUCCUGUUCUAUGUGCCGUUUCAGAGAACGUUGUUUUCGGUAAAUGGAUUUCUUAAAGGUAAAAACGGAGGAGAAAGCUUGACGGCAAGAGCCAAUUUCGGAUCCGAGCUUGAGGUGGGAGCCAAUUCCGGAUCUAAGACGGAAGAUUGAAGAAAUUCAGAGGAUAAGAUUAGGGGGGAUAUAGUUUUGAAGGGGGGUUUUUUUUUUUUCUCUGGGAAUCGGGGGGAGCUAGUUUUCAAGCUUUUGCAAGGUUACCAGUUCGGUUUUCAUUGGAGGUUUCUGAAGAUCAAAGAGGGAUUAGAGAGAGGAGCUUCAUGCUUCGGGUCGGGGAAGGAAAGACAGAGAAUUUGGAUUUUUCUUCUUCGUAGAGUUUUGGGGAAGACUGAGGCAAUCGCUGCUGAAGUCAGUGUUGUAAUGGUGAAUCGGGAUUUUUAAAUGAAGUGGGUUUGAAUACUCUUGACUGUUUUGUAAAAUCGAGUUACGUCUGUGAUUGAAGGAUUAAAGGGGUGUCUAUAGGAUUGAGUAUGCGGAGUGAAUGAAAUUUAUUGGAUUAAUCUAACAGGACAGUCAGUGGAUACAAGAUCGUAAGUACAAAGGGGUAUUGAAGAUUAACAGUUUGGGUUGUUCGGGGUUUUCUGUAACGUCUAGAGACCUAUCAGCUGGGGCAAAAAAAAAGACUUCGACAAGUAGUCGAAGAGCAUCCAUAUAGAUUUACGGUACAUUGUUACAGUCGUUUAUAUUCCAGCAGUCAAAAACUGAUAGAGUGCUUGACUAUCGGUGAAUCUCCAUACUACCUUCUACAGCCAGACGCCCGGCGCGUUUUCGAGCAGGAAAGCACGUAAUACGACAACGGGAUGCAAGACCAAUAUCUACACCAAAGCGAGUUCUAAUUUGGCUGACAAUAGAGAUGACGAUACCAAUACUAGUUCCAAGGGAAAGCAACCAAUUAAGAUUUCAACGAGGUGUAACAGAAGGGUGGAAUAUUAAGGAAGUUAUAUUGGGUCAAAUUUCCUAGCUGCAACUUACGGUGAGUAAGCUCGAAGAUGAAGGUAGCUUAAAAAGGCAAGUGGAAGCAAGCAAGAAAACAAUAUUGGAGCAAAAUUACAAAAUCAAGAAACAAGAACAAGUCAUCAAGGUAGAAUCAGAAUCCAAGAUAGAAGUAAAACUUGAAUUGGAUGAGAAAGUGGAAAACUGGUCAAAAGAGAAACAGAGGAUUCAGCAUAUCUUGAAAAAUCAAAGGCAAGAAUUACUACAAACUCGCAAAUUGUAUAGAUUAGAACAGGAGAAGAUGAACGCUCAGUUGAUGAUGGAACGAGAGAAGAAGGAGGCAUUGGAGCUUGAAAAGAAACAAUUCGGUGACAAAUAUCGAAACAAUACGGAUGAGCUACAGGCAGAAAUUGUUGUUUUGAAGGAAAUAGUAACGAAAUUGGAGAGUGAUUUGGUCAGUAUCGGUCUGUUACAGAUAUUUGCCUCAACGGGAGUAGAAUUGGAAAUUUGGAAGAAAAAUUGCAAGAGCAACAGUAACAACUAGAAGUUAAAGAUGCUAAAAUCCUCCAAUUGGAAGCUCAGGUUCAAAAAUUGCGAGCAUAUAGUGAAGAUUUAAUAGCUCAAUUAAGGGUAGAGAUUCAAGACGAAUCAGAAGAAGAAGAUAUAGUGUUGAAACAAGACUAAAUGUGUCACGGACAGAGAAAUACAAACUUGAGUUCUAACAAGAAGUUGAAGAAGAACUGGCAAGAACUAGAUUAACCAGAUGAAUACAAGAACAACACUACAGAGGUGAACUAGAGCUCCAAGAGAUGUGUUGUCGAGACUGAAGAACUCUUCAGCCUCGAUUCCAAUAUAUACUCCUAUUUAGGAAGCUUCUCAAGCAACUUCUACCAACUAGGAAGCUUCUAGAAGGUUCAAGAGACUUGCUUCUAGAAGGUUCUAGAACUUAUCUCUAGAAGGUUCUAAGGACUAUGUCCCUAACAUCUUCUACCAACUAAGAAGCUUCUAGAAGGUUCCAGAGACUUUUUUCUAGAAGGUUUUAGAAGCUUGUCUCUAGAAGGUUCUAGAAACUUGUCUUUAGAAGGUUCUAAGGACUAUGUCCCAAACAAAAUGGAGCCAGGGCUAGAAAUCAAAGAGAUUGAACAAUCCAGUUAAAAAAAAAAAGAGGAUUGGUUUUUGUUUAUCAAUAUUGUGUUUGUAGGGACACUGCACAGUUAGGAGUGGGGCUAUGUAGAAUAAGUAGUUAUUUUCAAAAUGUAGAUACCUAAUGUAUAGUAUAAAUAGAAAUAAAUAACUGCUGAAAAGAUGAUUCAGCAGGUAGAAUGGAUGAAUAAUCAAGAAAAGUAGUUAUCAUCUAUAGUAUAGGAGUUGGUAUCUCGGGAUAGUAUAAAGAGGAUGGGAGAGGGGAAAAAAAUGCCAAACUGCAAUAGUACUGAGCCAGUGAUAAGCUUGGUGCUAUCUCUUCUUCUUAAUUUUCUUGUUUUUUGUGUAUUAGUGUUGAUUCUAGUGAAGAGAUUCGAUUUAAUGAAUUAAUGUUUGAUUUACAAAGUUAUUUAUGGAUCACUGUUUAUCAAUUGUUGUGAAAGAUUGAGGACGUAUGGAAGUUUUCAGUCACUAUUUAUCGCAAGGUUGUAAGUUUAGUGGAGAGGAAUUAUAAUCGAAGAAAUUGUCUUGAUCAGAUUCUAUAGAUUGGAAGUUGUUCAUUCCAGGGUUUGGGAUAUGCUUGUGUGUUCGUGAAUUACACAGGGUACUGAAAUUGUUGUCGUGGAUGUUAUUGUAUUGAUGUGAGAGAGUGGACAGUAGGAGGAAAAGUUAAGUGUUCUUUGGUAUGGUAAGCAUUCAACAGUAGCGGUUAAUUGCAUGACCCUAAUAAUUGGAGCUCAUAUACAUGGUCUUUCCCUGUGUUCGAAUUUCCUUAUACGGGUUUAUUUAAGGAGGUUUCUUGUGGAAUAAGUAAAACGAGCAACCACAGUAACUUCUAAAUAUUUAGAGUCACCUUUGUUAGACAUUGGUGGCCUUGAAAACUUAUUUUGGUUCUUUUAUUUGGUGUUUAGAGCAUAACUGAUGUAAAUCUUACAAGAAAAAAGAUUGAAGAAGGAUUUUGGCAUCAAAAGGAGUAAUUAGGGCAUCGAUAUAGAUGAAUGGAGAUGAAUGAUGAAAAUCUCCAUUCCUAUUGGUCAAAAAUCAUGAUCAAUGGACUUUGAGGAGGCUGCCCGAGGCCAUAUUAGGGAUUAGGAUUAGUUUUUCGAAGCCAUUCGAGCUUUGAAGGCUAGGGUCAGUAAGUUUAGGUUUUUGACUAUGGUUUUGGUGCAAGUUUUAUAUGAUUUGGAGUUUCUAUGAAGGAGAUAUAAGCGCUCAAAGUUAAGGUAUUGAUUUGGGAGCUACUGUCAGUCUUUUUGACAUAACGCACGCGUAUAGAUAGCAAUUGAGGAUUGGCGAUCGCUAAUAGAGAGAGCACUUUUGCGACUACACUUUUCAUAUACUGCUUACUGGAUUCCAAGUUGAAAUAAAGGAGUUAUUGGAUUUUGAAGACAGCACAUGCAAUCUAAGGGUAGUAAGUGACCCGAUUUACUAGUGGUUGUUUCAUGAGCUAUAUCUUGAGCAAUUUGAUAAGGUUUUGGCUCAAAAUUUCAAGAAAUGUGUAAUUUCAUGUAAGUAAAUUUUAUACAUAAUUUUGAUGACAUUUGAAUAUUGGAUUCUUGAGAUAUUAAGAAAAUAGAGCUCAUAUACUUGUAAAUUAGGAUUUAGAGCAUCUGCUAGGGUUAUUUAGAUGCCAGAAGAUCGGAAGUGAACUUGUGGUUGUUUUUUUUUUUUGAUAAAAUUUAAGGGUGAAUUCUAUCUAUUUUAUAAUUUGAGACAAAUUAAACGGCUAGAUCAAGAGUUAUGAAUUUCUAAAGUUUGGAAAAAAAAAAUCCUUUGCGGGAUAAAUAUGUUUUGAAGGGAUUUUGCUAUAUUUUGAGUUUUAUGCAAAAUAAAGGAGAUUUGGAAGCUAAGACAAGAUUCAUAUAAAGAUUUAAGCUACACUGUCUAUAGCUAGAUACCCAGUGUAUUUCCAAAUAGCAAAUCACGCCAUAUGACAAUGUAUUGAAAGACCGUCGGAGCAUUGAUAAGAUCGAAAGGCAUGACAUUAUAUUCAAAAUGGCCAUAUCUUGUAUAGAAAGUUGUCUUCCAUUCGUCUCCUUCCUUGAUUUGCACGAGGUUAUAAGCUCUCUUUAGAUCAAACUUUGUAAAGAUCUUUGCACGCCCAAGUUGCUCUAGAAGUCUUGAUAUCAAAGGUAUUGGAUAACGAUUCUUUUUUGUCACCUUAUUGAGACCUCGAUAAUCCAUGCACAUCCAUAGUGAGCCAUCUUUCUUCUUUACAAAUAAGAUUGGUGCUCUAGCUUACAACUUCAAAUGACGAAUGAGAUUCUUGGCUAGAUUUUUGUCAAUAUACUUUUGCAAUUCUACUAACUCCAUCUGCGACAAAUUGUAGAUUGGGCCAAAAGGUGGUUGUGCUCCUUCUUACAAGUCUAUGGCACAAUCAUAUGGUCGAUGCUCCAGUAGCAUAUCAGUAUUUUUCUUUUGAAACACAUCUUCAAAAUCCUUAUAUUACUCUAGUAUAUUUCCUAUCAAAAUCUUCUCUUUGCUAGUUGGAGUUGCAUAAAUGACAAAUGGUGUACCUUCCUUGGACAAUGUUACAAACGCUCUUGCUCCAAUAAAUAAGGGUUUUUUGAUUCGGGAUCUUCUAAUAGGCUUACUUUUGGAAUAUUCUAUAAGAAAUGUCAUCCUUCGUAACCUCCAAUCUAUGGAUGGGUUAUGUAUUUCUAACAAAAAAAGACUAAGAAUAACAAGGUUUGACGGGAUUGUAAUAAUAUUUAAAAUAAUAUAACUACUAUGGUCUUUAAACGUCACCUCUAUAGGUUUUGAUUCAUGGAUGAUACUACCAGACAAUAGAGAUCAUCCAUCUAUUACUUCUACGUGAACGGAUUUAGAUUUUCAUAUUAGAAGAAUCUUGUGACGCUUAGUAAAUUCUUCAUCUAAAAAACAAACAGAUGCUUUUGAAUCUAAUAAUACUAAGGUUUUUAGUUUUUAAGGGCCAAAAGAUAGAGGAAUGGUAAAACAAUGGGCAGGCUGAGCAAAAAGAGAAGAACUUGAUUAUUGUUGUGGUAUUGAAUUAUCUAGCCGUAUGAUCCCUAUUGUGGCUGGACAUCCUCAUUUUCAAGAAUAAACGAGCCUCUGGUCCUAAGAAUGUGUCGAUUUUGUUACUUUGGAACAAUUUUCAGCUCUGUGGCCUUCUUUAUUGCAAUACAAGCAUAGUCCUUCCUCUAUAUGCCACUUUUUUUCUUCUAGAGUUAGGGAUUUGACAUGUACCACAUCAAUUUGCAUGUCUUUCACCUCUGAAUGUGAAUUCAGGUUGCUUGCUAAUAUAAUUGGAGCGUGGUGAGCCGUAUGUUGUCUUCAGCGUUGGUCUUGACGACGUUGGAACAGGCGAUUAUCGCACUUCAAAGCUUGGCUAAUGGCUUUGUUGAGCAUUCACGAAUUGAAAAGAGAUAAUAACAAAUCCUUUACGUCAUCUUUCAAGCACCAAUAAAAUUGACUUAUCAAUAAUCCCUCAUCCCAGUUGAUGUUGCACGCCAAUUAUUUGAAAUCUGAUGUAUAAACUAACGUGGAGCGUGUUCCUAGUCGUAGUGAUCGGAUCUUUAUUGUAGCCCAUCGUGCCUUGUCAUGUUUGCCAAAUACUUCUGUAAACCCCUCCAAAAAAGUUCAAAGUUGUUCAAAAUUGACGAUCCUUUCUCAAACAAAAGAGUAAACUAUGAUAGAGCUUGCCUCAUGAGCAAAGUUCCAACUAGUCCAACACAUGACUCCUCUGUCGGAUAGCAUAUGGAUUGUAAAGCUAUUAUCAAUCUAAUUUAUUUGAAAAAACCUUGAAACUUAGAAUGCAUACCAUCAAACUUGCUUGAAAGGCUAUUUCGGAGCUCCUUUCAUUGUAAGACCAACAAUCUUUGUUGAACUAGAAGCAAAGCUGCUUCUCUAAGUACUGAAGCUUGAAGCUCGUGAAUCCUUGAUUGUGCCAUCCCAGAUGCUCUAUCAUUAUGAAGUCUUGCAAUGAUUCCUUCAAUCUCUCAAAUUCUCUUUAAUAACAUAGUAAGAACAUUCAUAAUAGCAUUCAACUUGGACCCCGAACUUUCAGUCAUAUUAAUAUCUUGACCUUCAGCCAUUCUAAUAGAAUGAAAGAAAUGACUCUAUAAGAAGGCACUAUUGGUUUAGAGGAAGAUACUCCGUAAUCUCUAAAAUAACUUAAAACCUUCAAAAAGAGGGAUAAUCCACUCUCUCCAAGAAAGAUAAGAUUCCAAUAUUAUAAUAGAAGAAAUAUCAAUUUAAAAGAGGGUAAUCCGCAACCUCUAAAAUGCCAACACCUUCAAGCAAAGGAAUAAUCCACACUCUAACAAGAAGAAACUCGCUCUGAUAUGAAAAAUAAGUAUAGUCUUGACAAAUUGUCACCAAUUUAGAAUACUGACCAGAAAUCUAAAUAAGAAGCUCAAGAAGAAUCGGUAAGAAUUAGAUUAAUCAAAUGAGUACAAGAAUAAUACUAGAGAGGUGAGCUAGAGCUCUAAGAGGUGUAUUGUUAAGACUGAGGAUCCCCUCAGUCUCGGCUCCUAUAAAUACAACAAGCUAGGAAGCUUCUCAAGUAGCUUCCACGAGAUUAAAAACUUCUCAAGUAGCUUCUACAAAUUACAAAGCUUCUCUAGAACCUUCUAGAAUCUUCUACAACUUCCUAGUAUAUAUCCUUGAUACUAGUAUGAGGCUUAUUGAGAGGUAUGAAAACAAGACAUGAUUUGAUGAAGGCAAGGAAUAGAGAUCUUCAUUCCUAUUUGUCGAAGGCCAUGCCCAAUGAGCUUCAAGGAGGUUGCCCGAGGCCUUAUCAGAGAUUAGGGUUUCUCUUUUAAGGUCAUUUGAGCUUUGCAGGCUUAGAUCAACAAGUUUAGGAUUUUGGAUACAAAAUGGGUGCAAAGUUUUUGUCAUUUGGAGAUUUUAUGAAGGAAUUUUUGGCGCUAAAAGUUAAGGUAUCAAUUUCAUACCUACAAUCACAUUUUUAGGCAAAAAAUAUAUUUGCACACAUAUAAAAAAAAAUCAUUGCACAUAUUAGGGCCUAGCUAUAGUAAUAUAUCACAUGUAUUAUUAUAAGAACUACUUUGCAAUACUCAAUCUUUAUUUUUUUGCAAAAUUAAGGCAAAAACCUCUUUUGGUCAUAAACAUAUUAAAGAUAGGAUAUGAGUGUCACGAACAUAAGCAUGUAAGCCAAUAAUUACAUGUAUAAAAAGGUAAAAAUUUUAAAAGUAGAUAAAAUUAUAUUUCCUAUAAAAACUUCCUUGAAGCUUCAUAGAUAGUGCUUUGACUUUAAAGGUGUCUUUAAUUGAAUUUUUGGUUUAGAAACGACGUCAAAAAGUUGGCCAUGUGCCACACAUAGUAUUAGCUUGAAGACCAAACUAACUAUGUGGCCCAUACAUAAAAAAACUUACCUUGUCAAUCAAGGCAUGUAUCCUACAAAGUCAACACAUUUAGAAGGUCCUAUAAAACAUCGCCAUAUAGCCCCUAGUUAGAUAGUAUACAUAGAGACAGGAGUGAAGCCCCCUUCACUAUUGUCAACUCCUUUCUUACUUCUAGUCUAGUUUCAAAGACCUCUAGUUUUCUUGACUUUUGGCAAUAGCUAUUACAGUUUCUUUCUUAAUAUACAUAUUGAGUUAUUUCUAUUUUGUCACCUUUCUUUGAGAGAAGUCUAACUUAUUCAUUUGUCUUUAUCAAGUUCAUGCCCUUAACAAUGACAUGUCUUAGGGAAUUAAAUACUAUGUGCUAAAACGAUCAAUGGAUACAAAGCAAAAUAAAUCAUGUACACCAAUAAACACAAAUAUAAGAAUAACACUAAUAGUUCAACUACAAAAUACAAAGGAGCAACUCAAAUAUGAGCCAAAAAAAAUAUCAUAUUUAAGAAUUAUAGAAAUACCACAAUACUCGGUCAAAAAUAUUGCAAAAUAAGUAAAGUGGUACUAGACAUUAGAACCCUUGAGAACAGUGGUACUUGCCUAGAUGCCAUGAGAUUCUAAUUUUUUUAAAAUGAACAAACUCAUUUAUAAGAUGAAUGUUUAUUCUUGGUCACAAAUUCUUAGUUUUUUUAUCUCGUACUUACUUUUAGUCCUUGAAGCUCAAAUAACAAAUAAUAUAAAGUCCUCUUGUAUCAUCAAAUAGCUUCAAUGUGUUGAUCACUAAUCCAUCAUAUCUUGAUGGAAUCUUUUAUGCUUGUAGAAGCAUAUCGAUUCCAAAGUAUACCAUGUAUUAGGCCAAACACUCAUUAACCUUAAUGCUUGGAUAUUGUUUAAAUUCUUUCUUCUUUGAUUGUUGAUCUUGAACUAUUUUGCCUCCUACUUUUUUCUUUGUUUGUUCAUUCUUUUUGUCUUAUGAAACUUCUCAACUAUUUUUAUUUCUCUAGUUCAAACUACAUGUCUAUCAAAUUUGUUAUACUAAUGAGUAUUGUGGUGGUGUUAUAAAACCAAUGCAACUUCAACUUUUUGAAUUUGAACAAGAUUGGAUUUGGUUUGGAAUUCUCCAGAAUAACCAAUCACGGAGUAUUACUUUGAAGCAAAUACUACACACAGUGCAACCCAAACCAACAAGUUCUCAAAAAGUGAACUAGUUACUUUUGCAAGUUACCAAUUUGUUUAUUUUUGUUCUUUGAGGAACCAAAUAAAGUGAUCUCUGCAUCAAAUGCUUUUUAACUAAAACCACACUUCGGGUGGGGCAAAAUGUCGCCACACAUUCAACUUGCAAAAUGCUCAUAAAUUGUGCCUCAUAUCAACAAGAAUCGCACAGUUCCUACAAUUUCUCAAACCAUGUGACUAAGCAUGGCUGCAGAUUACGUAAAUAAUUCCUGCCCUCCUUCGAAAGGCAACUCAGAACACUUCAAGUCCUUUCACCCCUCCAACAUGAUCCCUGCCUUGGACAUUUGUGCCCGCUCCAACGUCUCAGCAACUUGCAACUGUCCAUGCGACCUCCUCUGUCGCCGUCGCCGCUGCAGAACCCCUGGUGGACGGAGGCGGUAGCGCGCUGAUCCAACUGACCAAAUUUCAUCGAAAGUCCAUUUGCUGCAGACCUGAAUGUAAAACCCUCUGGUGCCACAACCUGGAUGCUCUCUGACCCAUGAAUCAUCAUAAUUCGCUCACUCAUACGAUCUCCACUCCAGCGCGCAAAAGGAAAACCAGGGAGACGAUAUUGAUUUGCCCGUGCCCGUUGCUACAACUCAAACGGUGGCCGCGGCCCGGAGGACCAGCACUUCCAGGGUGAGCCCCGGACCGAAUCCAAUGAAGAAGCCAAACUCGCUGCCCUCUCCCAGCGUCGACGCCCCCAUCUUGACCGACCUCUGGCGAAUCUGAUCCAGCACGAACAACACCGACGCCGACGACAUGUUGCCGUACUCCGACAGUAUGUCCCUGCUCCCCUGCAUCUUGUCCUUGGUCAGCUUCAGCUUCGCCUCCACCUGGUCCAGAAUGGCCGGGCCUCCCGGGUGCACCGCCCAGAACAUCUCGUUCCAAUCGGGCGAACCGACGCACUUCCUGGCCUCGUUCAAGAACUUCUCGAUGUUCUUGGAGAUCAGCCCUGGCACGUCCUUCAUGAGGUGGAAGAUGAGCCCCGCCUCCGUCAGAUGCCCAUCAAUGGCUCCAUCACUCUCUGGCAAGAUCGUCUCGCCCGCCCAGUGCACCUCGAACAGUGCUUUCUCCACCUCCGGCUUGGGAUCGGAUCCCACCACGUACACUCCGGCGCCAUCGCCGAACAGGGCCGAGCCCACCAAGCCGUCCAAGUGGUUCUCGCUGGGUGCGCGGUAUGUGACGGCCGUGACCUCGCUGGCCACCGCCAACACCCUGGCGCCCUUGUUGUUCUCCGCCAGAUCCUUGGCCACCCUGAGCACGGAAGCACCGCCAAAGCACCCGGUCUGGUACAUCAUGACCCGCUUCACCGUGGGCUUCAGGCCCAGCAGCUUGGCCAGGGCGUGGUCGGCUCCGGGCAUGUUCACGCCGCUGGUGGUGGCGAACACGAUGUGGGUGAUGUCAGACUUGCGGCCGCCCCACUCCUUGAUGGCCCUCUGGGCUGCCUCCGCGGCGAGCUUGGGGACCUGGACGACGACGAUGUCGUGGCGGACGUUCAGGGAGGGCUCCAUGUACGUGCAGAUGCCGGGGUUAGCCUUGAGCACCUCCUCCGUGAGGAACAUGUGGCGCUUGCGGAUCCCCGACUUGUCACCUGCAUCGACAUUCAUGGCCAAGCGUCAGCUGCCGUCGUAAGGGGCCGGAAUCGACCCAAUUUCAGGAACAUCGCGACCGCCGCAUUCCCAUCUCGACGCCCGCAACAAAUCACAAGUCGCAAUUCUAAUGCGCUCGCGCCGCGCAGCCCGUGCAAUGAGCACGUCGUCGAGCGCGGCUGGGGGUGAGGGCCGGCCCACAGGGAACAGUGAGCACAUCACGAGCCGCGAAGAGAGUCACACGGUGGAGGUGGACUUACAGAUGCGCUUGAAUUUGGCCUUCAGGGCGUCCUUCUCGCCGCAGUUGGUGAUGUUGAAGAAGAAGUCGGGGUACUCGCUCUGCAGGAACUCCGCGGGAGGCACCGCAGUGCCGACGCCCAACACACAUGCUGGUCCCUCAGCGCGAGGCUGGCCUCUGGGAAGCGCGCUCCUUGUGGCAGCACCCUGAACGUCGACUUCUCCGCUUGGUGCCAUGGGCACGUUUGGGUUCGGAAUGGAUGUUGAGUCCGAGCUGCUCACUCGGGGUUGUCUCGAAGCGGCCGGACAAUGAGCGUUCAAUUUGUUCCGGUGAACUGGCCCUGCAGCCACUGCCUAGGAUCUCUUAACCUGCCAAAAUCAGGGGGCUUAUAUGCAACGCACAAUGUGCCGGCGAGAAGGUGGCCCGAGUUGAGCAGACGUCUCGCUCUGAAUCUGUUAGCUCACAAGUUUGUUGCUCUAUCUGCUACACUUCCUGAAUGCGUUGAGUGCACAGAGAAGUUCUCUGUUGUGCAGCUUCAUUCAGCAUCGCUUUCUAGAUGAGGGGAGUGUGCAGAGUGAAUGUGGUGGCCCACAAGCCAGGGAAGAGCGUUGAAUGAUGUAGGACUUCGACAGGAACAGUGCAGUCUUGGCGACUUUUUUCUUGCGGCUUUUGUUCCUUUUCCAGGCGCCUGUUGGUUUCUUUCAACGUUGACAGCCUUUUGAGAUGACCUGGAGUUUACUUCGGCUGCUGGCUUGUUCGGACCAUCCGCAUGAAGCUUCGAAGACGUCACAAUCCACUUUCAAAAUCCUAGGGAACUAUGACAAUUGGUCCGUAUGGUUGUCAACGAACAGCUGCAGACUUUAGAUUCUUCACUUCAAAUAUAAAUCGUAAGGGAAUCGUCCGGUGGGUUUGCCAUUAUUAGCUCAUGCUGGAACAUGUUUCCGUCUGAGUGGAAAUGCAGCAUUUUCCUAUUUGUGAACCAAUACUGUAUGGCCAUAUGAUGACGGGGGUGUCUAUAGCCAUGACACAUGUGCUUUGCCAAUUUUACUUUGGCUGCUUGGUUGUUCUGACCAUCCGCUUAUUCCUUAAGCAUGAAGCUUCUAAUUCGUCACAAUCCUCUUUCAAAAUCCUAGGGACUAUGAGAGUUGGUAGAAAAGUGGUGAAGUGUCAUGGAUAUUCACAUUUAUUCCAAUAAUUAUUUAUAUGUUUCGAUAGAAGUUGGUAAAUUUGGAUUAUUAUCUUUUAAAAGUGUAUCUUUUAAGAAAACUUCUUAAAAGUUCAAUUGAAACCAAUUUGUUUAUACAUGUAUUUGUAGUUGAUUUGUAGGUUAGAAAUUUCAUCAAUAAUUUAAGUAUGUACAACACAUGUUGGUAGCUUUUUGAAUAAUUUAAGUAUGCUCCACUUUUAUAUAAAUCUUGUUUUGCAAGUUAAGACAUGUAUCUACCAAAUUCAACAUAUGUUGGAGAUCUUAUAGAAUAUUGCCACGUAGCUCCUAGUUAGAUAAUAUAUAUGGAAGCAAAUGUAAAACCUACUUCAUUCUUGUCAAUGCCUUUUUAAUCUUUAGACUUGUUUCAAGACUUUUUAGUAUUUUUGGCUUUAGGAAGUGCUAAUAUAAUUCAAUAUAUUUACACUUUUGAGUGAUUUCUAAGCCUUUUUAAAUGACACAUAUAUGUAUUGUAGUUUUUUUCUUCAAGAUUCUUAUCCUUGAUAAUUUGACUACAAUAUUGAUUUAUUAUUAUUGUUUUGUUUUAGAAGUGAAUGAAUUAUCUCACUUCUAUUGUUGUAAUUUAAAAUUUGUGGUCUAUCCACCUUUAAAUAAAUAAUUAAAAAAUAUUAACAAUGAUUUUUUUCUAAAAGAGAGUGGAUUAUUUCUUGUUGUAAAAUUUUUUAUUUAAUAUUUUAGAUUUCAAAUUAUUUUCAUCUUAUUUAGUUUUUAGAAUUUAUUUGAGUUGGUUAUUGAAAAAAGAAAAAAGAAACAAAAAACAAAAAUUAAAUACUACUUUUAUUGGAAGUAAAAAUAGAUAUCCAACUAUUAGAAAUCUUUACAAGCUUGUGAACAUUCUAAGAGUAGAAAUCUUACAUAUUUCUAACAUGAAUCAUGGAGAUACUAUUCCUACAUAUAUGGAAGAAGUUCAAAAUCUAUGCCGUAAAGUUGUGCAAUUGAAAGAAGCAAGUAGAUCAAAAUCACAACCAGUUUUAAAAAGUCUUAUUUCUACAAGUACAAGAAGUAAGGAUUAGUAUGCCAGAGGAGUUUGAUGGAAUAAGAUUAAAAUUUUAAAGAUUUUUACAAAAAAUUAAGUUCUAUUUAAGAUUGCAUCUUUUCCAAUACCUCAAUAGAUUUACUCAAGUUAGAUUUAUAGGCGCACUUCUAUCAAAAAGUAUUCUUUCUUGAUUUGUACCUUUGAUGGAAAAAAAUUUAGAAUUACUUUAUGAUUUGAAUCCUUUUUUGGAAGUAUUUAUGGCUGUAUUUGUAAAAAAUUAUAAAAAAUGGAUAGUAGAAAUCAAGCUUGAAUCCGUACAAUAAUGAUUUAUUUAACUACCACAUAUGUUCCUGAAUUCCAAAAUCUUAUUUGCAACAUGGAUUGGAAUAAUAAAGCUAUUAUCAAUCAAUUUUGAUAUAGAUUAAAAGAUAAUAUUAAAGAUUUAUUGAUGAUAAUAUUAAAAGUAAUUUUUUUGAAGCACCUUAUUGUUCAAGCCAUCGUGUGCAAUAAUCAACUCAUUAAAAGAUAGAAAGAAUAAAGAUUUAAUUAAAAAAAUACAAGUUAAGCAAUAGUAAUAUCUUCUAAGUUUUUAGAAGCUUAUUUGUUUAAGUAAAAGCUUAUGCAAAUUAAUACGAUACAUUUUAAACCUCUUAUUGAGCAAAAAAGAAUUUAUUAUUGUUAAGAAGGUUUGUAUUUAAUUUCUAAAGAGUCCAAGCACAUUACUCAAUAUUAUCCAAAGAAAUAACAAAAUCUCAAAAUAAAGAGCAUGGUUGCCAAAGAUGACAAUGUGUUUGAAAAUGAGUUUUUCCAACUACAAUAAGGACUAUGCAGCUAAAAUCCUGCAUGAUCUCUAGUAAAGGUCAUAUUCUUUCCUCAAAUCCCUCAUCUGUUUUUACAAAAUAAGUUUUUUUAACAUCAAAAAAUCACAAUGUCUUAGCAUUGUUAGAUUUAGGAGCCUCAACUUAUUUUAUAGAUGAAGACUUUGUCAAAAUAUAAGAUAUAUUCUUAGUUAAGAAAACCAAAUCUAUGCAUAUAAAAGUAAUAGAUGGUCGUUUUUUGUCUUUUGAAGAUGUUAUACAUAAAAUUAUUCUUUUAGAUAUAGCAUCUAAUAGUCAUUAUAGUUUAAUAAUAUUUAAUAUGAUUAAAUCUUCUUCUAAUCAAAUUAUUUUAAAAUAAUUAUGGCUAAAAAAACUAUAAUUCUUAAAUAAAUUAGAUUUCUAUUAUCAUAAGGCGUGAUUUAUAAUCUAAAAAUAUACUAGAUACUUGGUUGUAGAGAGUUUAGCUUUAAUUUAUUGGCCAAGCUUCAAUAAAAGAUUUAUUUUUAAUAUAAAAAAUAAAUAAAUGCAACAAUAUCAAAAGAUAUUUUAUUAGUAAAAAUCUUUUAUAUUUAAGAAGAUUUAUACAUAAGACUUUUUAUAGCAUCUAGAAAUUUCAUAACAUCCUUUGUUAUAUCAAAUCAUAACUAAUCAUUUGCUAGUAAGUUAGAUUUUUAAUAAUCUCAAGGAAAAUCCACAAUUUCCUUUCAAAAACUCAUCUUUAUAUUAUAAUAUUAUCAUAGCUCCAUAUCUCCAUCUUUAACAUAUAUUUAAAGACUUGACUCCCAAAACACCCCUUUAUUUUGUAUAAAAUGCUCAAAUUGUGGCAAAGUCCUUUCAAAAUAUUUUUUUUUUUGAAAAGAAUUUUUUUACUAAAAUUAAGGAUUUUAUAUUUCUUGAUCCAUUUAUUGAAAUUUUUUCAAAAUUCUAAAUAAUUUAGAAUUUAUCCUUAAGCUUUACCACAAAAAAAAAAUUAUAAAUUUACUAUAGAUUGUUUGGCAUCUUAGAACUCCUAGUAGGUACUCUAAAUUCUAAUUUAUAAGUAUUCAAGAACUAUUUUCAUUAUAUUUCCAAAUCCAAAAUCGAAAUACCAAAAAAUUUGGUAUAUAACUUGAAAAAAUAAUAAUACAAAUUUGUAGAAAAUUUUAGACAAAGAUUUGUUUAAAUGCCCAAGAUAUAGUUAGAACCAAACCUCUCAUGAAAUUGAUUCUCCAACAAAACUCAAUUUGAAAGUAUUGUAUUCAAGUAGUCACUGCUUCUUUAAAUCCACUUUAAACCUCUUACUUUUUAUAUGUAGAAUAUAGUUCUUUAAUCAAAAUUUCCAAUAACUUAAUUUGAUCUUCAAAAGCCCUUCAUAUGCAUGAGCUAUGCUCCAAAGAAUGACAAGAGGAAUGAUAUCAGCACCUUCAUUUUGAGCGCAUAUAUCAUCUUCUCAAAAACUCCAAAUUAUACAAAACUUUCACCAAAACUAUAUCUAAAAUUCUAAAAAUAAUGAUUUUAAGCUUUGAUGUUCAAAUGUCUUCAAAAGAAUAAGCCUAAUUCUCAAAAUUGUCUCAAGCAACCUCCUUGAAGUCCAUUGGACAUGACUUUUAGCCAAUAGGAAUAGAAAUUUUUAUCAUCCAUCUCCAUUCAUCUAUAUAGAUGGCUUAACUAUCAUUUUUUAUAUACAAAUUCUUUUGUAAUUCAUUUUCUAAUAAGUUUUAUAUAAUAUGUAUUCUAAAUAUCAAAUAAAUAAAAUAAAAUAAGAUUUCAAGAAUCACCAAUGUAUAAUAAAGCUGAUCCUAAAUAUAAAAAAAUUAUUAUCAACAUAAAAUCAACCUUAACAAUAGCUCUUUAGAUUAACUACUUCAAAGUAGUAAUCUAACCAUAUUUUGUAACUAACUAAAAUCUAAUAAUGUGACUCUUCCUACAUUGUAUAAUAAAUUGUAUAUUAAAUAUAUAUAUAUAUAUAUAUAUAUAUAUAUAUAUACAUUAUUUUCAUACCAAAGCAAAGCCACAAUACAACAUCAUAACCUUGAUUUUUUUCAUAGUUUAGUCUAAGAUUUUUUUAGGCUAGUAAAAAUCCAUAAGAUUGAUAUUUCCAAACUAUAAUUGAUAGGUGUGGGAACUUUCUUGUAUGCUGAAAAUAAAGGAUUUCCUUUUGUUAUAUAUGCUAUACCUAUUGAUGAUGGAGAAAAGAUUUCAAGUGGCAUUCCAAUAUAAUAUCAAGGUUAUCAAGAUGUUUUUUAAAAACUAAAAUGUAGAUAUUCUUUUAAAGCAUUAUUUUUAUGAUUGUUCCAUCAAUCAUAAAAGAAGAACUCAACUACCAUUCACACCAAUCUAUAGCCUAUCACAAAAUGAGUUAGUUUCAUUUAAAGAGAACAUUAAUAAGAAUUUGGCUAAGAACUUCAUAUUCUAUUUUGAAUUUUCAACUAUGGCUCCUAUCUUAUUUGUAAAGAAAAAAGACAAAUCUCUGCAAAUAAAUGUAAACUAUUCAAGAUUCAACCAGAUUACUAUAAAAAAUAGAUAUCAUCUACUUUUGAUUUUAAGACUUUUUAAUCAAUUGAAUUAAGCAAAGAUUUAUAAAAAUAUAGAUCUACAAGAAGAAUACAAUCAAGUAUGCAUUAAAAAAAGAAAUAAAUGAAAAACUUCACUUCAAAUCAAAUAUAAAUAUUUCAAAUAUAAUGUCAUGUCUUUUGCACUCAUGAAUGUACAAGCUACUUUUCAACAUAUAAUGAAUGAUAUCUUCUGUGAGUUUCUUGAUAAUUUUGUCAUCUAUUAUUUAAACAACAUCUUAAUGUACUUUAAGUAUAAAAAAAAAUAUGAAGUUCAAAUUUAUUGUGUAUUACAAAAACUAAGUGAUAUUGGAUUGUACGCCAAGAUAGAAAAGUAAAUAAUUUUACACUACUUGAGUUGACUAUUUAAGAUAAAUCAUUUUAAAAAUUGGUCUUAUAAUGGAUCUUAAGAAGCUCCAAGAUAUUCUUAAUUAGGAAAUUCCAAAAAUAAUCAAAGAUGUAUAAUAUUUUUUGAGAUUUACCAAUUAUUAGAGAAUCUCCAUUUAGAACUUUUGUCAAGUUGCGACUUUUCUAGUACAUCUCACAUGCAAAGACAAGCAUGAGUACAGCAAUAAAAUUGAAGUAUUUUUUGAAGCCUUAAAGAUAAUAUUUAUUUUUGCACAAAUUUUGUAUUGCAUAAAUUUUUCUAAGACAUUCUUUAUGGAAACAAAUGCAUUAGACUUUAUAAUGGAUGUUAAUUUGUCACAAAUAGAAGAAAAUGACAAGCUCUAUCUAAUAGCUUUUUAUUUUAAGUAAUUUUCAAUAGCCAAGAUUUACUAUGAGAUUUAAGACAAAGAACUUCUUGCAAUCAUUGAUUCAUUUCAAGAAUGGCAUCAUUAUUUGGAAGGCACCUUAAGUCUAAUCUUUAUAUAUAUAUAAAUAUGGAUCACAAGAACCUCAAGUACUUCAUAUUGGGAUAUGAUUUGAAUUUUUUGAGUAUGUUUUUAUUAAGAUUUGAUCUCAAGGUCACUUAUCUAUUCAAAAAAUAAUAAGUUAUCACAAACGUCCUAUCUAGACAUUCUUAUUUUUUAUUAAAUAAAAAAAUAUAUAACCUUUGAUCAACAAAGAAUAAAACUCUUGAAGCAAAACGAUUAUCACCUUCAAGCAAUAAAAUCAAUAUUAAUUGUUGAUUCAAUUUUUUUCAAGCAAAUUCAAUCAAGUAUGUCCUCUAAUCUUUUUAUUUAUGACAUUAAGAAUAAUUAUUUUAAGUAUUAUGGUUCUUUUUAAUUUGAAUUUAAGAAUAAAUUAUUUUAUUUUAAAAAACAAUUAUACAUUUUGAAAGACAAAGCAAAAUUACAUAUUCUUUAAACUCAUCAUGACUUUUUAAUAGUUAAGUAUUUUGGAUACAACAAGGCUUUAGAAGUAAUAUCUAGAGAUAUUUGGUGGUCUCAAAUGUAGAAGGCAAUAAAAGACUUUGUAUAAUCAUAUGAUAUUUAUUCAAGAUUCAAAACUCUUUAUCAUCAACGUGAUGGACUUCUUCAGUUAUUUCCUAUGUUGGAACAAUCAUGGUCUUGUACUUCUAUGAAUUUUAUUAUGGAUAUUUGGAUUUUGGAUUUGUAUGAUAUUAUAUUUUUACUAAUAGAUUGUUUAACUAAAAUGUCAUAUUUUGUACUAUGUACAAAAUCUAUCAUUAGUAAAGAAAUGGCUAAGCUUUUGCUUGAUAUCAUCUAUUACUAUCAUAAAUUAUGUAAGGAUAUUAUAUUGGAUAGGAACACUUAAUUGUAUUAAGAUUUUGGAGAAUCUUUUUUAAGAUUCAAAAGGUGAAAAUAAAGCUCUUUUCGGCUUUUUAUCUUCAAAUGGAUGGGAAAACAAAACAAAUAAAUCAAAUUUUGGAGUAGUAUUUGAUGUGAACUAUCUACUAUCAUCAAGAUGAUUGGACAAUUUUUUUGCCAUUGGUAAAAUUUGCAUACAAUAAUUUGGUAUAUUCUCCUAUUCAACAAAUACCUUUCUUUAUCUAUUAUGCUUAUCAUCCAUGACUUGAUACUUUUGACUUUUCAAAAGUUCAUAAUCCUAUAAAAGAAGAUUUAGCAAAUUAUUUAUCAAAGCUACAUGCAAUAAUGAAGGCGCAAUUAAAAGAAGCUCAUGAAUGAAAAAAGAUCAAUACAGAUGCCUAUUACAAGGAACAACCACAAUUCAAUGUGGGCAAUAAAAUAUGGUUACUUUGUUGUAAUAUAAAGACUACUUGUCUUUGUAACAAGUUGGACUAUCAUAGGCUUAAACCUUUUCCUAUUUAUGAACAAAUCAAUGUUAUUGCUUAUCAAUUACAUCUACUAGCAUUUAUGAAGAACCAUCAUAUAUUCUACAUGUCUCUUCUUCAACCAUAUAAGAUAAUGAAUAUCUUAAAAAAAAGAAAAAUGCCACCUCUUCCUAUAAAAGUAGAUAAUAAUCAAAAACUAGUAGAGAAAGAAGUCUUAAAUUGAAAGCAAUUCCAAAAUAGAUUAAAACAACUUAUUCAUUGACAAAAAUAUGAUAUUAAUGGAUGUAUAUGAAAGUAAACAAAGAAUCUUGCAAAUAUAGCUAAGAGAGUUGAAGCUUUUUAUCAACAAUGUCCAUCAGAAUCAAGAUGAAAAAUAGCAAGAUCCAUGAGAGAUGAUGAUUGCUUUUCAUCACUAGAAGAGAAAAUAUCAUCAUGGAUAUAUGUAUAUAUUUCAAUAAUUACAUAUAUCAUUAAGUCAAAGUAGAUAAAUAUAGAUUAAUUUUAUAAUAUCUUAUAGAAAAGCUUCUUAGAAGCAUCAUAAAUGUGAUUUUGACUUUAUAUGUGUAUGUAUGUGAUUAAUAAAUUAGAAAUUUGGUCAACAACUUAAUUAUAUAUGACACAUGUUGGAAGCUUGUAAAAGAGGCUAAUGAUAUGGUACAAAUAUAAGAAACUUGCCUUGUAAGUUAAGACAUAUAUCUAAUAAAGUCAACACCUGUUGGCGGUCGUAUAGAUGAUUGCCUGUCAUGGAUAUAAUCAUGUAAGCUAUUAAUAACAUAUACAAAUAGGUAGAAGUAAGUAAAAGUAGGUAAAAAUAAGUUAAUUCUAUAGUAUUUAAUAUGAAAGCUUCCUAGAAGCUUCAUAGACGCUGCUUUGAUUUCAUAGGUGUCUUUAAUUGACUUUUUGGAUUAGAAACGUGGUCAACAAGUUGGCCAUGUGCCACAUAUGUUGUUAGCUUGAAGAUCAAGCUAACUAUGUGGCCCACACAUAAAAAAACUUGCCUUGUAAGUCAAGGCAUGUGUUCUACAAAGUCAACACAUAUUAGAGGUCCUAUAGAACAUUGCCAUAUAGCCCCUCGUUAGAUAGUAUAUAUAGAGACAAGAGUGAAGGCUUCUUCACUCUUGUCAACUCCUUUCUUGCUUCCAGUUUAGUUUCAAGGGUCUCUAGUUUCUUUGUCUUUUGGCAAUAGCCAUUCCAGUUUUUCUUUCAAUAUACAUACUUGUUUAUUUAUAUUUUGUUACCUUUCUUUGAGUGAAGGCUCACUUGUCUGAAUUGUUUUUUCAUCGAGUUCUUGUCCUUGACAGAUUGACAAGAGUACACCUACAAUAUCAGAGCUUUGUCUAAUCUUGAUUAAGAGUGGAUUACUCCUUUUUCUUGAUAAGAUAUAAGCAUAUUAGAAGUUGCAGAUUACCCUCUUCUAAAUUGAUAUUGUCCUUAGUAUUUUCUUUGUUCUCAAGUCCUCUCUUCUAUUUGUCUUGAGCGAUAUUAGACAUCUUCUCUCUUCUAAGUGUUAUCAUGGCAGAACUUGUUGAAAUGAAGAGUGCAAUGGCACAAAUGCUAGAGCAUUUGAGGGAGUUAAUGCUUACAAUGCAUCAAUUUAAUUUACUACCAUAAGGAGCAACAAGAUUGGCAGGAAGUGAAGAUAUAGAAAUGGUUGGAGCUGCUUCAACAUCUGUACCAAACCAUGUCCUUUCUCCUACGAUGGAAUGCCCUUCAAAUGUUAGAGAACCAUGAAUUGCCCUACCCAAGAAGUUUGAUGGCACCAGAUCUAAGUUUCAAGGAUUUAUCAAUUAAGUGCAACUUGUGAUUGAACUUCAACUCCAAAGCUAUCCAAUUCCAGGAUCAUAAGUUAGAUUUAUUGGUAUGCUUCUUUCAGGUUCAGCACUAUUGUGGUUUUCAUCUUUUUUUGAAUGACGAGAUCCAAUAUUCGAUAAUCUAGAGGCUUUUUUGGCAGAGUUUCGAUCCAUGUAUAGAGAACAUGAUGCAAUUCAUAUUUCAACCAAUAAGAUCCAUAUUUUACAACAAGGCAAUCGAUCAGUAACAUAAUACGCUUCACAAUUUUGAUAACUUGCAACUGAUAUUAAGUGGGAUGAUGCUACACUUAUUAGUCAAUUUUUCUACGGAUUACAAUAUGAGGUAAAAAAAUUAAUGCUCAACUUACCUGAUCUUCAAACAUUGAGUCAAGCAAUUGACUUUGUUGUGAAGUGCGACAAUCACCUUUUUGAAUUUCGAUCUGAGAACCAUACAAGUAAACCUCAACGUUAUUAUAAUUCAAUGGCAACACCAAUACCUCUUCAACACAUACAUUCGGAAGUAGAGGAUAUGUAAAUUGAUGUAGUACGUUUCAAACCUCUUAUUGAGCAAGAAAAGACUCAUCAUCGUCAAGAAGGAUUAUGUUUAUAUUGCGGAGAAUCAAAGCACACUUUUCAACAUUGUCCAAAGAAAUGACGCAAUCACAAAAUGAGGAGUAUGGCUGUGAAAGAAGAUAAUAUGUUGGAAAACAAGUUUGUCCAGCUAUAAUAGGGAUUGUGCGGCUGGAACCUUGUACAACAUCUAGUAAAGGUCCUAUUCUCUCCUCAGAGCCCUCUCCUUAUUUUACAUUAAAUGUUAUUUUAGGACCUAAACAUUACAAAGUCUCUGCCUUGUUAGAUUCAGGAACCUCAACGUGUUUUUUAGAUGAAGAAUUUACUAAAAGACAUAGCAUAUCUUUAGUAAAGAAAACUAAACCUGUUCAUGUAGAAGUCAUAGAUGGUCGUCCAUUGUCUUCUGGAGAUAUUACUCACGAAACCCUUCCUAAAGAAGUAAUAAACAAUGAUCAUAAUAGUUUUGUAGUAUUUAAUAUCAUUAGAUCUCCCUCUAAUCCACUCAUUUUAGAUUUAUUGUGGUUAAAAAAAUACAACCCUCAAAUAGAUUGGAUUUCCCGAACUCUUACUUUUUCUAAAAAUAUAACUAACAAUGUAGUUAAUCAAGUAGAGAGUCAUAAGUCUAGUUCAAUUAAACCCAUAUUUAUAGGUGCAAAAGCUUUCUUGUAUGCUGCUAUGAAAGAAUCACCAUAUAUUAUUUAUGCCACACCCAUUUUUACUGGUGAAAAGACUUCAAGUGGCAUUCCAAGCCAAUAUCAAGAAUUUUAAGAUGUAUUUGAAAUAAAGAAUGUGGAUACACUCACGAAACAUCAUCCCUAUGAUUGUUCAAUUGACCUUCAAGAAGGAGCACAACCGCCAUUCGGACUAAUCUACAGUUUAUCACAAAAUGAGUUGGCUAAACUCAAGGAGUAUAUUAAAGAAAAUCUAGCCAAGAAUUUCAUACGCCAUUCUAAAUCUCCGGCAAGAGCUCCAAUUCUAUUUGUGAAGAAAAAAGAUAGAUCAUUGUGGAUGUGUGUUGAUUAUCGAGGACUCAAUAAGAUUACCAUCAAGAACAGGUAUCCAUUUUCUUUAAUAUCUGAACUUCUUGAUCAACUGAAUCAAGCUAAGAUCUAUACAAAAAUAGAUCUUCGGAGAGCAUACAAUCUAGUACGCAUCAAAGAAAAAGAUGAAUGGAAGACUACGUUUCAAACUAAAUAUGGACAUUUUGAAUACAACGUCAUGCCUUUUAGACUUACAAAUACACCAACAGCUUUUCAACAUCUAACGAAUGAUGUUUUUUGAGAGUUUUUGGAUGAUUUUGUGGUCUGUUAUCUAAACGACAUCUUGAUCUAUUCUAAGAAUCCAGAAGAUCAUGAACUUCAUAUUCGUCAUGUAUUACAAAAGGUAAGAGAUGCAGGACUCUAUGCCAAGAUAGAAAAGUGUGUACUCCACACUACUCAAGUCGAUUUCUUAGGUUACAUCAUUUCAAAUAAUGGACUUAUGAUGGAUCCUAAGAAAGUUCAAACUAUUAUAAACUAGAAGAUCCCAAAAACUGUAAGAGAUGUCUAAUGUUUUUUGAGAUUUGCCAACUACUAUCGGAUCUUCAUCAAAGACUUUUCUCGAGUUGUAGCUCUACUUACACGUUUGACUUGUAAAGACAAACUCCAAUGGAAUCAAAAAGCGGAAGUUGCUUUUGAAUCUUUGAAGACAACGUUUAUUUCUGCACCAAUCUUGUAUCAUGUUGAUUUUUCCAAAGCAUUCUUUAUGGAAACAGAUGCAUCGGACUUUACUUUGGGUGCAAUUUAAUCACAAAUGGGAACAGAUGACAAACUUCAUUCAGUAGCCUUUUGUGAUUGUUGUUUUACUUACUCUAACUUAUCUAAUCAGAGUAAACCUGUAUAGGGGAAUUCGAACACAGGGAAAGAAUAUCGCAUGAGCUUACACGUUAGGGUCACACAAUUAACUGUAUUCCGCACUACUUAAAACAUCCAGGAAACACUACAAUGCUUUCCUCUUCCUAAUAAUACUCCACCAUCACUGAUAACAACAUGUAAUCCCGCACUAUCCUAAAUGACAGGACAUAAUCAUACUAUAAUCCAAAUUCUGGAGUUCUUCACCAUUAACUGCCUUCACAUUACAGUGUUUCACACAAACACAGACUCAUUCUCUCUGCUCAACUACAUUCAGAUUUCAGCAUUCAAUCUCUCUUCUUCUCAUUCAAUAACAUAUAAUUCCAUUCACACUUUCAUUCCAUGAUUCACUUCACAAUAUUCAGAAACUCUCAAUACUCUUAUUUCAAAGAACAUAACAACAAAAGAAAAGAGGUAGCACCAAGCUUACCCCGGCUCACACUAUCACAGUAAUGGCCCCUACUUCCUCUCUCCCAUCCUCCUUAUGCUACCACGAGAUACCAACUGCUACAUCUCUAAUGAAAACUGCUUUUCCUAACUAUUCAUCCAUUUUACCUACUGAACUACCUUUUCAACAGUCAUCUAUCCCUGUUUACACUAUGAACUAAGUAUCUACAAUUCAACAAAUAACUACUUAUUCUACAUAGCCCCACUCCCAUCUGUGCAGCGUCCUCGCAAACAUAGAACCGAUACAUAACUAAAAAAAAAAAACUUCUCCAAAAUUUCUAUUUAUUUGAUAUAUCCAAUUGAUCAAUUACUACAUUAUCCAUUAUUGGUUCCACCGAUUCUGGCUGUAGUGGUACGUCUUCAUCCUCUUCCAAUAUUUCAAGCGACUCCUUUCUCAACUGGGCUGAAAGAUCUUCAUUGUAUUCUCCCAAUUCACGGAUCUGAGCUUCCAGUUUCAGGAUCUGGGCAUCGCGAAGUUCCAACUGAUGUUGCUGCGGACUCAUCCCUUCUGGGACAUCUUUAAUCGACACUUGAGAUUGGCUCCUCACAGUUAACUCUUCCGUCAGUUUUGACACCUCAUUUUGUAAAACUUCAAUUUCAGACCUCAUUUUCCCCGUUUCACAUCUCAAUUGGUCACACAAUAAAGCUUUCUCUGUCGCCAAUAACUCUGUCUUGUCCACUUCCGCUUGCAACUGGCAUUUGAACUUCUCCCGUUCCAAAUCCCAUGACUUCCUAUUCUGAAUCAAUUCGUCCCGUUGUCCUUCCACAAUCCGUGAAAUCUGUUCUUUUUCUUUUGUCCAAGCCUCAUAUUGGAGAACCAAUUUCCGCUCCAGGACCAACUUGACUUCUUCAAUUUCUUGAAUCCUCAGUUCUUGCUCCUUGAUUUUUUUAUUUUGAUCCGAUAUCCUUUUUUUACUGUCCUCCCAAUCCCGUUUACUUCUGUCUUCGACAUCCAAUGCUCGUACCAUACAAUGUAUUUGCGAAAUGUGCUUCAAUACGGCAUUUUUAAGAGAUACUCCUUCAGGGAAUCGACCCUCUGGAAACGCCAACUGGUUGAUAUCUAUCAAUAAUGGGACUUGAUUCUCCUCUUCCACCGCAAGACCACUUGGAACCCGUCUCGCUUCGAUAACCGGAGCUACCCCUUGAACCACUGUACGACUUGAUUCUCCAAUUUCGUGUAUUACAUCCGCUACAUUGUGAUUCUGUGCCAACAAAUUUCGUUCUCUCUGCAAAGGUGCUGACACUGGUAUAGGGUUUUCCUCUUCUGACGGUGGUUGACGCAAUGUGUGCGCGAUGACAGCAUACACAUAAUUUGAACAAAGCAAGGAUGUGAACUUCCCCAAUUUGAACUUGGCUCCUAUCUCCGCAUGAAUACGAGUAGCUACGUAAGCCGCCCAGUUGAACACCAUCCCCUCAAACGCCCCUACUGCUGCAUACAAUAAUCGUUUUGACACAUAUGUGGGGUGUCGGUACAAUCCUAACUGCCUCAGCACGAACCGCAACCAUUCCACAUAUUCUGGUGUAAUCGCCUCCUGAGUCCGCCAUCCUUGGCUCCUUUCAAAGGAUGACAUUCCUCCCUUGAAAUAUCUACCUGGGCUGAAAUCGCCUGACUCAUCAGUCCCAACUGCCAUCUCUCCAAUGGGAAGAAACAACACCUUUUCCAGGAUUGUUUCAUCAAUCCCAAUAAUUCGCCCUUGAACGACACUCGAUCCAUCCUCGGGGUCGUAAUUCUCAAUGUAUUCCUCCACUAAUGACACAUUGAUUGAUGGUAAACGCUCUGAAUGGUGCAAAAACUGGAACAGCUUCGCAGUCCGAAAAUCCCUUAUUUUUCUCUGCGUCCAACAGAUUUCUAACUUCAUCGGCUCCAUAUUGGUAACGAUUAUCACAGCCGGUGGUUUUGCUGUGCGUUUAGCUCUCACAUUCUGGCCACUUUCAUCUCUGUCUAUAGCUCUCUUGGUACUUUCAAUCGCCAUGACUCAAACGCUUACAGGUCCUAACCGUCAAUGCCACUCUCCAGUCUGCCCGAAACACUAAAAUGAGACACAAGUAAGCAACAACAUAAUAUAACACCACAGAAUAACCCUUAGUAGGAGCCCCACUCCUAUUCUAUUACCUAGUGAUGAGAGCGACAACAUGGUACCCAUACUGUCCAUUUCUCACUUCCUUCGCAUCUGACACAAUAGUGAUUACUACAUAUCCUUGCAGCCACCUCUACGUCUUAUACCAUAAUUAGGUCCCUCCUGAGUCCAUUCGAAGUCCCCUCCCCUCAAAUGAAAUAAAACCCGUCCCGGGUUUUAGGUAUUAUAUAACCGUAAAUGAUUUCCAUUAAUGCGGGUACUGAAACGAUGGCCCGUGAAAUCCUCCAAUUGAACAGACCCAUUGGAAAAUCCUUCAAUUACGCGAUAUGGCCCAUGCUAGCGAACUUGAAAUUUUCCCGGAAAAUGGUUGAAUCGGCUGUCAUACAGCAAUACCAAAUCAUUGGGCAUAAAACACUUCGGCCGCAGUUUACUAUCAUAGUAACUCUUCCUCCGUUUUUGAGUGGCUUCCAUGUGGAAUAGAGCGACAGCCCGUAUUUCAUCCAAUUCCUCCAAUUUCAUCAACCGAGAGUGUAAUGACUCAGUGUCACUGAGGCGUUCGUCUAAGGCAAUUCGUAAACUGGGAACCUCCAAUUCGAUAGGUAAAAUUGCCUCUUGACCGUAAACUAAUUGGAACGGAGUAGAGUGGGUAGUUACCUUAUAGGCGGUACGAUAAGCCCACAAAGCUGCAAAGAGUUUGGUCUCCCAAUCAGUACCGGCCCCUGAAAUUGUCUUAGUCAAGACUUUGCACAAAAUGCCAUUGGUCUUUUCCGUUUGCCCAUUGGCACGAGGAUGGUAGGGAGUGGUCUUACGAUGCUUGAUCUCAUAUGUGGUCGUCAAGGCGGCGAUGGUAGCAUUGAUGAAAUGGGUGCCUCGAUCGCUGACCAAUUCCUUGGGACACCCAAAGCGAGUGAUAAUAUUCUCAUACAGAAAAGUUGCCACCGUACUGGCAUUAUCGGUGCGGGUAGCAAUCGCCUCUGCCCAUUUGGUGACAUAAUUGGUGGCGACUAAGAUAUACCGCUUUUGACCAGGUUUUGACGCUGGUGCAAUGGGACCAACAAAAUCAAUACCCCAUUUUUCAAACGGAACCUGGGCCAAGAUUGGGACUAACGGCAUGGCGGAAGUACCCGUAGGUCGACCAAUUCGUUGACAAGGAUCACAACGGCGAACGAACUGGUGGGCAUCAGAAAACAUUGUGGGCCACCAAUAUCUGGCCAUUAAAGCCUUGCGGGCAGUGCUGUCUCCCGCGAAAUGACCACCACAACUAUCCAAAUGACAACCUGUAAGUAUCGACUGUACUUCACUGGGAAAGAUACAGCGCCGUAAAAGACCAUCGCGUCCUUGUUUAUACAAAGCAUCACGAAUCAUCGUGUAUGGGGCACUCUUCAGAAUAAGGCGCUUCUUAAGCUUGUCCGUGAAAGUCGGCGGAAAAGUAUGGAAGGUCAGAAACUGAAUAAUUUCGCUAUACUCGGGGGAUAUCACAUCCACCACAAAUAAUGCGGCGUCGGGAAGAUCAUCGGGAACAGGCUCGUUGCCGAGAAUAUUAGACAACCGGGAUAAAUGAUCUGCGUUCGCAUGUUGCUUCCCAGGUCUGACAACCACCGUAAAAUUGAACUCCUGGAGGAGUAAGACCCAGCGAGCAAUGCGCCCACUCAAUUGAGGCUUAUUAAUCAGAUAUUUGAGGGCAUCAUGAUCCACAUAAAAUACAAACGGAUACCCAAGCAAAUAGUGCCGAAAUUUUUUAACCGAGUAUAUCAUACCCAACGCCUCUCGUUCAGUAGUAGUAUAGUUGCGUUCGGCAGCCACCAAUUGUCGACUGGCAUAAUAUAUUGGAUGAUCGAAUCCCUUAUCAUCCUUCUGGCUUAACACCGAGCCAAUAGCAACAUUGGAUGCAUCAACAUACACAUGAAAUGGCUUUGUCCAACAAGGAGCCACCAAUAUUGGUGCAGAGACCAAUUUUGACUUUAAGACCUCGAAGGCUACGGUACACUCCUUGGUCCAGAGGGGACUAGUACCAUCGGACGGAGGUUUCUUCAGUAAGUUCGUUAAAGGUUGACAAAUAACCGCAAACGAACUUAUAAAUCGUCGAUAAUAACUGACAUGACCAACGAACCCUCGAACACCGGAGACUGUCUCCGGUCUGGGCAAGUUCAUGAUAUGCUGCACUUUGUCAGGAUCUGUAGCAAUACCACGACUGGAAACAAUAUGGCCCAAUAAUUUUCCGGACGGAACACCAAAUUGGCACUUCUCCGAAUUCAACGAUAUUCCAAAUUUGGCACACUGAGCCAAACAUUUGCCUAAACAAUGAAGAUGAUCUUGUUUGGUACUGAAUGUACAAAAGUCAUCUAAAAAGAUCUCCAUAAACAGUCGGAGAUAAUCUUGAAAAGCCUGAGUCAUCACGCGUUGGAACGUGGCUGGGGCGUUACAUAACCCGAAAGGCAUCACGCGAUAAGCAAAUGUGUCCCAAUCCGUAGUAAAGGUUGUCUUGAGCUGGUCUUCUUUUGCAAUUUGAACUUGAUUAUACCCGGAGAAACCAUCGAGAAAUGAAUAGCAUUCGUGACCGGCGACGGCGUCCAAUAUACUAUCCGUGAAUGGUAACGGAAAGUAAUCUUUCUUAGUGGCUGCAUUAAGUUUUCGGAAAUCUUGACAAAUUCAGAUUUUUCCGUUCUUUUUCGGCACCAUCACAAUUGGAGAAACCCACUCACUAUUCGGUACCGGGUAAAUGAAACCCACCGCAAGAAGCUUUUCCAAUUCUUCCUUCACCAUAAGGGAAUAUUUAGGAUUAAGGCGAUGUUGCCUCUGGCGUACCGGUUUAGCGUUUUCUUCCAAUAUGAUACGAUGUUCACAGACAUCAGCGGGGAUACCUUGUAGAUCAUUAUAAGUCCAAGCAAAAGCGGAUUUAUGAUGUAAGAAAAAGUCUGUCCAACAGGUCAACUCUUGUUCCUUAAUACCUUCGUAGACCUUAAUUAGCCGAGGUUCGGCCGUGGUCGCUAAGUUAAUAGUUUGACAUACAGGGUCAGCAACAAUACUCUGUUUCAAUUCCCGCAGUGAUUUAAAGUUACUCGGUAUGUCCGACAUAUGCGAAGUAACGAAUCCCGUCUCGAGGGCACUAACAUGGUGCACAUCGUACCCAGGUUUCCAGUCAAUACUUACAUAAGCAGAGUUUUCCGAAUCCUUCGGGUAUAUCAAGUACUCCCCCGGACCUCCACAUUGGUACACCACCUCAGGGUGCUGUGCUGCCUCCACAUUGGCCUCCGUACUCGGUACUUCUGUGUCAUCAUCGGAGCUAAGCCCUUCGUCCGACGUCAAUUCAGAUACUGACAACUGAGACUCCCCGUGAUAGCGUACUGGGUACAUUUGUAACACCAUUUUAUCUACGCCCUUACCAAUUGUCAAAGUACCUCGACCCCAAUCGUUCUUGGCCUUCGCUUGAUACAGCCAGGGUCGUCCCAAUAAAAUAGGGUACGAUAAAGUCGAACGUUGUAAGCGAAAGACAAUGUAGUCAAUUUCAUAGACAAUACCUGCAAUUAUAGUUUGAACACUCCGUACAAUACCCAUUGGCUUAACUCGGCUAUGAUCUGCCAUCCGUAAUACCAAUGUCGUGGGGACUAAUUGUUCCAGACCUAAAGCAUCCAUUGUAUCAGCGUUCAUUAAAUUGACGCUGGAACCUCCAUCUACCUGGACGCCAGAGAUCCGAACACCAUCAAUCGAAACAUCAAUGGUUGGUGCACCUGGAUCAGGGUUCAAACUAACUUCACAAACUUCCAUAUUACGAUGCCGAUGUCUUGUUAGGGAUGAAUUCAAGGUGGAACGACACUCUGGUGCGACUGCUAGAAGUUGCUUCAUAGAGAUUGAAGGCCGAAUAGCGUCCAAAUCCUUUAAAAUAUCAUAGGGUUCCAUAUUUAGGGUAAUUCCCAAUGCCCUCUUCCGUUUCAUGGGUUUGAGCUUAACUCCGUGAGGUAAUUUAUUCUGCCGCCCUGGACUUGGAAUUGGAACAGCAGAUUGAGCUUCCUUGGGACUUCCUUUCCCAAGGGGAUCUUUCAACGGGUAUGAUGCUUCUUGGAACUGCGGUGGGAACAGACCGGUUCGAGACGGAACUGAAGACUCCGUAAUUGGGACCUCAUUGGGCUUCGCAACCAAAUCAGGGCUCAAGACUUUCCCAGUUUCCGGGCCUGAAUGGGAUUUGUCCGUAAUUGGGUGUGAUUGGCCCUUCGCUUUAGGAUCUUCCAAAUGUUUAAUUGGGCCUUUCCCUUUUUGCUGGCUCCUAGUAAGAACGGUAUGGACACAUUCCACCCGAUUUACUGGAGAGUCUUGAGGUCCUCGAUUUAUUCCCUCCAUUUUUCCUGGACUCUGGAUCUGCUGAUCCCGAUUAUUGAAAUUGAAUGGAGCAUUACAUUGCUGAUACGUAUGCCCUGACUGCUUGCAAUUCCCACAAACUGGGGCAUAAUCGUCACUGACUCUUGGAUUGGGACAUUCAUUGGCAUAAUAACCAAUCUGUCUACAACGGAAACAACGCAAUGGCCUUUUUGCACCCCCAUCAGGCAUAUUGGGUGUCUCCACCGGUAUAUACCUACUAGGUUUGUUCCAUGUAGGUUGAGAAAACGAUCCUGGUUGUCCCGGUUGUACUUGGUUCAAUGGCAUCGAUGGAGCAUAUGGCUGAUACCCAUGCUGCUCCUUACCAUAGUUCCGAGGAUUUGAUACAAACCCCUCACUAUAAGUGGAAUUCUGAAAAUGAUUGACUGCUCGAUUUUGUCGGUUAGAUCGAUUUCCAUGCCAUCCUAACGUAUUUCCUGUUUGAACUUGAUUGACAUCCCAUGGAGUUGGUGGAAUCAUGGUCGGAUUACUGAAUUGUUGUUGUCUUUGCAAAUUCCAACAAUUAGCGGUUAAGUACUUGCCUCCACAAAAUGUACAUUUACCCAACACUUGUGAAGGUGACGGGCAUUCCGUUACUAAAUGACCGUGGCCCUGACAAUUACUGCACCAUACAUUGGUCCUAGUAUUGGUUGGCUUUUGCCUCUUCUCCUUAUCUUUGGCCAUAUUAACGGCCAUUUCCUCCAUUUUCUUCGUCAAGUUCAAUAACAAGGCUUCAUUGGAAUCUUUUGAAGCUGAUAUUAUUUGUUUUUCCGCCAAAGUUGACUCGUGUGUUUGAUAUGGAAAAUAUGGGGCAUACGCUGUUGUUACUUGCGGUGGUAAAGCUUGCAAUGGGGUAACAUUAACUGGCCCCUGAGUAUUGGCACUUGACUGGGCAACUGUUUCGAUCAUCUGUGGAUAACUACCCACUGAUCCGUUCAAAGCCGGAUAUUGAUAAUUGCUUUGAACUGGUAUCAUCGUGGCACACGCAGUUAAAAACUGAUCAUAAUGGCAUUCCUCCCAAACCUUGGCUCUAUCAAGGGAUGCAGAUAUCGUAACUGGUUGAGCUUCUUUUACAAACAUUUUUAGCUCUGGUGGGUGCAAACCAUUUAUUAAUAUAGAUAAUAUAAAUGCCUCCGGCAUUUGGUGGUUCGGCCACUUACUAAGUAUAUCAGCCACUCGGCCAUAGAACGAUUCCACCGCCUCUCCUAGGAUCAUUUUGCUGUUCAUUAACCUUCCUCGAAGACGGUCUUCAAAACCAAUUGGUCGAAAACGGGUCAAAAAUGCAUUCUUCAAUGCUUCCCAGUUCGAAAAUUGACCAACUGGUUGACGGUUAUACCAUUCAAACGCCGUAUCCUUUAAGGUUGCUGGCAACCAUCGUAACCAAAUAUCCUCGGUUCUCCCAUUAUUGGCGACACAUGCUGUCAAAAACUGCGACAAAUGUUGAUCUGGAUCCGCACCCGGAAAACCCCUAAAGGUAGGUAAUGGAGCCACGCUAGUUGUGCGAUCACUCACAGUACCCAUUUGUACUGCUAUGGGAACCGCUGGACCUCCCGUCGUCAUUGAAUUUGAUAAUGUGACACUUAAUCGUUUGUUAAUAUAGUCUGCGUCUCUCCUAAAUAUAUUUUCCGAACUUUCCACCCUGCUCAAUUUGCUAUUAUUAUCCUUGAACAAGUUUAUUGGUUGAAUAGGAGGUGAGAAUGACGGAUUUUGAAACACACUGAAUUGGCCCUUAUUGACCAAUAAUUUAUGCCACUCUAUGGAACCAGUUUUGACGGAAUCGGCAGUUUCCGCUAUUGGAAACGUACCCAAUGGAGUACCCAACUCUUCUGUGAUUCCCCCACUCUCAGUUAACGGUCUCAGAAGAAACCCUGGCCUAUUGAUCAAAUUUUCAGCAAGUGCUCUUGGUAAUUUCUCUAACGGUAUAUACUUCUGAAAUAUUAGAUGUCGAUUAGCUUCUGGGUAUGCUCGAAUAUGACGACAGGCAUGCAACCAUGGCUUAAUCCAGCUUUGUCUAUGAUUCCUUUUUAACUUUCUUUGUUGCUCGUUUCGCAACAAAUUUCUUGCUUGCGAUCUCUCUAUUCUUUCUCUUGACUGCCGUAUUUUCUUUACUGUUAAGUUCUCAUUCUUAAUAACCAUACUCUUUCAUUAUAUUCUUCUGCGACUGCUACCUAUUUCCCAUCUACUUCAACCGGCAGUUAAAACCUAACACUCCAUGCUAUUAUCAAUUUCCCCGGCAGCGGCGCCAAAAUGUGAUUGUCGUUUUACUUACUCUAACUUAUCUAAUCAGAGUAAACCUGUAUAGGGGAAUUCGAACACAGGGAAAGAAUAUCGCAUGAGCUUACACGUUAGGGUCACACAAUUAACUGUAUUCCGCACUACUUAAAACAUCCAGGAAACACUACAAUGCUUUCCACUUCCUAAUAAUACUCCACCAUCACUGAUAACAACAUGUAAUCCCGCACUAUCCUAAAUGACAGGACAUAAUCAUACUAUAAUCCAAAUUCUGGAGUUCUUCACCAUUAACUGCCUUCACAUUACAGUGUUUCACACAAACACAGACUCAUUCUCUCUGCUCAACUACAUUCAGAUUUCAGCAUUCAAUCUCUCUUCUUCUCAUUCAAUAACAUAUAAUUCCAUUCACACUUUCAUUCCAUGAUUCACUUCACAAUAUUCAGAAACUCUCAAUACUCUUAUUUCAAAGAACAUAACAACAAAAGAAAAGAGGUAGCACCAAGCUUACCCCGGCUCACACUAUCACAGUAAUGGCCCCUACUUCCUCUCUCCCAUCCUCCUUAUGCUACCACGAGAUACCAACUGCUACAUCUCUAAUGAAAACUGCUUUUCCUAACUAUUCAUCCAUUUUACCUACUGAACUACCUUUUCAACAGUCAUCUAUCCCUGUUUACACUAUGAACUAAGUAUCUACAAUUCAACAAAUAACUACUUAUUCUACACCUUUCAUUCAAGAAAAUUCUCAGCAGCAGAAAUCAAUUAUGAGAUCCACGAAAAAGAACUUCUUGCAAUUGUGGAUUCUUUUCAAGAAUGGCAUCAUUAUCUAGAAAGCGCUUCGAGUCCAGUCACCGUGUAUACGGAUCAUAAGAACCUUGAAUAUUUUAUGUCAGCACAUGUAUUAAAUCGACGCCAAGCUCGUUAGAACAUGUCUUUAUUAAGAUUCGAGUUCAUCAUCACUUAUCGGCCAGGAAAACAACAAGGUUUGUCCGAUGCCUUGUCUAGAUGUUCUUAUCUUGCACCAAAAGAAAGAGAUGCAGCUUUUGAGCAACAAAGAACGGUUCUCUUGAAGCCGGAGCAAUUUCAUCUUCGAGCAAUAAAAUCAACAUUGACUGUUGAUUUAACUUUUAUUAAGCAAGUCCAGUUAAGUAUGUCUUUAGACCCUCUUGUUCAUGAUAUCAAGAAUAGUUUUUCUAAAUCUCAUGAUCUCUCUAAAUUUGAAUUCAAGAACAACCUACUCUAUUUUGAAGGAAUUCUAUAUAUUCCAAAAGAAGAAGCACGUUGUCGUGUUGUAACACGAGUAUACCGUGAAAAUAUAAAGAAAGGGGACUUUUAUUAAUAUUUAGUUACCUCGAAUAUUGGGGGCAACGACCAAUUCCAGUGCAAAUACUGGGAGGCCAGGGUCAGUCACCCCGUUAUAGUCAACCGGGGCAUACUGAAAUGCUCCGUUCGAUUCCAAUAACAGGAGUCAGUACAAAAAGGAAAAGGACCAAUUCAACAAUGGAUGAGCCUGGUUCCAAGAGCCAAUUGGAUCCAAUUUCAAGACAUCCAAUCCAAAUCUUACUACGGGCCUCUCAGCCAAUCUGACGCGAAGGACCAAUUUGACCCAGUUACGGGAACAUCCAGGUCUUACUACGGCACUCUUAGCCAAUAUGAGACCUGAAUUGGUCGGGCGACUCAAUGUGGUCUCAAUUACGGGGUUUUGAUUCCGUUUCAGGCUCUCCUGUUCUCUGUGCCAUUUUAGGGAACGUUAUUUUCGGUAAAAAGAUCUCUUAAAGGUAAAAAUGGAGAAAAAAGCUCUGACGACGGGAGCCAAUUUUGGAUCCAAGCUCUGACGACGGGAACCAAUUUUGGAUCCAAGACGAAAGAUUGAAAAAAUUCAGAAUUAAGGUUAAGAAAUGAGAGGGGAGAGGGGAGAGUUUUUUUUUGAAAAGGAUCAGAGAGCUAGCUGUAUGCUUCGGGCAGGGAAAAAAGACAGAGAAUCGGAUUUUUUUUUUUCUUCAUAGGGUUUUGGGAAGACUGAGGCAAUCGUUGCUGAAGUCAGUGUUGUAAUGGUGAAUUGGGAUUUUUAAUGAAGUGGGUUUGAUUACUCUUGACUGUUUUGUGAAAUCAAGUUACGUCUGUGAUUGAAGAAUUAAAAGGAUAUCUAUAGGACUGAGUAUGCGGAGUGAAUGAAAUUUAUCGGGUUAAUCUCACAAGACAGUCAGUGGAUACAAGAUGGUGAGUAUAAAGCAGUAUCGAAGAUUAGCAGUUUGAGUUGUUCGGGGUUCUCUGCAACAUCUAGAGACCUACCGGCUGGGGCAAAAAGGACUUCCGCAAGCAGUCGAAGGGCAUCCGUAUAGAUUUACGGUGUAUUCUUGCAGUCAUUUAUAUUCCAACAGUUAAUAACCGAUAGACUGCUUGAAUAUUGGCAAAUCUCUAUACUACCUUCUACAGCGCGACACCCGGCACGUUCUUGAGCAAAAAAGCACGUAAUACGACAACGUUUACGUAUUCUUCAAGCUUGUCACGACUUCCCAACAAUAGGACAUUUUGGAUAUAAUAAGACUUUAGAGCUGAUAUCUAGGGAUUUUUGGUGGCUUCAAAUGUGGAAGGCAGUCAAAGAGUUUGUACAAUCAUGUGAUAUUUGCACAAGAUCAAAAACUCCUCGUCAUCGACCUUUUGGACUUCUUCAGCCAUUAUCCAUUCCAGAACAACCAUGGUCUUCUGUUUCUAUGGACUUCAUCACGGAUCUUUCAAUCUCAGGUUCUUAUGACUCUAUAUUCAUGAUAGUAGAUCAUUUUACUAAGAUGGCACAUUUUGUACCAUGUACAAAAUCUAUCACAUGUAAAGAAACAGCUAAACUCUUUCUUGACAAUAUCUAUCACUAUCAUGGAUUAUCCAAGGAUAUUAUAUCAGAUAGGGGAACUCAAUUUAUAUCAAGAUUUUGGCGGACUCUUUUUCAAGAUUCUUAAAGUGGAUAUAAAACUAUCUUCGGCAUUCCAUCCUCAAACUGGUGGACAAACGGAGCAUGUUAAUCAAGUUUUAGAGCAAUAUUUAAGAUGUAUCAUUAAUUACCAACAAGAUCAUUGGAUAACUCUUUUGCCAUUGGCAGAGUUUGCUUACAAUAACAUGAUACAUUCUUCUACAAAACAAAUACCUUUCUUUGCUAAUUAUGAUUAUCAUCCAUCGCUUAAUACUUUUGACUUUUCAAAAGUUGAUAAUCCUGCUGCGAAAGAUUUGGCAAUUCAUUUAUCAGAGCUACAUGCAACGAUGAAGGCGCAGUUAAAAGAGGCUCAAGAACAACAAAAGGUCAAUGCGGAUGUCUAUCGAAAGGAACAACCAUCAUUCCUCUUGGGUGAUAAGGUAUGGCUACUUCGUCGUAAUAUCAAGACCACUCAUCUUUGUGACAAGUUGGACUAUCAAAGACUUGGACCAUUUUCUAUUUCUACACAAAUCAAUCCAGUUGCAUAUCGUUUACAUCUAUCGGAGUCAAUAAAAAUCCAUCCAGUAUUCCACAUGUCUCUUCUUGAACCAUACAAGAUAGUGGACAUACCAAGAAGACGACAAGCUCCACUUCCUCCUAUAGAAGUGGACAAUAAUGAAGAGUUUGAAGUAGAAGAAGUCUUAUAUUGAAGGCGGUGCCGAAAUAAAUUAGAAUAUCUUAUCCAUUGGCGCGGAUAUGCUAUUAGUGAAUGCACAUGGGAGCCAAUAACGAAUCUUGCAAAUGCAGCAAAGUCGGUGGAGGCUUUUCAUCGACGACAUCCAUCAAAAUCAAGAUGAAAAACUUCUUUACAAAAAAAACAACAUCUAGGCAAGAUAAUAUUCUACUUUCAAUUCUUGUUCGUAGCUUCUUUGUAGAAGUGACGCUCAGGAGAUGGAGAACCAACAACCAGCGGAUUCGACUCAAGAGCCUUCAUUUGCUAACUUGCCAGAUGAGACAUUACGAUUUUCACAACCUUUAAGAUGACGCAAUCAAGAUGAAGAUCUUCAAGAACGACAUGUUCUUCCUCGAAUAGAUGGCGAGAUACAACACGUUUGGUAUCACGAUUUGGGAAGGGACUCCCGAUGUAUGGUGAUUGUGUUAGAGGUAGGAACAACUCCUGAUGGUGUUUCAAAUAUUCUAUUCAAAGGAAGUUACGAAGGCCUCAACAAUGAUUAAAUAACUGGGUGGUUGUCCCGCCCUGAUAUGGGACACUACCGAUGGUUGAGAGGCCCUAUCAAUCAUCUUCAAAGAGAUCAAAGAUCAGAGUUUGUGGUGAAUACAAUUCAUCGCAUCAUAGAUUUCCUCAACAUAUGAUGACCGCUCCUCGUGGAACUCGUCCCUAGAAGGGGGGGUAAUGUCACGGACAUAAUCAUGAAAGAUAAUAAUUACAUAUACAAAUAGGUAGAAGUAAGUAAAAGUAGCUAAAAAUAAGUUAAUUCUAUAGUAUUUAAUAUGAAAGCUUCCUAGAAGCUUCAUAGACGCUGCUUUGAUUUCAUAGGUGUCUUUAAUUGACUUUUUGGAUUAGAAACGUGGUCAACAAGUUGGCCAUGUGCCACACAUGUUGUUAGCUUGAAGAUCAAGCUAACUAUGUGGCCCACACAUAAAAAAACUUGCCUUGUAAGUCAAGGCAUGUGUUCUACAAAGUCAACACAUAUUAGAGGUCCUAUAGAACGUCGCCACAUAGCCCCUAGUUAGAUAGUAUAUAUAGAGACAAGAGUGAAGGCUUCUUCACUCUUGUCAAUUCCUUUCUUGCUUCUAGUCUAGUUUCAAGGGUCUCUAGUUUCUUUGUCUUUUGGCAAUAGCCAUUCCAGUUUUUCUUUCAAUAUACAUACUUGUUUAUUUAUAUUUUGUUACCUUUCUUUGAGUGAAGGCUCACUUGUCUGAAUUGUUUUUUCAUCGAGUUCUUGUCCUUGACAUUGCCAUGCAACUCAUAGUUUGAUAGUAUAUAUAGACGCAAAUGUAGAGCUUUCUUGAUUCUUGUCAAUGCUUUUCUAAUUCUUAGUCUUAUUUCAAGACUUUCUAGUCUUCUUAUCUUUGGUAAUAGUCAAUUUAGUUUAAUAUAUUAUCAUCUUUGAAUGAUUUUUAAGUCUUUUUGAGUGAUACAAGAAUAUAUUGGGAUUUUUUUCUUUCAUGAUUCAUAUCUUUGAUAUGAAGUAGAAUACAAACAAGAUCUUACAAUAUAAAACUAAGUAUUUACAAUAAAUGAAUUUUUUUUGUAGAAUGAAAAAAAAUAGAAAAUUAUUUAAAUGAGAUUUUUUCUUACUAUAAAUUUUAUAUAAAAAUAAAAAAAAUUUUAAAAUAUAUAAAGAUAAAAAUACUAAAAAAUAGUUUAGUGCUAAUAUUAAUAACUAGAUUGUUGAUAAACUCAAAGUUAAAAAUUAUUUUAAGAAGUAGAAUAAAUAUAAGUGAGAUUUUUAAUUUUAAUUGAAUUUUGUUGUUACUAUUGCUUUAAAAAUAAAUCAUUGCUUAAAACAUAAAUAAGAUUUUUUAAUAGUUGAUUUUAAGAAAUUAAUUAAAAUUUUAAUUUUCUUUUUUAAUUCUAAUAAUAUCGUUUGAUUAUGAUGAUAAUUCAAAUUUUUAAAUGUCAUUAGUAAUUUGUGUUUUUAAUUUGUUGUUAUUGUAGUUUAAAAAUUUGAGUUCAAAUAAAUGAUUCAAUUAAAACAUAUAAAUAUUUAAUUAGAUUAGGAUCUUAGAAUUAAGAUUUCAAGAAUAAAUGAGGGUUUUUUUGAUCUUAAGCAAUAAGCCUAUUUAAUUGAAAUGAUUUUAUUUAAGCUAAUAAAGAAAUUAUUUUUCUAUAAUAAUGUCAAGUUUAAGGCCAUGUAACUAGUUUAAUAAAGAGCUUUUGUUGCUAAUAAAUUAACUUACAGGUUUCUAAAGUAGGACAUUAAAUAUUCAAAAAAAUUAAAAUAUAAUAUAUAUAUAUAUAUAUAUAUAUUAAAAAAUAAGUACAAUUUUAUUUAUAGAUCAUUUGAAAGCUAUUAAGCUAUUACAAUGUUGACAAGAACUCUUGCUUAUCUAAAUUGUCUAUUGUUGUGUCUUUAAAAUUUAGGUGAGUUAUCUUGCAUUCCAACCAAAUGGUUGUGAGCACAAAUUAGUCAACAUAAACACAAUCCUUGCUCAAUGAAAAAAUCUUGAAUUCCGUCGCAUGAAAAUGUAUUGAAUUCAUGAUUAACAUAUCUCAAAUGAAAAUGAAAAAUGAAAAAAGGACAUUGUUUGAAUUCACCUGUCCACGAAAUUUAUAGUGGAUAUUAGAAGUUUUCAAUCAAUAGGAGCAUUACAUGCCGUAAUCAAAUUGUUGAAUAAUGAAUAACAAAUGCUGUUAAUUCACAAUCACAAAACUUGUCUACACAUAUGCAAAGCUUGUGUUUGUAAAGCAUGGAAAUGUUUUACACAGAAAUUGCAUUUAAUAUCUGCCUGGGUCAUGAGCUGAUACGUAUAAGUUAAAUUCCAUUCUUUGUGAAAGCGUCUAUUUGAAUGUAAAUCAACUAUCUCGCUCUCGUGAGGUUCUUUAAUAUAUCCAAAUGGUCAUGCCACAUGUCAAAGACCGCGGUAAAGUCUAACAAUAAGACUCUCCAAUCGAUGGUCAAAAUUGGCAAUGCACAUGUGUCAUGGCUCUAGACACCCCCGUCAUCAUAUGGCCAUACAGUAUUGGUUCACAAAUAGGAAAAUGCUGCAUUUCCACUCAGACGGAAACAUGUUCCAGUAUGAGCUAAUAAUGGCAAACCCACCGGACGAUUCCCUUACGAUUUAUAUUUGAAGUGAAGAAUCUAAAGUCUGCAGCUGUUCGUUGACAACCAUACGGACCAAUUGUCAUAGUUCCCUAGGAUUUUGAAAGUGGAUUGUGACGUCUUCGAAGCUUCAUGCGGAUGGUCCGAACAAGCCAGCAGCCGAAGUAAACUCCAGGUCAUCUCAAAAGGCUGUCAACGUUGAAAGAAACCAACAGGCGCCUGGAAAAGGAACAAAAGCCGCAAGAAAAAAGUCGCCAAGACUGCACUGUUCCUGUCGAAGUCCUACAUCAUUCAACGCUCUUCCCUGGCUUGUGGGCCACCACAUUCACUCUGCACACUCCCCUCAUCUAGAAAGCGAUGCUGAAUGAAGCUGCACAACAGAGAACUUCUCUGUGCACUCAACGCAUUCAGGAAGUGUAGCAGAUAGAGCAACAAACUUGUGAGCUAACAGAUUCAGAGCGAGACGUCUGCUCAACUCGGGCCACCUUCUCGCCGGCACAUUGUGCGUUGCAUAUAAGCCCCCUGAUUUUGGCAGGUUAAGAGAUCCUAGGCAGUGGCUGCAGGGCCAGUUCACCGGAACAAAUUGAACGCUCAUUGUCCGGCCGCUUCGAGACAACCCCGAGUGAGCAGCUCGGACUCAACAUCCAUUCCGAACCCAAACGUGCCCAUGGCACCAAGCGGAGAAGUCGACGUUCAGGGUGCUGCCACAAGGAGCGCGCUUCCCAGAGGCCAGCCUCGCGCUGAGGGACCAGCAUGUGUGUUGGGCGUCGGCACUGCGGUGCCUCCCGCGGAGUUCCUGCAGAGCGAGUACCCCGACUUCUUCUUCAACAUCACCAACUGCGGCGAGAAGGACGCCCUGAAGGCCAAAUUCAAGCGCAUCUGUAAGUCCACCUCCACCGUGUGACUCUCUUCGCGGCUCGUGAUGUGCUCACUGUUCCCUGUGGGCCGGCCCUCACCCCCAGCCGCGCUCGACGACGUGCUCAUUGCACGGGCUGCGCGGCGCGAGCGCAUUAGAAUUGCGACUUGUGAUUUGUUGCGGGCGUCGAGAUGGGAAUGCGGCGGUCGCGAUGUUCCUGAAAUUGGGUCGAUUCCGGCCCCUUACGACGGCAGCUGACGCUUGGCCAUGAAUGUCGAUGCAGGUGACAAGUCGGGGAUCCGCAAGCGCCACAUGUUCCUCACGGAGGAGGUGCUCAAGGCCAACCCCGGCAUCUGCACGUACAUGGAGCCCUCCCUGAACGUCCGCCACGACAUCGUCGUCGUCCAGGUCCCCAAGCUCGCCGCGGAGGCAGCCCAGAGGGCCAUCAAGGAGUGGGGCGGCCGCAAGUCUGACAUCACCCACAUCGUGUUCGCCACCACCAGCGGCGUGAACAUGCCCGGAGCCGACCACGCCCUGGCCAAGCUGCUGGGCCUGAAGCCCACGGUGAAGCGGGUCAUGAUGUACCAGACCGGGUGCUUUGGCGGUGCUUCCGUGCUCAGGGUGGCCAAGGAUCUGGCGGAGAACAACAAGGGCGCCAGGGUGUUGGCGGUGGCCAGCGAGGUCACGGCCGUCACAUACCGCGCACCCAGCGAGAACCACUUGGACGGCUUGGUGGGCUCGGCCCUGUUCGGCGAUGGCGCCGGAGUGUACGUGGUGGGAUCCGAUCCCAAGCCGGAGGUGGAGAAAGCACUGUUCGAGGUGCACUGGGCGGGCGAGACGAUCUUGCCAGAGAGUGAUGGAGCCAUUGAUGGGCAUCUGACGGAGGCGGGGCUCAUCUUCCACCUCAUGAAGGACGUGCCAGGGCUGAUCUCCAAGAACAUCGAGAAGUUCUUGAACGAGGCCAGGAAGUGCGUCGGUUCGCCCGAUUGGAACGAGAUGUUCUGGGCGGUGCACCCGGGAGGCCCGGCCAUUCUGGACCAGGUGGAGGCGAAGCUGAAGCUGACCAAGGACAAGAUGCAGGGGAGCAGGGACAUACUGUCGGAGUACGGCAACAUGUCGUCGGCGUCGGUGUUGUUCGUGCUGGAUCAGAUUCGCCAGAGGUCGGUCAAGAUGGGGGCGUCGACGCUGGGAGAGGGCAGCGAGUUUGGCUUCUUCAUUGGAUUCGGUCCGGGGCUCACCCUGGAAGUGCUGGUCCUCCGGGCCGCGGCCACCGUUUGAGCGGCGUCCUAAUGGCGUUGUUCGACCGUGGUGACUAUUUGGAAGGUCAUUUGUCAUUGUACCCUCCGAAUCGAGGUCUAGAGAGCGCCCCUUGGUACAUUAUUCUGAUUAGAAGCUACCUUGACCGUUUCGUAGUUGAUUUUUUGCAUCAGGGCUUUCUCUGUCAUUUCAGUGAAGUUAAGCCGCAGAUAUCCAUUCCAUCCAUUCAAAUCACGCUACUCCGAAGAAAUUAUAGAUAGUGUAAACUGUAUCAUAAUUCAAUACCCUGUCACGAGUUAAAGUUACAAUUUUUUUUGUCAUGUCCCCGAAUUCUUGGAGGAGGAUUGUUCCAAAUGGAUUUUACACUGCACUGAAAUUUGCAGUUUUGGGGAGUAUUGUUGGAGUUGAGAAGUGAAUGCAUCAUGCCCGCGUCUAGUGAGAAGAAGCACACGUUGAUUGCAAUGUAAUUGACGCUCCGCCGCAGCAAUACUUGUUGUGCCCUACAUUUGCAACAACACAAAAUGCUUACCAACUGUGCGCAUUUGCGUUGCAUUGUAGAUACACAAAGCUCCCAGUAAUAGAGUUAGCUACACUAAUUCAAAUUUUGCUUGUGACCAUGAGCUCAAUAAGUGCUUUAAUAAUAACUACAUGUGAAUUGAAAAGUCAAAUGACUCAGCACACAGUGGCCUGCUGAGGAAUGAAUUUCUAGUACAUACUGCAAUGAGCGGAAUGCAAGAUUUGGUUGGGACAUUUGGAUUCUGUCUGAUUUGUUGGAGAUGGAAUGUAAUCCGCAAUCAUUCCUCCCCUCUGAAGAUAUGUGUGCAAUAGUAUAUCAUUUGGACAGGAGUAGAAUCUCAUUUUCCAGGCGCAAAGCGUACCUGAUUUACUCUACGUUUUCUUGCGCCUAAUGCAGAAAAGACACACUGCGGUUGCUAGCACUGCGACUCUCAUAAUCCGAAACUAUGUACACCAAUCAAGAAUCUAUACAUCUACAGUCAAGACCGUCUGACACGUCCAUUUUGCAAGGAUGAAGAGCAUAUCAGUUCUGAUAUUCUUCCUGACUAAUCCUUUCGAUCCCGAAUUCGAACUACACAGGUUCUUCCUUUCAAAAUGCACACUGUUUACGCUGUGCACUGCCCGUUUCGAGCGAUUCCUGUGUUCCUUGUUCUACCUUCUUGCAUACACCACGACGGUCCAUAUACAAAAAUUAUCCCCACAUCCCUUCCGCAUUCAUCUCCCUCCACUCCCAUGGUACACAGUCGGUCUCUAGUCCCUUGCCCCGCUCCGACAAGCUUUACGCAACCCAUUCAACGCCCACACAUUCGUUUUCUCCACAGCAGCGUCCCGUUCCAGGAACUGCGUAUUCCCGUCCUACUUCGACACCAAAGUGAACCGAUGAGAAUUGUGUGAGAGCCCGCUGUGUGCCUCACCCUCAUAUAUGCUGAUUGAGCUCUGCCAUCCACGCAAACUACCUCUCGACGCCAAUUCAAUCACAUGUCACGGCUUGCCAGAUAUGGAUAAUCCACCAGUCAACUCCAGUCACAAACAAUCCCCGCCAACUUUAUCCCCCCACCGUGCGCAGCGCAUGGGCGCCUCGCUAUGCUCCUAGAGAUCAAACAAAUUCCCCCGCACCCACCCUCACAUUCACAGUUUCGGCUCUCACCGUCUUUCACUCCACGAAACCACUCCCCAUCACAUCGAUCCCGCAAGACAUGGCGCUACUUCCCAUACCGGCCGAAACCAACACACACCCGUCUGCGUACGGAACCGUUCCAUGCCCACAUCCACACCCGCCUCCCCGUCCCUCCGCCCAGUUGCAAUUCCCAAUUACAAUAACACAUCCACAAUUUACUCAUUCACACUCUCCCAAUGUACAACUGUGCGAACGCCGCCAACCCGACUGGUGGCUCCGUCUAGGUGACAGACUCUCGCAGCUCACAGAAAAUUAAAUCGGCUCUACCGCGCCAUCCUAGUUCCCGGGGGUGAAGUUGGUGGCGUACGCCCAUGCGUUGUUGGCCACCGGGUCGGCCAAGUGGUCGUUCAAGUUCUCCAAUGGCCCCUUUCCG
This 135480-nucleotide long non-coding RNA is filed under the name Physcomitrium patens. RNAcentral describes it as "long non-coding RNA (PPAT_LNC001636)". The record is from RNAcentral. Lineage: Eukaryota; Viridiplantae; Streptophyta; Bryopsida; Funariales; Funariaceae.